This 163938-nucleotide long non-coding RNA is filed under the name Gossypium barbadense (sea-island cotton). RNAcentral describes it as "long non-coding RNA (GBAR_LNC022231)". The stretch from base 82936 to 83041 matches the Rfam family "Plant small nucleolar RNA R71". Lineage: Eukaryota; Viridiplantae; Streptophyta; Magnoliopsida; Malvales; Malvaceae. The record is from RNAcentral.
UGGGGUUUGACCGUGCAACUGUGCUCCAAGUGUUCUUUGCUUGCAACAAGAAUGAGGAACUUGCAGCCAACUACCUUUUAGAUCAUAUGCAUGAUUUUCAGGAUUGAGUUGGUAAAAGAAAUGGCUUGGGGAAGUACAAUAUCAUUUUCUCUUUCGUUCUUUGGGGGUCCAUUGUCAUUCAUGUUCCCCCUCCCCUCCCCCCAAAACUUUACCGACUUUAUUCUUAAUCAAGUGAUGUAAGUGUUUGGUGUAGAGACAAGGGAUGUGAAGAUGUUAACUUCAUUUUUUUUCCUUUUGUCUUUUUAUUUCCGAAGGACCCAUUAUUUAUAACGUUAUAUACAAGUUUCUUUCUAAGCUUGUGUGUUUUGUACUUCACAUUUUAUGCUAUUAGAAGCACUUGCCACAAGGAGCUCCACCCAACUUUCAAGUUUUUCGAUCAACACUCUUCCCUAUACCUUGUGCAUGAAUUUGGUAGCCCGUCAGAAUGGUUAGAGUUGGCAGUGGAAACUCUAGAACCGUGGAAACAGUUUGAAUAAUAUGCAGUGAAAUUUAUGGUCGCAAAACAUGUAAAAUUUUUCUAUUUUCCAAAUAUGUUGGCCAUGUAUAACACCUUUAGUGUAUUCGUAAUAUACAUUAUCGAAUAUCAAAAUUAUCGACGCCUCCUCAAAGUAUUAGCAUCUUGUUUCAUAUUACGUAAAUAAAUCUCAAUCUCAAUAUCUUAAAUAUAGCCAAUGAUAAUUUAUAUUUCAUAUUUGUUUAAUUAUUUUGGCCCCUAUUAAUUGACUCAGACUCAAGGAUGGAUAUACAGAUCAAACCAUCAACACACCAGAAUAUGCAUGUAACACCUCACACUUGACUCAAUAGUCGGAUCCAAAUAUGUGAUGCCACAUUAUGCUGCCGAAGUAACUCAAGUUAUCUCAUUACAUAAUCAUAAAAUUUAAAUCAUAAUUACCAUUCAAACAAAUUUAACCAUAAUCAAUCAUACUAGCAAGUAUUCAUUUGUAAUGUUUAAGUUUCAAAUUCAUCGCUAUACGGAGUUAGGAAAAGUCAAAUUUAGAGUUAGAACUUGAAUCCAAACUCAAUUAUUAAAUUUCAAUGUUGUGUCUCGAGACAAGUCUCAUUUUAAUUUAGGUAUUUUAGCUUCAAAUUUAAUCUGUCUCGAGACAUUAGAAAUUGUGUCUCCAAAUUAUGUCUCAAGAUCAACCUCCUAUGUUUUCCUAUUUUUGCUUCAAUGUUUGAAUGUCUCGAGAUAGGGGGUUCUUGUCCUGAGACCUAGAGUAGGACAAAAUCUAUUUAGUUUUGAUGUUCUCCUGUCUUGAGACAAAGAUCAUUUGUCUUGAGACCUAGGAACAAUUGUCUCGAGCUUAUACAAAUAUGUCUCGAGACCUGAGGCUCUUGAAUGCAAAAUUUAAAUGAAAUUUGAUCUAGCGUCUCAAGAUUCGGUGAACAAAUGGUCAAAAAUCCUAUACUUCUAAGUGUUAAAUACCUUAACCAAAUGAACUUAAACCUACCUAAAACUUACCACUAAACAUAUUCAUCCUAUUAACCUAUCUAAACAUGUUUAAACAUUACCAAAUUAUAACCUUCAAUAGAUCAUUUUCAAACCAGCCAAUUUGCACAUUCAAACUCACAUAAUCAAGCAUUAUUAACUUGUAAUAAAGAGAUGAAAUUCAACCAUAAAGACAUUAUAGGCCAAAUUACCAAAAGUAUCAAAUCAUCGUUAAGAGUAACAACCAAACCAACUUAGGUACAUGCCAGAAGACUCAAAACACAUAUAAAUACAAAAAGUAUUGAGAUGCCUUCUGAGCUAAGUUAGAGAAAUUAGAUUCUUGGGCUUGAGUCUAUUGAAGCUUUUGCUUGUGACCUGCGCACAGAACAAACAAAACUAUACGCUGAGCAAUAAGGUUUAGUAGUUCUAACAUGAUAUAAAACAACAAUCAAUUAUAAGAAAAAUAAACAAAUACAUUUAAAAUGAAAUUCAACCAUAAUCUAAAUCAUUUUUAAAUUCCUUGUCUCAUGCUUUUAUUAUCUUGCUUUAUGCUUAUUAUCAUUUCAUAUAUCAACAUUUAAAUUCAUCUAUCAUUCUAUCUCAAUUACAUGCAAAUUUAGGCAUAACAUAUAAGUCAUUUCACUUUUUCAUUUCUUACCCAAAUCUAUUUAUUCGUAUUAUCACCAUAUCGAUCCUUGAUCACCUCUCGAUGUGCAAACGUCUAGAGUGUAAAAUCGUGCAAAAAUAUAAAGAUAAUAAUUAAGUACAGUUUCUGCAAGCAAACAAGUCAUAUUGUAAUAUAGUUAGUUUACAACGAAACAAUUGGUAAGUAUUCCGAGGAUUGUACCUAAAGGAUGGCAGAUUGGAGAAAUUCACUAUGAAAUCAAUUACAAAAAAUAAUUACUAAUUUAAUCGAGUUACAAAUUAGUAGUGUUAAUUAACUAAUACUAAAGCUAACCCUAGGUUAAGUCAAUAGGUUUUUCCUAUUCCUUAUUUCGAUUACGCGAGCUACUUAGCCUAGGAUCAAUUGUGCUGCCUGAUUAUUAACUAAGUCAAUAAUUACCUUUAAUUAAGUAUUUACCAUUAUUAGCUACGAAUACCCUCUUAGUCCCAUCUUCACUAAGGAUUACCAUCUAAGAUACCCCAUCGGUCUCACUUAGGCAUACGGAUACCCUCUCGGUCUCACCACUUGGCACAAGUUUUACUCAACAAGAUACUCUCUCGGUCUCACUUGUGUAGGUCUUCUACUAGGGGCGUCACUUCCUAGUACACUAAGUACUGUUGAAUAAAUACUCAAGUUCAGGUUAUUAUUUACUUAAUCAAUUAAUUAGGUUAAACAGUUGAAACAUGCAAGAUAUGUAUAAAGCAUAAACUCAUUUUGAUAUUCAUACAAACAUUCAAUAAUCAAAGUUAAAGAAAGAGAUAUAACUAAGAGAAUAAGGGAAGAGAAUGCUCAUGGAUUAAUCGAUGUAAAAGUGCAACUCCAGAACAAUAUCUGUUCACGAUAGUCUCACUUUGAAAUAUGAUCUUCUAAUUAAGCAAACAUAAAAAUAACUAAGUAAAAACUAAGAGAGAAAUAAAAGCUAAAUAAUAAUCUAUGUAUCCCUCAAUUUGUGUUUAAUGUGUUGCUUUGAGAUAUUAUUUAUAGAUUACAUGUAUUAUGACCUAAUUAAGUUAAGUAAAGACGACUAAACAUGUUAAUUUAGGUUCUACAUACAAAAACACCCUCAGUUGAUAUUUGGCCUUGUUGCAGCUGUGUUGCGACACCCUCUAGCUUGUGUCGUGACAUUGAAGGCAGUAUAUUUUUUUUGGCACGUUCAGGGCUACGUCGCGACAUCCCCUGGUGUGUGUCAUGACAUAGAAGGUAGUAUGCUCCAUAGGUAGUUUGGAAGGUGUGUUUGCGACAUCCCAGCCGUGUGUUGUAACAUCAAAGGUAGUCCACUAACUCCUCGGCCUAAAUUAAUGUCAUGCACACUUAAUCAACACAUUAGUCUUCCCUUAGGCCCAGAUUGGCCUAGAAGGUCAUAAAACACAUAAAAAUGCUCAUUUUAUUAACUAAAUACUCUAAAUAGAAACUUAAGAAAAACAUUACUUAUUUGCUAGAAAACAAGCUCCCUUAAGUGUCAAAAAUGACCUAAUUUGCCACAACAAAUUGUGGCAAAUCAACCCUCAAGGCUCAUAAUAAUCGUAUCACAUGGUCUUUCACAUGCUAUCAUUAAUGUUAUAAUGAUCAUAUAUAAAUUUCAAUUCCACAUUCAAUAUCAUUUACCAAUUUUCAUGUUUUAUAAUCCCUAUUAACCGGACAUAUACUCAAGAUGGAUACACGAAUCUUUCAACCAUUACAACAAUAUAACUAGCACUGAGUGCAUCAUUGGUACAUCUGAAGUAUAUUGCGCUCUGUGUCUUACCGGUAUAAACUGAAGUAAAUAUAUAAAUGUGCCUAGCACCUCAUCAGUACAUCCAAAGUGUAAUGUAUGCUCCGUGCCUCAUUGGUAUAAAUCGAAGUAAAAUACCAUACACUAAUCCUAUGGCAUGCCAACUAUACCUGACUAAAUCCGAAACUGUUAAUUGGGUAUUCAAUGUUUCAAAGCACAUAUUUCUCAUGUCACAAGUCAACAUAUUCGAUGGAGAAACUUUUAGAAACACUUUCUCACCUAUGACAUAUUCAAUUUCAACACUGGCCCCUUGUUUGGUAAUUUUAAGUUGGUAAAAUUUUUGGAAACCUUUCAAGAGUGGAGGUUCAUUUCUUUGGCAGAAGUCUAUGAAAUAGGCUAUAAGGAUCCACCAAGACAGGGUCGAUAACUACCCUGGUGCGAUGUUGUACUCUGAAAGCAUUGAAAAAGAACGGAUGUAGGGGCAGAUGGAAGCCAACUUCUAAUAGAAUAAGAGGAAGGAUGAAAUCUUGAGUGUUGUCAUUGAGACAACACCUCGGUGGUAUUUUGAUGUCGUAGGAAAAGUUCAGACAACAAAAGCCUCAGGCUAUUUAGAAUCAAUCCGUUUCUUCUUGGAUUGUAUUACAUUCAUACAUAGGAGUGGAAGCUCGGGGAAGAGUAUUUUCAAGCUAUUGAGGUCCAAAGAUGGUGUAAUUUGUGGGGGAUUAAAGUUUGGCUACUGUAACACCCCUAACCCAUCUCCGUCGUCGAAUUAGGGUUACGAAGUAUUACCGUACAAAGCAGAACGUUUAACUUCAAUAUAGAAUAUUAAUUCAAAUUACAAAGUGAAUAACAAUUACACAAUUGAAUCAUAGCAAUAAUACUAAUUUGGGCCUUAAACCGAGCAUUCGGGGCCCUAAAAAUGAUUUAAAAAUGAUCGGGGAUUGAUUUGAAUAAAUCAUAAAAUUUUGAGAAAAACAUAAAAAUUGUGAAAACAAGGGUCACACGGCCGUGUGACAUAACCUAGACCAUGUGACUCCAAACAUGACCAUGUAGCUAUCCACACGUUUGUGUGACUAUAACACAUGCUCGUGUGUGCAGACCGUGUAACUCACUGACUUGGUAUACACGGUCGUGUGUCGGACCGUGUACCAGAUCGUGUAACUCACUGACUUAGUACAAGGUUGUGUCUUAGAUCGUGUGUAACCUGUACCUAAAAUAAAAAGUGACACACAACUAUAUAGCCAAGCCAUGUGAGUUACACGGCCGUGUGACAGCUCGUGUCCCAGGCCGUGUACUCCAUAAUUAACCCCUAAAAUAAUCCAUUUCAAAACCAAAACUUGUCCAACAAGCUACUCCAUUUGUACAUACAUUCAAUGGACCUAAACACACUUCAAACAUUCAUAAACAUACCAAUUCAAUCAACCUAAAUCCUAUAACCAUAUGCCAAUCAAAGGCACCUCAUUUCAUACCAUAACAAUAUCAAUUAAGAACAAAACUACAAUGCCACAUCUCAAACACAAAACAUAGGUAAAAUAGCUACCUAAUGACAAAAAUUGUCAAUCCGUUCCACCAUUCAAAUUAAGCAUACCAAAAUGACCAUAUUCAUAUAGCUUUUAACAUAUAAACAAACCAACUACACCAUAUAUGUAUACAACCAUUUAUAAAAGUAACCAAAACACCCAAAAGCAUAAAUGACCUUAAACCCGAUACAUGCCAUUUAUAACCAUAGUUCAAAAUAACCAAAAACAACCAAAGUGAUUGUUGGAUAGUGUGAUAAGACUCCAGAAAGGUUCCAACCGAUCGAGCUUCUGAUGAUCUACAAAACAAAGGAAAAACAACCACAUAAGCAUUUAAUGCUUAGUAAGUUCGUAUUAGGUAAACUUCAACUUACCGAACAUCAAUUAACAAUCCAUACAAACAUGCUCAUUUCAUCAAUUAACAUAAAACUUUCCUAUGCACCAUAAUUCACAUGGUUAGUAGAUAUAAUGAAAACAUAACAUCUCAUAUACUAAGAAGUAAAUUCCAUACAUUUCUUUGUCAUCACAUAGCAACAUCUCAUUCAUUACAUUUCAUAAAUUCAUACCAAUUUUACCUUUUCAAAUGAACAUUAGCAAUAAUGGAUUCUUAUACAUGCUUUUCCAUCAUCCUUUUCUUACCCCUCGAACCAUUUAGAAUUUCAUCGGAUACUUGAGAAUGCCCAGACAUAGUGUGCCUUUUCAUGUAAUCGUAACCAUUCCUUUUCAAUAGUGCUCACAUGAGCUGUAAAAUAGGCUUGCUCACACAAGCAAUAAGUCCGAAUGUUAGCUACUCGGUGCUAUUCACACGAGCUGUAGAAAAUUCGUAACAAAUGUAGGACCUCGCCAUCGGUAGAACAUUCAAGACCAACACCCAAAAUCGUAUAACCCUAAUGACAUGUCAUUUGUAUCCUAAUAAUUCUUAAGGUUCAAACAGGAUUACUUAACCAUUAAUUGUUCAAAACAUCGUGAUAUUUUCGAGUCUGAUUUAUAUUCAACAUGUUAUAACAAAUAAUCAAAUCAAACUAUAAUUAAUAAGAUUAUAAUUCAUACGAACUUACCUCGCUAUCACGAUCAUUUAACAGAAUCAAAAAUUAAUCCAACAUCUUAGUUUUGCCUCGAUUUAAAACCAGUUGUUAUGUAUCUUGAUCUAAAUAAUAAUUUCAUUCAAUCAAGUACUUCAAAUAACUUCAAUUAUUCAAUUUAAUAUAUAAUUCAUAUUAUCUUAAAAUUACAAAAUUACUCCACCUAUUUUAACUUUUUCACAACUUAGUCCUUAAGCUAAUAACUUGAAAUUUAACCAUUUUUUAACCUAAUCCAUGAUAAUCGAUUCUUUCCUAAGCUUAAAUAAUCUACAUUUUUUUCAUUAUUUCAUACAAUAUACAUGAAAUUUAUGAAUUAAGCAAUUGAAUCACUAAACUUUACAUUCAAAAAAAUCCACUUAACAAAUCAUGAUCAUUUAACAACCAAAUUUAAUUAUCUUACACUAAAUAGAUUAAGCUAAAAGGAUAACAAAACCAUAAAAAUCAUUAAAAAUGGGACUAAAAAACGUACUAUGCAUGAACAAAACACCAUAGUUGAAAGCUCCCUAUUCUCUACAAUGGUUUUUUGUUUGAGCAAAGCAAAAUUGGAAAAUAUGAUAGCCAUUCAUCUUUUCUUUAAGUCAUUUAUUUAAUUAUUUACUAUUUUGCCCUUAUGUUAUAACUUAAUAAUAAACAUAAACAUGCCCAUAAUUGUCCGCUAUCAACAUGUAUGGUGUAAUUACCAUCUAAGUACAUCAUCUUGAGAUUCCAUAGCCAUUUGAAUCCUUUAACUAAUACAAAUCAACUUUUGUACUUUUUUUAAUUUUGUAACACCCCGACCGGUGUCCGUCGUCGGAUUAGAGUUACGAGGCAUUACCAAUCAAAAUUUGACCCAGAAAUUUUUUUUUCUUUUUUUUAACUCAACCACAAAAUUUCAUUCCAUAUAUAUAUAUUAUCACAUAACCAAUUAAAAUCAAACAUUUAUCCAAGCAUUUAUUUCAUUUCAAUUUACUAACUAUACAACAUAUUACAAACAUAGGUAAUCUACCCUGUUUGGACAGCUCUUAUACACAAAAUUUGAUAGCAUGUAUAUACAAAAUUUGACAGCAUUUAUACACCACAAUGGAGCAGUAUAUACACAAUACAUCAUAUACAUAUAAUACACAUAUUAUUUUCGAAGUACGCUUAAAUAUAACUAAUUUAUACAACUAUUAACAAAUAUGCUAAACAUAUCACACUUCCAUAUAAAUAACCAAAAUUUGCAUAAGCUUAAACAUCGUAUAUAUAUACCAAAUAGAUCAAAAACAUAAAACCAAGCUUAAUCAAAAUGAGUAAGCCAUUUUCGCAUGGCUCAUAUUCACAUAUCUCAAAAUUAAACAUAUUAACUAGACUAUACAUGCCAUAGUUUCGAAUUCAAAAUUUAUAAAAUACCAAAGACGGUCGAUAGUGUGAUAGACUAUGCUGAUGAUCCCCGAGCUCGUAACGCGACUCCAAAAUCUAUAAAACAAAGGUAAACAAAUACAAACACACAUUAAGCUAUUAAAGCUUAGUAAGUCAUAAGAAAAAAUUCAUAUAUAUAUAUACACAAAUACUUAUUCCAUCAUUAAGUUAAAAUAAACCAAAUAUCCUAAUAUUUUGUACUAUAUAACACUUUAACAAAAAAAUCACAUUGUAUUUUCAUAUAAACAAACCAUAUGGCCAAAUACACCUAAAUAUUUAGCAAAGCCAAAUAUUCAAUAAAUCAUUAUGCCAAAACAUACUUAUACUCAAAUGGUUAACUCAUACUCUAUAUUUCAUUUGAAACUGUUAUCAAAUUAAAAUAAUCAACUUCCCUUAACACAAAUUAAGCAAAUAGCUAACACAUACUUGAAUAAUUUAGCUUUCUUAACACAUUUAUUUGCUUUUACUAUUGCUCACAUAAGAUUUAUAUAACAUAGAGCCUUGUAUAAAACACCGGCAUAAAGCCUGCUAGGCACAAAGCCUGAUACAUUUCACCGACACAAAGCCUGCUAGACAUUAAGUCUGAAUAAUUCACCGGCAUUAAGCCUGCUAGGUACAGAACCUGGAUAUCACAAAUACGAGAAUAAUUUCUCAUAUAUAACCCUUACUGGCAUUACACAUGUUUAAAACAUAUAUGUAUAAUUCAUGUAGAUUAACCACACUUUCAAGAAAUUGGCAAACCAUAGCUCAGUUACAUCUGCACUUACAAUCCAUACUUUUAGCUCAAUACAAAUAAUUGUAUAUACGUUUAUACCCAUUCAAACCACACUCAUUCCAUAAUAUAUAGUUCAUACCUUAAAUUCAUUUCAAGAAUUUAUACAUACUCGUACAACUACUUCAACCUCAUACAUUUUUGUGUAUGUAUUUCACAUCUUUAAUUUAACUCGAAAACCUAUACAUAUAUAUAUAACCGAACUCACAUAUGCAAUAUAACAUACAUACCUUAAAUCAAUUCCAAAAAUUUAUACAAUUAUAUACAUAUAGAUAUUGAGACUUCAUAUACAUAUUUUCAUAACUUCCAUACUUCAAUCAAAUUCAAAAACCCUAUAUACUUAUAUACACAUAUAUUCGAACAAUAUAUAAAUAUCUUUAAUUCAUAACAUUAGAUUCAGUUCACAGUAAUUGAAACAUACCUUCGAACCACUUUUAUAUAUAUAUAUAUUAUAAUACUAAUUCAACUUACUGAACUCAAGGUAUACUUUGGUUAACAUACACCUAAUUUAUAAAAUAAAUUCAAUAUACCAAAAUUAAUAAAGUUCAUUACAGAUUAUAUACCAUAAAUUUCAACUUAUUGAAUAUAUAAUAGAUAUAUAAAUAUAUUCUGAUUUAAUAACAUUUAUUCACUAUUAGACUUACCUGGGACAAUGAAAAAUCGAAGUCGGGUGAUUUUUCAGUUACUUUGGCUUUUCCCCGAUCUAACUCUGAUUUCUUUGGUUCUCGAUUUAAAUAUAUUCAAAAUGAGCUAGUUUAAUUAUUAACACAUUCAAUUUAGUCCAAAAAAAUAUAUAAAUGGGAAAAUUACCAUUUUGCCCCUAAUAUUUACACUUUUUACAAUUUAAUCCCUAUUGGAUAAAAUACAAAAUACACAAAAUUUGUUCACAACAUACAAGGGUCGAAUGUUCCUUGUCUUUAUACAAGUCCACACAUUUCAUUUAUUUCAUGUUUUAGUCCCUCAAAAAUUUAUUUUCACAAUUUAACUCUAAUUACUCAAAUUCACUAAAAAUUCAAAGACAAAACAUGUUAAUCUAACACAUAUAUUUCAUAUUUCAUCAACUAACAUCACAAAACUCAAACAUUCAUCAAUGGCACAUUUCAAAAUCAUCAACCAUUCACAAAAUUAAUACAUGGGUUUUGAAGUAUUCGAAGCAACGAUCUCAAAAACGUAAAAAUUAUCAAAAACCGAACAAAGAACUAACCUUAAAUUUAAACACAACAAUGGCCGAACCUAGCUAGCUUUCUUCCUUUUUUUCUUUUGUUCAAAUUCGGCUAGAAAAGAUGAUAAAAUGGCUUCUUCUUCUUCUUUUUUUGUGUUUUAUUUAGCAUAUAUUAUCAUUUAUUUUAGUUACUAAAAUAACCUUUAAUAAUUAAUAAACAAAACAUAUAUAAUAAGGUUAUAUUAGUCUUUUGCCACCCACUAUCUAUGUUUUAGUCUAAUUGCAUCAUAAAUCCCCCAUUUUAAAAUGACAAAAACAAUUAGGUACUUUUAGAUUUAACCCCUAAAUUUUUAUUUUAAGCGAUUUAAUCCUUUUAUUUAACCGGACACUCAAACGACGAAAUUAAAACACGAAAAUUUCACACAAUUAAAUUCACACAUAAUAAACACACAAAAUAAUAUUAAAAUAUUUUUUUGACUCGGACUUAUGGUCCCGAAACCACUAUGUCCUAUUAGAGUCAAAACCGGGUUGUUACAACUCUUCCCCCUUAGGGAUUUUCGUCCCCGAAAAUCUUACCGGUGAAUAGGUUAGGAUAACGCUCUUUUAUUGUAUAUUCUGACUCCCAAGUUGCUUCUUCAACUCCGUGUUUAUGCCACAAUACUUUAACUAACAGAAUUUUCUUAUUUCCGUAAUUUUUUGAUCUCACGAGCCAGAAUGCUAAUCGGUUCUUCUUCAUAUGACAUAUCAGAGUUAAUUUCAAUCUCCGUCGGACUAAUCACAUGUGAAGGAUCAGAUCGGUAUCUACGGGAGCAUCGAAACAUGGAAUACAUUGUGAAUCUUUUCUAACUCCGGUGGCAGCAACAAUCUAUAAGCAACCGGCCCAACACGUUCUAUAAUCUCAUACUCUAUAUUUCAUUUGGUAUCAUGAUCGGCUGAAGCAAUCCAGAUGGUACUUGAUGCUCAGCUUUUACUUGCUGACAUAUUAAACAUUUCGAAACAAAGUCAGAAAUGUCUCGUUUCAUACCAUGCCACCAAUAGUGCUGUUUCAGAUCGUUAUACAUUUUUCUGCUACCCGGAUGAACAGAAAAUCGACUAUUAUGAGCUUCAUUCAAAAUUAUCUGAAUUGACUCUGAAUUUUUUUGGAACACAUAAUCGGUUUCUGAAUCUCAAACAAUCCUCAGCAUCAACUAAAAACUCCAGUCAACAUUUAAGUCACACUGAGCUCGUUUUGCAAUUAAAUCAUCAUUGACUUUCUGAGCUUCACAAAUCUGUUGAACAAAUAACAGUUUUGCUUUCAACUCAGCUACUAUCGCACCAUCAUCAGACAUAGCCAUAUGUGCAUUCAUUGCACGCAAAACAAACAGUGAUUUUCGACUUAAGGCAUCAGCAACAACAUUAGCCUUUCCCGGAUGAUAGUCAAUCACAAGCUCGUAAUCUUUCAAUAAUUCUAACCAUCGGCGUUGUCUCAAAUUCAGAUCUUUUUGAGUCAUCAAAUAUUUCAGACUUUUUUGAUCGGAAUAAACAUGAAAUUUUUCGCCAAACAAAUAGUGACGCCAUAUUUUUAAUGCAAAUACAAUAGCGGCCAAUUCCAGAUCAUGCGUCGAAUGGUUCUUUUCGUGCGGCUUAACUGUCUCGAGGCAUAGGCUACAACUUUGCCUUCCUGCAUCAAAACACAACCCAAACCAUUUAAAGAUGUAUCACUAUAGAUAACAAAUUCUUUACUCGAUUUGGGCUGAACUAAGACUGGAGCUUCGGUCAAAAGAACUUUCAACUGAUUGAAACUUUUCUGGCACUUUUCUGACCACUCAAACUUAACGUCUUUUUGUAGUAGCUUUGUCAUUGGGGUCACAAUCAUAGAGAACCCUUUCACGAACCGUCUAUAGUAACCAGCGAGCCCUAGAAAGCUUCGAACUUCAGAGACAUUUCUCGGAGGUUUCCAAUCAAGUAUAGCUGAAAUUUUACUCGGAUCAACCUGAAUACCCGAUGCUAAUACAACAUGGCCAGAAAACUGACUUCGCGUAACCAAAACUCACAUUUACUAAACUUUGCAUACAACUGUUUAUCUUGCAAAGUUUGUAACACAAGUCUCAGAUGUUCGGCAUGCUCGGUUUCAUCACGAGAGUAGAUCAAAAUGUCAUCUAUAAAUACUACCACAAAUCGAUCAGAUACUGUCUAAAGAUUCGAUUCAUCAAGUCCAUGAAAAUAGUAGGUGCAUUACUAAGUCUGAAAGGCAUAACCAGAAACUCAUAAUGUCCGUACCUCGUUCGGAAAGCAGUCUUUGGCACAUCAGAGUCUUUAACUCGCAACUGAUAGUAGCUUGAUCUCAGAUCUAUUUUCGAAAACAUAGUAGCCCCUUUCAACUGAUCGAACAAAUCAUCAAUCCGUGGUAACGGAUACUUAUUCGUUAUAGUCACCUUAUUGAGCUGUCGGUAAUCAAUGCACAUUCUCAUCGUUCCGUCUUUCUUUCUCACAAAUAGAAUGCACCCCAAGGAGAGAAACUCGGUCGUACGAAACCUUUAUCAGUCAACUCUUGCAACUGUACUUUCAAUUCUUUUAAUUCGGUCGGUGCCAUACGAUAUGGAGCUAUCGAAAUUGGAGUCGUCCCUGGUACUAACUCAAUACCAAACUCUACCUCUCGAAUAGGUGGCAAACCCGACAAUUCUUUGGGAAACACGUCUGAAUACUCACACACAACUGGUACGGAUUCAAUCUUCUUUCCAGUCACUUUACUAUCAAGAACAAAUGCAAGGUAAGCUUCACAACCUUUUCUCACAUACUUCUGAGCCGACAUCGAAGAUAUUAUUGCUGGUAAACCAUUUAGAUCAUUAGAUUCAAUCCGAAUAAUCUCAUCAUUCUGACACCGUAGAUCAAUAGUUUUCCGUUUGCAAUUUACAAUAGCAUCAUGCAGAGUUAACCAAUCCAUACCUAGAAUUAUAUCAAACUCGUCGAAUGGCAACAACAUCAAAUCAGCUCGAAAACAUAAAUCUCGAAUCAUCAACGGACAAUUCUUGCACACUUUAUCAACCAAAACACACCAGCCCAGGGGGUUCGAUACUUUAAUUACAAACUCAGUAGACUCAACAGGUAAAGUCGUACUGAAUACUAAAGUCUCACACACAUAAGAAUGAGUCAAACCAGGAUCAAUCAAUGCAAUAACAUUAGUAUCAUAAAGAGUGAAAAUACCAGUAAUAACAUUUGGAGAAGAAGCCUUCUCUCGAGCACGGAUGGCAUAUGCUCUGGCAGGUGCACGAGCCUCAGAUCGAACUGUCGUGUCCUUUGUCCCUCUCUGACUACCACUUACAUUACCCGUAUGCCUGGGUGGUCUACCUCGUACUAACACGUUACUCGGUCUGGUACUCUGUAUAGUAUUUUGCUCGGCCACCAUCGGACACUCUCGAAUAAAAUGAUCCUUGGAUCCACACUUAAAGCAAGACCGAUCAUGUAAUCUGCAAUCUCCUGGAUGCCAUUUACCACAAUGCUUGCACUCUGAUCUAUUUUGUCGAACAUUACCAACACUAGCAACUGAAGUAGCUCGUGAACUCACAGGGGUUCGAUCUCGAUCAUAUUUAGGAAACUCUGUAGUAGCUUUAGAUCGGCUAUGAUCCUCUCUGAAUUUCUUUGAGGCUGACUGGAACGAUUUACUAAAUGAUCUUUUACGAGAAUCUCGAGCUUCAAAGUCAGCUUUUCUCUUCUCUUUCCUGAGCUCAUCGGCUUUACAAGCUUGUUCAACAAGUACUACGAACUCUUUUAUUUCAAGUAUGCCAACUAACAGUUUAAUAUCUUCAUCCAGCCCAUCUUCAAAUCUUUUACAGAUAAUAGCUUCAGUCGAAACACACUCUCGGGCAUAUCUGCUGAGUCUAACAAAUUUUCGCUCGUAUUCUGUCACUAUCAUCCGACCUUGUUUCAAUUCAAGAAAUUCAUUGCGUUUUUGAUCAACGAAUCUCUGACUGAUGUAUUUUUUACGAAACUCAGUCUGAAAGAAUUCUCAGGUUACUCGCUCUUUAGGAACCACCGAUACUAGUGUAUUCCACCAGUGAUAUGCAGUGUCUCGUAGCAAAGAUAUGACACAUUUCAAGCACUCAUCAGGGGUGCAAGAUAGCUCUUCAAACACUCGAAUAGUAUUAUCAAGCCAGAAUUCAGCUCGCUCAGCAUCAUCAUCAUCAGUGGCUCUGAACUCUUCAGCCCCGUGUUUUCGAAUUUUUUCAACAGGAGGCUUAAGUAAUCUCAUCGGAUCACUCACUUGAGGUAUAACAGGAACCAAACAUGGAUUAGUCAGGGGUAGAGGUUGUUGUGCAACCGGAUUAGUUCGGACAUAUUGAGUAAACCAGUCAUUCAUCAUUUGGUAAAAGGCUUGUUUAGCCUCUCCCUCCUGGUUACUCGAGGUCGGUCGAGAAUCUACCGGCUCUGUCCCUUGCGCAGGAGCAGGCGCUAUACUCUCAACAUCAUCGGCUAUGGCUCGAUCGGGAUCCAUUACUAUACGAAAACACAUUUUUAGACGUCAGAAGUCAUCACACUAUCUCAGUAUAAAAUAUGGCAUGUAUAGCUAGACUCAUACAUGCUACGUUAGUCCUAGAAUCGACUAAACUGUAGCUCUGAUACCAAUCAAAUGUAACACCCCGACCGGUGUCCGUCGUCGGAUUAGAGUUACGAGGCAUUACCAAUCAAAGUUCGACCAAGAAUAUUUUUUUCUUUUUUCUUUUAACUCAACCACAAAAUUUCAUUUCAUAUAUAUAUAUUAUCACAUAACCAAUUAAAAUCAAACAUUUAUCCAAGCAUUUAUUUCAUUUCAAUUUAUUAACUAUACUACAUAUUACAAACAUAGGUAAUCUACCCUGUUUGGACAGCUCUUAUACACAAAAUUUGACAGCAUUUAUACACCACAAUGGAGCAGUAUAUACACAAUACAUCAUAUACAUAUAAUACACAUAUUAUUUUCGAAGUACGCUUAAAUAUAACUAAUUUAUACAACUAUUAACAAAUAUGCUAAACAUAUCACACUUCCAUAUAAAUAACCAAAAUUUGCAUAAGCUUAAACAUCGUAUAUAUAUACCAAAUAGAUCAAAAACAUAAAACCAAGCUUAAUCAAAAUGAGUAAGCCAUUUUCGCAUGGCUCAUAUUCACAUAUCUCAAAAUUAAACAUAUUAACUAGACUAUACAUGCCAUAGUUUCGAAUUCAAAAUUUAUAAAAUACCAAAGACGGUCGAUAGUGUGAUAGACUAUGCUGAUGAUCCCCGAGCUCGUAACGCGACUCCAAAAUCUAUAAAACAAAUGUAAACAAAUACAAACACACAUUAAGCUAUUAAAGCUUAGUAAGUCAUAAGCAAAAAUUCAUAUAUAUAUACAAAUACUUAUUCCAUCAUUAAGUUAAAAUAAACAAAAUAUCCUAAUAUUUUGUACUAUAUAACACUUUAACAAAAAAAUCACAUUGUAUUUUCAUAUAAACAAACCAUAUGGCCAAAUACACAUAAACAUUUAGCAAAACCAAAUAUUCAAUAAAUCAUUAUGCCAAAACAUACUUAUACUCAAAUGGUUAACUCAUACUCUAUAUUUCAUUUGAAAUUGUUAUCAAAUUAAAAUAAUCAACUUACCUUAACACAAAUUAAGCAAAUAGCUAACACAUACUUGAAUAAUUUAACUUUCUUAACACAUUUAUUUGCUUUUACUAUUGCUCACAUCAGAUUUAUAUAACAUAGAGCCUUGUAUAAAACACCGGCAUAAAGCCUGCUAGGCACAAAGCUUGAUACAUUUCACCGACACAAAGCCUGCUAGACAUUAAGUCUGAAUAAUUCACCAGCAUUAAGCCUGCUAGACAUUAAGUCUGAAUAAUUCACCGGCAUUAAGCCUGCUAGGUACAGAACCUGAAUAUCACAAAUACGAGAAUAAUUUCUCAUGUAACCCUUACUGGCAUUACACAUGUUUAAAACAUAUAUGUAUAAUUCAUGUAGAUUAACCACACUUUCAAGAAAUUGGCAAACCAUAGCUCAGUUACAUCUGUACUUACAAUCCAUACUUUUAGCUCAAUACAAAUAAUUGCAUAUAUGUUUAUACCCAUUCAAACCACACUCAUUCUAUAAUAUAUAGUUCAUACCUUAAAUUCAUUUCAAGAAUUUAUACAUACUCAUACAACUACUUCAACCUCAUACAUUUUUGUGUAUGUAUUUCACAUCUUUAAUUUAACUCGAAAACCUAUAUAUAUAUAUAACCGAACUCACAUAUACAAUAUAACAUACAUACCUUAAAUCAAUUCCAAAAAUUUAUACAAUUAUAUACAUAUAUAUAUUGAGACUUCAUAUACAUAUUUUCAUAACUUCCAUACUUCAAUCAAAUUCAAAAACCCUAUAUACUUAUAUACACAUAUAUUCGAACAAUAUAUAAAUAUCUUUAAUUCAUAACAUUAGAUUCAGUUCACAGUAAUUGAAACAUACCUUCGAACCACUUUUAUAUAUAUAUUAUAAUACUAAUUCAACUUACUGAACUCAAGGUAUACUUUGGUUAACAUACACCUAAUUUAUAAAAUAAAUUCAAUAUACCAAAAUUAAUAAAGUUCAUUACAGAUUAUAUACCAUAAAUUUCAACUUAUUGAAUAUAUAACAGAUAUAUAAAUAUAUUCUGAUUUAAUAACAUUUAUUCACUAUUAGACUUACCUGGGACGAUGAAAAAUCGAAGUCGGGUGAUUUUUCAGUUACUUUGGCUUUUCCCCGAUCUAACUCCGAUUUCUUUGGUUCUCGAUUUAAAUAUAUUCAAAAUGAGCUAGUUUAAUUAUUAACACAUUCAAUUUAGUCCAAAAAAAUAUAUAAAUGGGAAAAUUACCAUUUUGCCCCUAAUAUUUACACUUUUUACAAUUUAAUCCCUAUUGGAUAAAAUACAAAAUACACAAAAUUUGUUCACAACAUACAAGGGUCGAAUGUUCCUUGUCUUUAUACAAGUCCACACAUUUCAUUUAUUUCAUAUUUUAGUCCCUCAAAAAUUUAUUUUCACAAUUUAACUCUAAUUACUCAAAUUCACUAAAAAUUCAAAGACAAAACAUGUUAAUCUAACACAUAUAUUUCAUAUUUCAUCAACUAACAUCACAAAACUCAAACAUUCAUCAAUGGCACAUUUCAAAAUCAUCAACAAUUCACAAAAUUAAUACAUGGGUUUUGAAGUAUUCGAAGCAACGAUGUCAAAAAUGUAAAAAUUAUCAAAAACCGAACAAAGAACUAACCUUAAAUUUAAACACAACAAUGGCCGAACCUAGCUAGCUUUCUUCCAUUUUUUCUUUUGUUCAAAUUCGGCUAGAAAAGAUGAUAAAAUGGCUUCUUCUUCUUUUUGUGUUUUAUUUAGCAUAUAUUAUCAUUUAUUUUAGUUACUAAAAUAACCUUUAAUAAUUAAUAAACAAAACAUAUAUAAUAAGGUUAUAUUAGUCCUUUGCCACCCACUAUCUAUGUUUUAGUCUAAUUGCAUCAUAAAUCCCCCAUUUUAAAAAGACAACAACAAUUAGGUACUUUUAGAUUUAACCCCUAAAUUUUUAUUUUAAGUGAUUUAAUCCUUUUAUUUAAUCGGACACUCAAACGACGAAAUUAAAACACGAAAAUUUCACACAAUUAAAUUCACACAUAAUAAACACACAAAAUAAUAUUAAAAUAUUUUUUUUGACUCGGACUUGUGGUCUCGAAACCACUAUGUCCGAUUAGAGUCAAAACCAGGUUGUUACAAAUUUAGUCAUUUUUACCUAAUUAACCUUUUAAACUUCAAAAUUUCUUAACAAAAAUUUAAUAAUACCUUAAAUUAACCCUAUAGACAUUAAAUAAAUAUUAAAAUAAUAACUCAUUUGUCAGAGUCGUGGUCUCAAAACCACUAUUUUUGAUACCACUAAAAAUGGAUUGUUACAGCUACUCUGGUUACGGCCUUUACCAUGAAUACUCAUCCUUAACAUUCUUGUAUGAAAAUAAGAAAAAGGAAUGAUAAAUAAAAUUAAAUAAUAUUACCUUUAAAAAAUCUAGAAAAUCGGAGAAGACGAAGAUAGAAAGAGAAGUCGAGAAAACUGUUAAGAAAAUAUGAAGGUUUGACAAAUGUGUAGAAGAAAGCUUAGAGUUUUUGUUCUAUAGAGAUAAACGUGCUCAAGAAGUUACUUUGUGAAAAUUUUUUACAUUCUCCAAUGCUAGCUUGACAUUGGUCAAAGAGGUAACCAUGCGGUGUCUAUACCAUAGUGUUUAACUGCCAAAAUUUGAUUUCAUUUCGAGAAGCAGUCUGAUGAUAUCUUUUUAAUACUUUUGAAGGGUAUGUCAGUAAGAGGGAAAAAAACUUGAAGUGUGGGUGAGGGAAUCUAUAUCGUCGUUGAUUUAUGCUUGGCGUGAGCAACCAAACAUCAUGGUAAUUAAAAUCCUACAGGGGAUAAAAAUUUCGAGGAUAAAAUUUUAUUAAGGGGGAAAGAGCUAUACCAUCCCAGUUCUAGCGGGCACAAGGUCCGGCGUAGUCAUUUAGAAAUAUGUUGGCGGAGUAGUAUUCGCCAAAGUACCCCUUCUGGCAUAUUGAGUUGGCGGAUACAAGUAUGAGCUUAAGUUAGCGAGUGCUCCGUGCUAGAUUGCUAUGAUUUGUUGAAAAUAGGAUGUAAUCAAGUAAAUCAAUAUUGAGGGUAUGAAUCAACGUCAGAGGUAUAGUGCACCAUUUUCUUUGUUGUAUUGUGCAGGUUAAGUUACAAUGUAAGCUGGUUAAGGUCUAACCGAACGUGAACCAAGAUAGUUAAUUGACGAGGGAAAUACUUAAUUAGGUUUCUCGAAAGUUGUAAACUUUGAUAAGACAAUUCAAUAGUGAUGUGACAUUUGUCAAGUUCCAAUAAAGGCCUAGAUUAUAUUAAUAGGUUUUCUAAUUUGAAUAAAGAAAGUUCUCUUCUUCUUUCUUCAAACAUUGAAAACUAAUGCUGGAUGGAAUGGAAGAAUUCCUUUAAGCUGGAUCUAGAACCCUGUAUUCUAUUAGUGAUUUCUCCAUGUCGAGGUGAGCUUUAUGACUCUAGUAGAUCUACAUGAAUGCCUAAAUAAGUAAGGCCUUGUAUAUGGGUUAUUUGUGUUUCAAAUUAUGGGAAAGGUUAUUUGAAUGAGUUUUGAUGGUGUCCUUUCAUUUUUAAAAGGCAGUGGUUGCAGCAGUUCCUGAGUGGGUCUUGGAUCUAGAACUCAAGUUGCUACAGAUUUUUGUCAGGUGAGUCUUUAAACUGACUCAUGUGUGUAAACUAUUUAUUUUAGAUGAUUCCAUGAAGAAACAUAUAAACUACAAACUGAAACUAAAAAAGAAUGGUAUGAUGAAUAUGUUGAUGUGUGAAUAUUAUUCGAGGGUUGCAUGUAUGACUCGUAUGAAUCUUAUUGGUAUAAAGUAUGUGAUAAAUAAUAUGAAAUUGAAGCUUGAUUGUAUGGCCAUGUUUUGAAUGUAUGAGGUAAAUAGUCUAUUAAGUUUAAUGGUGUUAAUGCAUGAAAGGCCUUUAAGUGUUUGUCUAUUCAUUGCGGUGGAGUCUAAAGAGGUUCGUCGAGACUUUAAACAUGAUCUCUAAAAGGAAAGCCCAUGGCCAUGGCACCAUAUUGUGUAAGACAUAUCUAGUGGUCUAUUACAUCAUAUGGAAAAAACUAAAGAAAAGUUAUUACCUAAUGGGGUUCUCUGCGUGACCUAGGAUGAUGAGGGGCAAACUUCAUGAAAUGUGAGUCUAUACGAAUCCCUGUCAUAAAAACACCAGAAAAAUAGAAUCCUUUGUGGUGAUAUAAAAAAUGGAUGCCUUUGUGGUGAUCUAAGAAAUGGAAGCCUUUGUGGCAAUCUAAGAAAUGAAAGCCUUCAUGGCAAUCCAAGAAAUAGAAGUCGUCGUAGCAAUAUAAGAAAUGGAAGCCUUUGUGGCGAUCUAAAAAAACUGGAAGCCUUUGUAGUGAUAUAAGAAAUGGAAGCUUUAUGGCAAAUCUUGUAAAGGAUUCCUUUAUGGCGCACUCUAAAGAAUGGCCCUUAUGGCAAACUUCUAAAGGAACGCCUUUUUGGUAGACCCUGAAAGAAAGAAAUGAUUACCAUGGCGUAUUAUGAAGGAAUGGAAUUCUUGGCAAAUAAGAAAGGAACAAUAUGAAAGGCAGAUCCUGGACUUAGAGCCUUCGUGGCAAAGAAUCCUGUAGAGAAAGUUUUUACGACACAUAGAAAUUGGGCUACUCCUAUGGCGUGUUCUAGAAAGGCUUUCAAGAAUAAACCAUGAAGGACGCCCUUUGUAGCAGACUCUAUACUAAGUUAUCGACGUAUCUCUUAUUAUUCUUAAUUGCAAAUAGUGGGAUUAGUAAGUACAAAACGUAUAUAUGAGUAUUCCGAUAAGGUACUAGUUACGAUUAAGAUUUGUAUAGAGAUAAAGUUUUUAAGAGACAUAACAAAGUAAUGAGGAUGUAUUCUAAAAAAUAAUGUAAACAAUAUACGCUCGAGAGGAAGUAUCGAUCAUUUUUGUAUGGGUCUCUUCCUAAAGUUGAGGAAGUUAUGGCUUACUGAAUGAAAAAUGCAUGUGAGGUCUCAAAGGCACUGAGGAGAAGGAAAUGGUCUCAGAGUAAGGUAUGGUAACAAAUGUGAAUAAAGAAAUAAAAAUAGAGGCAGCUUUUGUUAGAGAUGUAAUGAAGAAUAAGAGUAACAAAAUGGUUCUGGAAACAUUAGAUGUGGCGUGCAAGUAUGGUUCAUGUAAAUGGUUUCUGCUUCACUAAGUCUCUUCAAACUUAUCUCUAUGUGUUAUGUUUCAGAAGGGUUUUUAAGGGUCUUGCUUAGAAGGACGAAGACUACAUUGAAGGAGUGGCGUAUUGGACUAUUAUGCAUACAGAGCGAGCUUGAUGGCUGGAUCAAGUUUGCGUCAAUAAUUAUAGAUAUUCCUACGGGAGAUAACUAUAUAGACCAGGGCAUCAAUUCAGUCCUAAUUGUAAUUAAAUUCUCUAUGUAUACCAUUUGAAUUUCCUCAUUGUUUACACUUUUGUAUUUUAUUAAAAACUUUGAAAUUUAUUAGUUGUAAUAUUUGAUAAUUUGAAUAAUUAGGCUUAAGUACUUUGUAUUAUAGUGGUAUUACCCAAUAUUCAGGUUUGAUUCACCGGACCAAGUUUGAGGUGUUACAAGUUUGGUAUUAGACUUUGAUUUAGCCAGUUCUCAUAUCGAGAAGACAAAAAAGCCUUGUAUACAUAAUACACCGAACCUAGUAGAGUUCUUCAGGUAUGUUGAGAAUUUUCUCAUUUAUAAGAUUGAUGCGUUAAUAGUGACUUAAUGAAGAGUAAUUAAAAAGAACAAAAAGAUAAUAGAAAGUAAAGUAUCACUUCAUUAAUAAAAAGAGAUGUUAUACAAGGCGGAAGACAAUAAAAGAAAAAGAUGGGAUAAAAAGAAAGAAAUUAGUCCUCUCCUUUUGAGUGAUGUCCAGUUGCCUUGGCGGGGACCUCUUACGUUGGCUCCAUUUCCCCUGGAAUUUGCUCUGAGUCAUUGAGCUCCUCAAGAUUCUUAUCACCCUUUAUUUUGGGCGAGUUAGGAAUAAGGAAACCAAUAAUUUAUUUCCAUUUUGAUUGGAAAUCUUCCCACUCUUUUAUCUUGGGGUUGUAAACAUCGAAGCCUAAUGAAUUUGUAGAAACAUCUCGAAGAAAGUCAAAGUCCACUUGACUCAGGUCCAUGGGACCAACGACCACUUUGGCGUGGAAAAUAGGUUAGCCUUCCAUUCUGGUAGCGCCUCAGUCAAGUUCCUCUUCAUGUCCUAUUGAUAUUUCUUGAAGGUUUCUUCAUUGGAUUGGCAAAGAGUAUCCAACUUAGCCUCAUAGUGCAGCUUUUGGGAUUGGAGUUGUUACCUCAAUGACGAAUCAUUCUUCUCUAGUGACUUGACUCUAUUUUCCAACAGUUUGCACUUAUCCUUUAUUUCCUUGUUUUUAAACUUUCAAGCCAUGACACAAGAGUCAAGGUGCUCAACCUUGCUUUUAAGAGCCUGCUCCCUACUGCAUUGUUCUUUUAUUGUCUUAAAUUUCAACUGAAUCGACUCCUUGAAGUUGGCAACUAUGGCCUUAUAGAAAUCAUGGAACUCUUGAAGAGAUCCACUCAAUAGCCCGUACUUGACAGAUAGAGCUUUUGCAGAUUUGGCCAACUGAAAAAAAUGAGAUGAACCUGACUUGGACACAACGUGAGAACCGAAAGCCUCUUUCCAUUUUUGAGGGAUCAAAUUGUAUUGGCUUUGAAAGAUCAAACUUAAAGAAAAAGGGGAUGACCCUGAAGCAUAAAGGUUGCACUGAGGAAAGAACUCAUCACUUCCACUAGAGGAAGAAUGUGGUGGUUAAGGAAUUGGAAGGAUCAUAGAUCGAUCUAAUAGUAAAGGUUCGACUGGGAUAUCAGCUUAAGAAGGGCACGUAUUUUGGAUAAGGGAACCUACAGUUUGGGCAGACUGGUGCAGCUGGUAAUGAUGGAAUCAACGAAAAAAGAACUUUUGGACUAGGAUUUCCUUUCUUCAGUCUACGCCACUUGGGUUGUGGGGGUUCACUUUCCUUAGUAUUUGGGGCAUCAUCACUUGCCUUAGGCCUCUUCUAAUGCUUCUUAGUCAUAGGUUUCUUGGAAUGAGCAAUUGAAUCACUCUCCUUAGUACGAGAUUGGUCCAUAAUGGCCCUAAUAUCCAUCAUUGGUGUUUGAGUGGGAAAAAGUAUGAGAAUUUGGAAUGGAUCCUGCACCACCAAUGUAAGUGUUAGGUUCACUUGAAGAAGAAGAAGUUAGAGGAUGAAUACUAGGAGUAAUGAACCAAUUCUGGGAACGUGUAACAUCCUAUUUUUCAAUGGUGUCAGAAAUAGUGGUUUUGGGACCACAAAUCUGAAGAGUAAUUUCAUUAUAAUUAUUAUUUAAUUCAUAUAAGUCAACUAUAAUUUUAUAUUGAAUUUUGAUUUGAUAAAUUUUAACUUAUUGAACAAAUAGUAUAUAAGUGGUUUGUUCCGAAAGUUAACUGGUUUUGGAAAAUGAGGUAACGGGACCUCAUUUCUAUAAACCGAACUCAUAAAUAUUUUAUUAUUUGAUAUGUGAAAUUCUGGUUCAAAAAUUUUAUUAUUUGACUAGUUAAUUAAAGAAAAAUGACUAAACCAUAAAAGAUGAAAAACUUAAUCACUAUUGAACUUUAUUGAUUAAAUAGCUUAAUUAGUGUAUGUGUGAGGAUUUAUGAAGUAAAUAUACCAUCUUUUAUUGGUGUGGACGGUUAAUAGGUUUUUUGUUAUAUUUUAUACAUUAAAUUAAAAGUUAAAAUAUUAUAAUAAAGGAAAAACAUAAAAAAUAAUGGGUUAUCAUCUUCCUUAUGGAACUUCCAUCGAAAAACCAAACUAAAACCUCCAUUUCAAGAGCUUGAAGAUUCAGUGGCUUUGGUUGUAUGCAUGUAAGCAAUUUUUUUACCUGUUUUUAAAAAUUUUUAUGUUUUCGAGGUCGUUGUGGCUUAAUCUAGUUAGCCCAAGGACUAUUUCAUGAAAGUGGUAAAAGUUUUGAAACUUACCAUUGAUGAAUUCUAGAUUUUUUUGAGAUUAAAUGAUAAAUUUGUAAUCUUGGUUGUUGAUUAGGACUAUUUUGUAAAGUGAUUUUAGUUAAUUUUUAGUUAAAAGCCUGAAAUGAUAAAAUAUCAAAUUUGACAUGAAAUUCUUGUGAAUUUUGAAUAAUUAUGGGCUGUAAUAGUUUAAAGGAAAAUCCCGCUAUCAUGAAAAUUGGCUAAAUUGUGAUUAUUUGAAAGUUUCAGAUUAAGGGACUAAAUUAAAUAAAAGGUAAAAAUUUAGGGUAAAAGUGUAAAAUGUUGAUUAAAGGUCAAAUAUGUGAAUUUAAGUGUUUAAAGUAUUUGAAUUGGUUAAUUGAAUGAAAUUAUUAUAUUUAGAUUAAGAAACGAAUCAAACGGACUGUAAUCAUGGAAAAAGGAAAGUUGGCGGAAUGAAUAUCGGUGUCACGCUCAUAGCCAUUUUUCAUUAGGUAAGUUCGUAACUUGGUUAAACUAAUUAGUUAUUAUUUUGGUAAAUUAAUAUCUAUUUGUGUAUGUUGGGAUCGAGUUCAUUGACUUGAAAAAUGAAUAAGACCAUAGUUGAAAUACACUAUGACACUACACCGGAAAUGAAUAAGACCAUAGUUGAAAGACACUGUGGCACUAUACCAAAAAAUGAAUAAGAACAUAGUUGAAAGACACUAUGGCCCUAUAUCGAAAAAUGAAUAAGACCAUAGUUGAAAGACACUAUGGCACUAUACCGAAAAUGAAUAAGACCAUAGUUGAAAGACAUUAUGGCCCUAUAUCAGAAAAUGAAUAAGACCAUAGUUGAAAGACACUAUGGCAUCAUGCCGGAAAUAAAUAAGACCAUAGUUGAAAGAAACUAUGGCAUCAUAUCGGAAGUGUGUAAGACCGUGGCAAAAAGACGCUAUGGCAUCCUUUGUAUAGUUGUUUAUCAAGUAAUAUGUAUCGGAUGUUAAAUACAUUAUAUAAUAUGAACAUGAGAUGGUUGUUUUGAAUUUCAUGGGUUAUUGAUGAAUGUUAAAUGUAUAAAAUGAAAUGGGUAUAUAAAACAGUUAUAUGGAAUGAGACAUUGAAUGAAGAAAUUGAUAUGAAUUAUCAAAAUGAAAUAUGAUUUGGAAAAUGAUUAUGUGUUAAAUGUGUAAUAUGAAAUGGUUACAUGAGAUGGCUAUUCGAAAUGGUGAUAUAUAAAAACAAUAUAUGAAAUGAUUAUAUGAAUCGGUUAUAUGGAAAUGUUAUACAAAGUGUUUAUACAAAAUGUUUAUAUGGAUAGAUAUAUUAAAUAGGACAUUUGAAAUGAACACUUGAAAUGAGAAAUGUGAAAUGUUAAAUGAAUAGAUGUUGAAAAAAUGGUAUAUCUAAUGUGUUCACUUGUAUAUGUUUUAUAACAUGAAAAGAUUAUAAGUUUUGUAUAUGUGAACUCACUAACCUUGUGAGACUUGUGAUGUGUAUAGGUAAUGAAUGAACGCAUGACCAUGAUAUUGAAUUAUCUUGUAACUCAUGACCAUGAUAUUGAAUUAUCUUGUAAAAUGUUUAAACUACAUCCUUUUCGGUAAGUUAAAGUUAAAGUUUAUUAAGAACUUACUAAGUUUUACGUAAGCUUACCUCGUGUUGGUUUUUCUUCAUUGUAGAUCAUUGGAUUUGAGCUAUCGAUUGGAUUGCUUUUGGAGAUCACACUAUCUGACAACUUAAUCGGUAACUAAUUCUUCACUUUGGUCUGGUUAUAAAUGGCAUGUAAAUAGGGUUUUGGUAUAUAUAUGUUAUAAGCAUUAUGCAUAUUUUUUGUAUGAAUUGAGGUAUUAGAUGUGUUUAUUGAUGUGAACCUUAAUUAGUAUUUUGGUUGAUUGUGGUGUGUGAUGGCAAUGGUAUGCCUAUAUAGGUGUUUUUGACCAUUUGUUAUAUGCCUUAUGGUAGUAGUUGAUGUUUGGUUCAUUGGAUGUGUAUGAAAUAGAUGUUUAGAUAUGUUUGAUUGGUUUAUAAGGUAGGAACAUGUGUAUAUUGAAAGUGAAUUUGGAUUAGUGUUUGAUUUUUGGUGCCAAUGUGGACAUAUUGGUUAAACACAUAGGUUGUAUGCUUUUGGUAUGUUUUUGGCAUGUUUAGAUGUGUUUUGAAAAGGUCAAAAAGGUUGGAUAUGGUUUGUUUUCGUGCCUAAGAAAUGGUUGAUGAAUUGGCUUAUUUUUUGGGUCAAUUUGGAUGCACACAACCUGGGACACGGGUUUUCACGGCCGUGUGCCACAUGCGGCCACCUCAUACGGUCAUGUGUCAUAUUGAUUUUUAAGUGAAAGAUUUUUCACAUGGGUUCAGUUUGUUAUGCGACCUGGCGACAAAGAUGUGUGGCCCUAUUUUUUAACUGUACACGGUUUGGCCACAUGGCCUAGGUUUUGUCACAUGUCCUGGCCACACGGCCGUGUGACCUCUAUUUUCAGUUAUUUCUACAUUUUUUUGUUUUGUUUCAAAUUGAUCCCUGUGUGUUCCCAAAUUGAUUUUAAGGUUCUGUAGGCUUGAUUUAAGGCCAUUUAGGUAUGAAUGCUAUGAUAAUUGUAUGGACAUCGAUUUAACGGAUGUAGGGGAAGAUGGAAGACGACUUCUAAUAGAAUAAAAGGUAGGAUGAAAUCUUCAGUGUUGUCAUUGAGACAACAUAUCGGUGGUAUGUCGGUGUCAUAGGCAAAGUUGGGACGACGGAAACCUCUAGCUAUUAAGAAUCGGUCCGCUUCUUCCUGGGUUGUUAAAUUCUCUAUGUAUACCAUUUGAAUUUCUUCAUUGUCUACACUUUUGUAUUUUAUUAAAAAGUUUGAAAUUUAUUAGAUUUAAUCGUUGGUAAUUUGAAUAAUUAGGCUUAAGUACUUUGUGUUAUAGUGGUACCACCCAAUAUUCGGGUUUGAUUCAUCGGGAUAGGUUUGGGGUGUUACACAGAUUUUUUUGAAUGAUCAACUAUAACCCAUAUGACAUUUCUAUUAUUCGGUGAAGUUGGUAAACCCACAAUAAAAUCCAUUGUGAUUCAUUCUCAUUUCCACUCAAGAAUUGAAAUAAGUUGAAGUAAACUAGAAAGAACCUGAUGUUCGACUUUAACUCAGUGGUGAGUCAAACACUUUGAUACAUAUUCAACAAUUUAUCUUUUCAUAUCCGGCCACCAAUACAACUCUUGAAGUCACGAUACAUUUUCGCACCACCAGGAUGCAUAACAAGUGAACCAUCAUGAGCUCCAUGAAGAAUAAAUUAUUUUAACUCAACAUUUUUAUGUAUACAAAUUUGAUUAUAGAAUCAUAAGCAAUCAUCGUCAUCAAUUAUGAAAUUCUCAACACUACCCUAUUGAGCAAGUUUUCUUUUCUUAAACAACUCGACAUCCAAAAAUUGUGCUUCCUUGAUUUGGCCGACCAACACUGAUUUCACUUUCAAUUCAACUAACAGGCUACCAUCGUCGUAAAUGCUCAAUCGAGAUAACAUUAAUUAACAACCUAAUUUUUAGUGGUGCUAGAAAAGGUGGUUUUAGAACCUCAUUUUCGUAAACUAAGUCCAUAAAUCUUAAUAUUUAAUAUUUACGAGGUUAGUAUAGAAAUAUACUAAAGUUUGUUUUAGUAAUUUUUUCGAAUUGAUAAUUAAUUUAGGUACAAGGACUAAAUUAUAAAAAUCUUAUCGUUAUAUAUUUUUUUAAAUAACUAAAGGAUUAAAAUGGUAAUUAGACCAUUUUAAAUUGCCAAAUGUUGGUGGAUGAAGUUAAAAUCCACUAACUUUAGUUAAUCAUGCCUAAGGCUUAAUUAAUUAAUGUUUAAUUAAAUUAAUCUUGAUUUAUUAAGUUUAAACAAAGUAAAUAAGUUGAAUAUAAAAGAAAAAUACACAUUAUAGCCAAGAUAUCAUAACAUUAUCACAAUACAAUUUCACUAUCACAAGUAUAUACAUGUUCAACAUAUCUCAACUGAAUUUGAGUAGUCAAGUUUAAACAUACAUCAUAUCAUGAUGGAUACCAUUUUUAUUUGAUUAACUACAUAUUAAAGCAUAAUUGAAAUCAAAUUAUGAGAGCACAAAACUAGAAUAAUUAUUUGUUGAUGGCUAUUGUUUUUUCUUUAUCCUUAAAUGUCUCGACAUCGUUUUUAGCUACAUUCGGUAAAUUCAAAUACGAAAAUUCACUAGUUUCACACAUUACACAUUGUAACAUACAAAUUAAACAUAAAAUGCACUUUUUUCAAUUUAGUCCCUCAAAACUCUAAUAUUUGAAACGCUCGUAUCUCAUUAUCUACUAGAUUAAAUCUAAAUCUAAUUUCGUAAAUAUACUACGGAACCUCAAGCUAUCAAUAAACACAAAAGAUCUUACUCACUAACCUUAAGCAUUCAACCAUCGAACUUCAACCAAAACCUUAUCACUUAAACUAUCUAUACGCAUGGGCUAUGCUUAUCAAGUUUCAUAAAUUAAAAUACAUUCAAAAUUCAAAUGGUAAUUGGAGGAAAGAUAAAAAGAAGGAAAACCAAAGAAAUUUCCUUUCUUUCUUAAGCAAGUUCGAUGGAGAAGAAGGGAUAAAAUGAAGCUUAUUUCUCCUCUCUCCCCCCUUACACAUUCCUAUUAAAUUUACUUUAACUAUCAUAGUUUAAGAUAUAAUCAAUGGCUAGAAUUUUAUGCAUAAAUAUCUAGAUUGUAUUCAACACGUGACUAGUCAAUUCUAAUUUUUAACCAACUCGAUUUAAGAAAUUCGAUCUUAAAAUUGAAUUUUUCAACACUAUUACAAAUUGGAUCAUUACAAGUAAUGUCUUAAGUAACUUAUUACAUGCAACUAUAGCAACUAUCCCGAGUUAUUACAAGCAAUGUAGAUUAUUACUGGCUAUUAUUUUGGAAAGGUUGAAUCGAAUAAAUAGGAACUUUUUUUCUAGGGUGUCUCUGAAGAAUCUAAGAAAAUUCAUCUUUCGAGCUGGGAUAAAUGAACACAAACAAAGGUUAAUGUGGGCUUGAGAUCAAAGUUUCAAAAUUCAGGAACAAAUCUUUUAUGAUGAAACUGGCCUAGAGAAUUCUUCAUGAACAAGAUAAGCUUUGGGUUAGAGUUCUUUAUAUCUCUCUCCUCAGAUCUGUUUCACCUACUUGGGCAGCUCUUAAAAGAGUCUACAUGCUUUUCCAAAGUGGGCUACGGUGGUCCAUUUGUAAUGGGCAUUAUGUGAAUUUUAGGGUGGACAAUUGGUGCAGGCUUGGAUCGCUUAGAUCAUUUGUGAUUGGCCUAUCAAUGAAGAUGAUUUUUCAAUGUCUUUUAAAGCUGCCAAAGACUUGUUGGAGAACAUUGGCCCUAAUGCUUUAUCCGUUCAAAUUCCUAACGAUUUUCUUGUUGUUGCCCUCAACACCCCAAUUUCCUUUGAUCUGAACCAUGGUGAUAUAUUGUGUUGGAAUCCUUCGACAGAUGACACCUUCUCCCUUUCUAGUGCUUAUAUUAAAGACCAUUUGAGAAUGAAGAUAAAUGGAACUGCCUUUGGAAAUCUAGAAUCUCCCCCAAAUUAAAAAUUUUCCUCCGAAAAUGUGUGAAUCAUACUCUACCUACCACAAGCUUUCUGAAUCGUAGAGGAUUGAACUUUAAUGACUUAUGUACUUUUUGUAAAUCGAGCAAUGACAACAUCUCCCAUAUCUUGAGAGAUAGCGACAUGGUGAAUGAAUGGUGGUUUGUCACCAUGUUGCAUAGCCAUCGACUUCCCCCUUUGUCGUGUAACUGGGAGUGUAGGAUUUUUUCCAACCUUAAAUCCUAAAGCUGGACCUCUAAUCCUAAACUUCCUUCGUACCUCAUCUUCUGUUUUGCUCUUAGGGAAUUAUUACUUCUUAGGAAUGUUGUCACUUUUAAUAGUAAUGCUAGGAAAUGUAGUACUAGGGAGCGAGCUUUGGCUGGUGCAUGUGAAUUAUUUGUUGUCUCACUAGCUUUGAAGGUAAAUACCGACCCUCUCAAGGGAUGGUUAAUUGGCAGUCGCCUUGUCAGGGAUAAAAAAGGCUCAAUACUAAUGGAUCAUCACUUGGCAAUCAUGGUAAAGUAGGGGCAGGGGGAUUAUAAAAAUCAUGCUAGUGGUUGAAUUAUAAAAAGUAAUCAACAUAUCCCUGAAGUUUGUAGCAUCGAGUAGAGCUGAUCAUGGGCCGGGAGGCCCGGCCCUGCCCGACGGCCUGCCCAAAAUAUGGGAGGGUUCGGGUAAAAAUAUAGGCCCGAAAUAUGAGCUUGGGCAAAAAACAAAGUCCGUUUAGAAAACGGGCCGGGCCACGGGAAAAAUUCUUGGCCCAGCCCGGCCCGGCCCGAAUAUAAUAUAUAUUUUUUUAUUUUUUGUUUUUUAAAACAUUUCUCAAUUCCCCAUUAACAUUUUUGCUUUAACACCCAUUUCCCCAUUUCCCAUUUCUCCCCUGUUCCACAAAUCCCUAACCCCGUGUCCGACUGCCCUCCUCCCUUUUUUUCUCAACCUUCACCUCCGACACCAAUCCACCUCCACCGAUCCACCUCCGGUCCUCCACGGCUCUACCCAUUUCCAGAAUCAGAGGUUAGAACAAAGCUACAAACGUCUUCUACCUUUGAAUUUCAAAGGUAUAUUAACAAUGUUUUUUUUCCUCUCUUUUAUGGUGCUUAACUGCUUAUGUAAUCUGUAUUUGUAAAAUGUAAAUCUUCAGUUCUCGAAUUAUUUCCCCUUUGAUUUGUAAAUCUUCAGUUCUGCAGUCUACACCUUUUCUGCAUGUUAUUUUGUUAAAUUAUAUUUCAUGUUUUUUGCUUUUUGCUUUUAAGACACUGAAUAUUUGGGGGGGAAUUAAAUCUGGAAUUUUGGAAUAUGUAUUCUGGAUUGUAUGCUCAAUUUGUAUUCUGGAUUGUAUGUUCAAUCUAUAUACUGCUUAGUUUAACAAAAUUAAUAUUUGUUCUUUUUAAAGUUUUCUAGUAACAUUUCCAGCAAUAACCUCAAACAUUUCAAACAAAAUGGAAUUCAUUUUUGUCCAAAUAAAAUUAUAUUAAAUUAAUGAAAAUAUUUGGGAAUUAGUUCCCCUUCCUUAAUCGGUCUCAUAGGUCAUUCAGAGUACCUUGAGCCUUGAAAAAGGAUCUCAAAUAGCCUUUUGUAGUAAACCUAUUGGGAACCAUGCAGGUUAAAGGAGACAAAAUUCUAAUGGGAGAUUUUAAUACAUACAGUGGCUGUUAAUGAUUUCUAGAACUGAACUUGUUGUAGUGUUGUGUGAUUUUUACACUUAAUGUGGAUUUGUUUCGCUCGUGAUUCUCCCCAUAUCAAUUUAAAUAAGGAAACAUACUUUUGUAGAGACCAUGUUGUGUUAAAAACUCAAAUUUCUGAACCUGAUAGUCUUCUCUGCUACCUGAUGUUUUUCAUCUUCGCACUCAAAUUUUGUUUAUUUUGUUAUUUGCUAACCAAAUUUCUUCUGUCUUCAUAUUCAUUCUUUUGUUUUGUAGUGACCAAAUUUAAAUUUAAAAUUUCUUUAAUUUUUAAUAUCAUCCAUUGUGGGCUAUUAGUAGCUCGUACCGCUUCUCUAGUUCAGGUAGUUUAAGAGUUAAGCUAGCUUAGUGAAUCAAUUUCAGUAUGCAACUCUUCCCCUUCAUCCCUUGCUUCUUUGAAAGUGUUAGUGAAGUGUUACUAAUUUUAAAUGAUGUAGUAAAGUGUUAUAUUACUAUAUUAAUCCUUUUCUUAAAAAUAAAAUAAUUUCACAUGAACACAAAUGUCGGUUUAGAUGCUAUAUUUUUCUUCGAAAUUGAGUGAGUGCAAUUAAGAUCUUUAAUUACCUAACACUCAUUUUUUUUAGCAUAUGGUUCCUGAAUCCUGACAACUGGAAACUUGUUUUUUCAUUUUUAGAAAGCAACUUAUAUAUAUAUGUAUGUAUAUAUAUCAUUACAGUAAAAUUGCCUUGAAGUGAGUUUUGUAUUUCAAUACGAGGCUAUAGGAUUAAGAGUAGCUGAGCACAAUUAAGAACAAAAUUGUGUUAUUCAAUUAUUAUUGGAUGAGAAUUGAUUUAUGUUUUAUAGAGCAUGUAAUUUGCAAGGUUGAGAUCACAAGCUUAGUUUCUUCAUUUAAUCUCAUCAUUUUUGUUUUUACUUUGUUUUAUUGCAGAAGCAAGCUAUUUAGUGAGGCAGAAAUACAGCAAGCCCAGGCACGUUGCUAUCACUAUCUCACACCCUUUCCUUUGAAACAAUCAACCUUAGCGACUUUUCCUAAAUGAUGUGUGUUUUUUUAGUAUUACUUAAAGACAUGUGACAAGUUUGAUCUUGUAUCACAAGGCUAGCAUAGUUAAAUAACUAUUUUAUUAUCUCGUGCAAUAUAUGAGUUCGGUAUUAUACUAUUAUGUAAUAUGUAUUAAUUAAAAUAUAUUAUAUUUAUUUUCUCAAAACUGUUAUAAAAUUUGUAACUUUUUGAAAAAGUAAAAUAAUAUAAUUCUUCACUUUUAUAUUUGAAAAGUAAAAAUAAUAUAGAUAUAUCACAUAUAGAACAUUUUCUUUUGGUUUUGGAGGUUGAAAUAAUCUUACAAACUAACACAUGAUUUUUUUUCUUCUAGGUUUGCUAUGUCUUACCCCUUUUUUGUAAUUUUGGAAAAAAUGAAUAAAUUUUAAUUUUGGUCUCUCUAUUAUGCCUAAAUUUGAUAUUUAACUACUACACCUUAAUUUUUAAUGUAAUAUAAUGUUUUAAUAUACUGUUAUAAAAUUUGUAACUUUUUGAAUUGUUCGUUUUAAGUUGUAUUUUUUCUAUCAAAAAGAAAUUCACACAUUAAAUGUUGAUGUCAUAUAAAUAUAGUGUUACUUGUCAAACAUUAAAAAUAUUUAAAUUUAAAAUAAUUACUUACCGUUUUUAAUAAAAUACUAGAAAACUAUUAACUAUGUCAUUAAUUGCCCAAAAUGAAAUUUAAACUCCAAUAAUUUUAUGAUUAGAUGUCGUAAAUUGUAAUUUACCUACAAAUGUAGGGCCAUUUUGAAGGUGCAUGGAAUUGAUGAAUCCUCAAAUAGAGACAAUAUUUAUGUUCAGUUAUUUAAUUUUAAUACAUGUAUAUAAUUUUAAUACAUGAAUAUAUAUAAUAUAUUCAAUAACCGAGUUAUAAAUAAGAUUAUUUUUGAAUUUCAGGACUUGAAUUUUUAUGACUAUGGCUAGUUCGAACACACCUAUACCUAUGGACGAUGGGUUUAAUGAGUAUGAAAGUGCUCUCAAACGUCAAAAGUCUACCACUUCAAAGGUGUGGGAUGAAAUGACAAAGCUUGAAUGCGAGAACAAAAAUGAAUUGAAGGCACAAUGUAAACACUGUAAGACUAUCUUCUCUACUAAGUCUUUUAGUGAAACCUCUAAUUUAAUACGUCACCUAGAUAGCUAUUUGAAAAAAAGUUAAUCAGGACAUCACUCAAUACACCAUAGCCACUCAACCAUCACCAGAAAGUGUUCCAUCUAUAAAAAACUACAAGUUUGAUGUUGAUGAGUGUCGUCAAGCUAUUUCUUCUUUUCUUGUGUGUGGCAAGCAUUCAUUUAGGACAGCCGAAGAACCGGGAUUUAGAUACAUGAUGAUAAUUUUUAGUCCUAAUUUUAAGAAUAUAAGUAGACAUACAGCUGCUAGGGAUGUCCUAAUGUAUUAUGCAAAAGAGAGAGAUCAUGUUAAAGAAGAGUUGGCUAGAGCACCUGGUUUAAUUUGUCUAACUUUCGAUAAUUGGAACUCGGAGCAUACUAAUGAUGAAUAUAUUUGCAUUACUGCUCAUUGGAUUGACAAAUAUUGGAAGCUACAAAAGGGAAUCAUAAGGUUUAGAGCUUUAUUUCCUCCGUAUGAUGGUUUGAACAUAGCGGAUGAACUUGUUUUAUGUUUAUCUCAAUGGGGUAUAGAUAAGAAAAUUUUUAGCAUCACUUUUGAUAAUGCUUCUUAUAAUGAUGUUAUGGUUUUUUGUCCUAAAAAUCGUUUUUAUGCAAACCGAGCUAUUUUGUGUGGUGGUGCUUUUUUUCAAGUUAGAUGUUGUGCACAUAUAUUGUAUUUUAUAGUUAAAGUUGGUUUGGAACUUGUUGAUGAUGUUGUUGGUAAGAUUCGAAAUGGAAUUAGGUACAUAAAAAAGUCGAGAAUUCGUAGGAAAAGAUUUUAUGAUGUGGCCGACAAAAGUUUUCAUUUGAAUGUGACCAAAAAUUUGCGUCAAGAUGUGUGUGUGAUGGAAUUUUACUUAUUUGAUGCUUGAAUAUUCUCUUUACUAUAAAGAUGUGCUAGAUUAUUGGGGCCAACGGGAUAAAGAUUAUCAAAUGUUUGCACUUUCUAACGAGGAGUGGAGAAAUGUUGCUAUUCUUUGCAAAUUUUUGAAAGUCUUUUAUAAUGUGACUUGUGUUUUUUCUGGUUCUAAUUAUCCAACGGCUAAUCUUUAUUUUAGAGGGGUUUGGAAGGUUCACAAGGUCUUGCUUGAUAUAGUUAAAGGUCAUUAUUCAUUUUUAACUCCAAUGGUUAAGCAAAUGCAAGAGAAAUUUAAUAAGUAUUGGGCUGAGUAUUCAUUGAUAUUGUCAUGUGCUGCAAUUUUAGAUCCUCAUUACAAGUUGAAUUAUGUGCAAUAUUGCUUUAAAACAAUCUAUGGUAUUCAUGCUUCAGAUUUUGUUGAGACCAAUCUUAGCAAUCUUAGACUCUUGUUUGAUGAGUAUGUUAAGAAAUUCAAAUCCACAUCUUCCUCUUUGGCUGGGAGUUCUAAUGUUUCGGAUAAAAAUCUUGUUGAUUCUGGUUUGGAUGAACACAAUGUUAAUAGUUCUGAUUUUGGGGGAUAUUUUGAUGAGAGUGAUGAUUAUAAGCGGUAUUUAGAUGAAUCUAGCACUAGGAGUGAAAAGUCACAGUUGGACAUCUAUUUGGAAGAACCGGAGCUUGAGUUGAAUAGUCAAAUAGAUGUUUUAGAUUAUUGGAGCAAAAGUUCAGUUCAACACAAUGAGCUUUCAUUAUUGGCUCGUGAUCUUUUGGCAAUUCCAAUAUCGACUGUAGCUUCCGAAUCGGCUUUUAGCAUGGGUAAGAAAGUUAUCACACCUUUGAGGAGUUCACUUAAGCCAAAAACAAUUCAAGCCGUUGUUUGCUUGGAUGAUUGGAUGCGAGCUAAGGGAUUUUCAACAGGUAAUUAUUAUUCUCGUUUUAUUGUUAUAAUUUUAUAUUAUUUUUUCAUCAAUUUGAUUAUCUAAUUAUUUAUUCUUAUUUCAUGUUAGAAAUUGGUUGCAAAAAAGACGAUGAGGACGAUGAAGACGAUGAGGAUGAUGUUUCUUCGGCUGCUUUUUAGGAUAUUUCCUUUCUAAUUGUUGAAAAUUUAAUUUAGUUUACAAUUUAUAUUUUGUUAUAAAAUUAAAUAUGUAGAUUGGUUAAUGUAUGGAUAUUUUGGUUGUUUGCUUAUAUUUUGCAAGUUUUUUUUAUAAAAUUUUAGUGUUUACCAAAAAAAAACGGGCCGAGCUCGGGCUCAGGAAUUUUUUCUUGAGCUGGGCCUGGACAAAAUUUGAGGCCCGUAUUUCGGGCCGGGUCAGACUCGGGCCUAGGAAGCGGGCUAAAAAUUUUUUAGGCUCGGCCCAAACUCGACUCGGCCCAUGAUCACCUCUAGAAUCGAGGCUGAGUUGUGGCAUUGUACGAUGGCAUCAAACUUGUUGAUUUGAAAAUCUCUCACUUGGAAAUAAAAGUCGACUAUAAUUUCAUUUAUUUCUACGGUGUUUAUUAUUCGUGUCGAAACCAUUUUUAUUUUGAAAAAUGAGGUUGACUUUUAAAACGAAAAUAGAGUUGCCACCAAUCUUUUUUUCGAGGUGUGAUCGAGUCACCUUGAGAUUAAUCAUUUUAAUAAAAUAUUUUGAUUUAUUAAAAUAAUGAUUUUGGUCUACAAAAUUCGAGAAAACGGGCUAGGGAGUCGGUUACGCACGAGGAAAGAUUAGCAUCCUCGUAACGCCCAAAAAUUGGUACCUAAUUAAUUAAUUAAUGUCCUAAUGUCGAAAAUUUGAAAAGAUUUUAAAAUAAGAUCCUCUUUAAAAACCUGAAUAAAUUGAAUUUGAUGUUAAGACCUUUUUGUCCCGAAGUAAUAAGAUGUCACAUCUAGUAAGUUAGGAUACGAUAUUUUAACCCUUGAAACUAAGCUUGUCUCAUGCAUUAAAGUUUAAAAAGGAUAUUUGGUUAUUUGGAUAAAAAAAAUCGAAACCCAGUAAGUUAGAGAUUUUCUCAAAGCUCUAAAGUAUCGAAUAUUGCCUUAUUUUUAAAAGUUUUCUUUUUUAAAAUUGGGGAAAAUUGAUGCAAUAUUAAAACGAUGCGUAAAAACUUUUAUAAAAAAAGGCAAUAUGAAAAUACAAAUAAACAAUUUAUAAAACACGUAAUGACAAUUAUUUAAAUACUAGCAUCAAUAAUCAAAGACCAAUGAAUUUAAAACAAAGAGUAUAAAAAAAUAAGGCAAAAUAAAAUGUAAACAAAUUUGAAAAUGAAUAAUAAGGGAAAAAAAAUUUGAAAUCAACAAUAUACAAAUCAAUAAAUAAAAAAAGGUAGGUAAUAUAUGUAUAAGUUUGGAAUAAAUAAUAUAUAAAAAUGAAAAUAGGUAAUAUAUAAAGUAAUAAUAUAUAAAUGAGUUUAAAAAUAAAUAUUGUGUAAUAAGGAAUUUAGAACAAGUUAUACACAAAACAUCUUAAAAAUAAAUGGUAUAUAAAAUAGAUAGUAUAAAAAAUUGCAAUUGAUAAUAUAUGGAAAGAAAUUUAAAGCAAAUAAUCAAACAAUUUAAAAUGGAUGAUUUAUAACACGAGUUUUUAAAAAAUAAACAACAUUUUUGACAUACUAUUAAAAACAAAUAAAGUAUAUAAUUAAUGGAAGAAAAUAAAAUAAUGAUAAGAAUGGUUAAAUGAAUGAACAUUAUGUAAAUAAGAAAGUUGAUGAAUAAAUAAACGUAUAAAAGUAAAAUAAUAAUUAAUGAUUAAACAAUUAAAUGGAUAGAUAAAAAAAGGUUAAAAAAACACUUAAGUCAGCCUAACUCUCACAAUAUGAAGAUUCAGCGAAAUUCCUCCACCAAAAUCCAACUCAAAUGAAAGCAACUUAAAAAGAAACGAAGAUGAACGAAGAACAAAAUAAGAACAAGCCACAGAAAAUAAGAACGCAAUAGAGGGAAAAUUUUGAGUGAAUGCUUUUAAGAAUUAUUAUCACUCCAAACUCAAGUCUUUUACAAUGAAGGGAGAGGCCUCUAUUUAUAGUUGAGCCUCCCCAAAUCCAACGGUACAGAUCAAUUACAUCAACGGCUAAGAUUAAAGGGUAUCUACAAAUUAAAUCUUUAAGAUUACAAAAUCAUAUCUUCUAAGAUUGCAUAUCAUAUCUAAGAUUGCAUAUCCUUGAAGAUUAUGUUUCCAUAUGCGUCAAGCUUGUAGAUGGACAUUCAACCUUUUCAAGUAAUGGGCCAUUCCAAUCGGGCCAAAUGAUAUAAUUUUGGACUGGACUUGGACUUUGUUUUAUUAUUUUGGGGUUUUUUUUGUGAGCCCGGGCUAAAUUGGCCUAUUACAACUGCCCCUCUUUGCUCAUUUUCAUGUAAUGAGAAUGUAGCAAAGACUAUAAAAGGGUCAAUUUUGCUUGGUCUUGCUGGGUUCUAACUUCUUUGAGUGCUCGUCUUCUUCAAGUAGUCUCAUUCCAUCCCAUUACAUCUUCAGGGGCAUAGGAAUUAGUGCUUUUAUCUGCUCCAAUGUGAUUUCAAGGAGAAGAGAUUUCUAGCUUCGAUCUUCUCCGCUUGAACUUCAAGGAGGUAGGAAUUGGUAAUUUCAACCUGCUCCACUGCAAUUUCAGGUAGAUAAGACUGGUGGCUUAAAUCUGCUUCCCUACUACCUCGGGAAUAUAAGAUUUGCCGUCUUUGAUCUGCUCCACUACUACUUAGGGAGACAUGAUAUACAAUCUUCAACCUACUCCGCUACUGCUCAGGGAGAUAGGACUGGUGGUUUAAAUCUGCUUUCUACUAUCUCGGGAAGAUAAGAUUUGCCGUCUUCGAUUUGCUCCACUACUACUUAGGGAGACAGGAUCUACAAUUUUCAACCUACUCCACUGCUACUCAGAGAGAUAGGACUGGUGGCUUAAAUCUAUUUCCCUACUACCUUGGGAAGAUAAGAUUCGCCGUCUUUGAUCUGCUCCACUACUUCUUAGGGAGACAGGAUCUACAAUCUUCAACCUAUUCCACUGCAAACUCAAAGAGGCAAGGCUGGUGUUUUCGAUCUACUUCAUUGCCAGUACAGGAAGACAAGAUCUACUAUUUUCAGUCUGCUCUGCUGCAAACUCAGGGAGGCAAGGCUGGUGUAUUUGAUCUGCUUUGCUGCCAAUACAGGAAGACAAUGUAACAACCCGAUUUUGGGCCUAGUCGUAAUAGUGGUUUCGGGAUCACAAAUUCGACGAGGAAAAAAAUUAUUUUUAUUAUAUUUUUAUGGUCUACAAUUUCACUAAAUAAUUUUGUGAAAAAUUCGUCCGAAAAUUUUGACGUUUGGGCACUGAAUUUAGUCAAAAGGACUAAAUUGUAAAAAGUGCAAAAGUUGAGUUCUACAUGUUAGAGGUGUCCAAUUGUUAUGAAACUUUAAAUUGGAGGUCUUUAUAUGGUAAUUAGACCAUUGGUUAAGUUAUGGACAAAAAUAUACAUGAGAUUAGUGAAAUAGGAAAUUUUUAAGUUAGGGGCAAUUUGGUAAUUCAGUAAUAAAAGGAAUUAACAAGGGAAAAAGAUGGAAAAAUGUGUUUAUCUUCUCCAUGAUGAAUGAAAAUAACAAGGGGGAAGCCAUAGUUAGGGUUUUCAAGCUUCCAAGCUCCAUAGUAAGUGAUUCUAAUCCCCGUUUUUAAUGUUCUUUACGAUUUUAGAGUCAUAGUAACUUGAUUUAAGCUUAUUCUAGCAAUAAUUUAACCUAGGGUUUAUAUUUGGAAAAAUACCCAUAGGUGAAAUGUGUUUAUUUUGAUGUUUUAUGGUAGAAUGUGAAGCUUGAAAUUAUGUUAAACAACUUUUGCUAAGUGAUUUUAAGUGAAAACGAGUAAAACGACAUAAUCGGUAAAAAUACCUAAUGUUCAUAAGUGUUAGAGUGGGAAUUUGAUGUUGCCAUAGAAGGGAAAAAUGUUCAGCAUGUCAUAAUACAUAAGAAUAAGGGAUGAAGUUUAAUUUACGAGCUUUGGGGAAAAAGUGUAAAUAUGCAAAAAUUUAGGGGCAAAAUUGUAAUUUUGCCAAAGUUUGAGUCAAGAAAUGUUUUGAUAAAUGUGAGUAUUAAAUAAGUCAAAUGUGUUAUUAUUGAUCAAGAAAGAAGUGGAAUCGACCUUGAUCGGAGAAAAGAAAAGAUUAAAAACUAAAUUGUUAAAUUUUUAUAUUGUUGCAUCAAAGUAAGUUAUGUGUAAAUAAUAGCAAUAUAUUUUUAUAAAUUGUGAAUUAUAUUUGAUAUGUGAAUUAUUAUUGAAUGUGGAAGAAAAAUUGUUCAUGAAUUAUUCAAGUGAUAAAGUGUUUAAAAUAAAGUGUUAAGUGUAAAUUCCCGGUUGAACUUAGGAAUAGAAGUGGAUACAAGUGACAUGUCACUAGAGACCAGUGUUACAGUGUUAUAGUGAGUCCCGGGUGCUGGGUGAUCUAGCAUGUGUUGCAGACACCUGACAGCUUGUGUAAGCAGGCCCGUGGACAUUUCCAGUGUUAUUGAUCAGUGGUAGUUACGGCUACAUAUCAGUGGUAGCUUCAGCUACAUUUUAGUGGUAGCUAUGGCUAUGUAUCAAUGGUAGCUUCAGCUACAUAUCAGUGUGGUACUUAUGUGCUAAUUCUCUAUGUAUCCGUGUAUAUUCCAAUUGUUCAACGGGAAAUCGACUAAGUGAAAAUAUAUGAUAUUAUGUAACGACUAAGUGUAAUUGAAUGAUGAAUAUAUCUGUGGAAUUGAAUUGAAUAGUGAUCGAAAGUGAAAAAGUGAAAUUAUGAAAUAGUAGAAUUAGCAGUAAAAUAGUUUUGGACAGAAACAGUUGCAUGACUUUGAAAAAUCACCAAAAAUGGUGGAAAUCGAAUUAGAGAGUGAAUAAGAUAUGAAAUGAAAUUUUAAUGAGCCUAUUUUUACAUAAUAGAAAUAGAGUAAGAAAAAGAGUUAUAUAUUUUGAGAUAUUUUAUAUUUAGUGAGACAGGGUCAGAAUAAAUUUGGAAUCCCCUGUUCUAACUUUGGAAAAUUGUUAAAAAUUGUACAAAAAUAAUUAUGGGCUAAACUUUAUAUGUUUAGAACCCUGAAUGAGUCUAUUUUCAAGUGAAAUAAACACAAGUACCUCCAAAUUCUGUAAAAUGAGAUAAUUAAUUUUUAGUGAAGAGAGGUCAGAACUGUUAAGCAAUGAAAUAGGGGAAAAUUGAAAGAAUAAACUGUACUUAUUGGCUAAGCCAAAAAUUAUGAAAAUUUUAUGGUAAGAAUAUAUGUGAAUCUAGUUUCAGGGAAAAUUAAUGGAUCUUAAUUUGGAGCUCUAUAGCUCCAAAUAAAAAUAAUUUAGUGACUCUGACUCGGAUAGACAACUUUGAAUAUACAUGUGAGUGAAUAGUAAAAUUAUAGAAAAUGUUAUUUAUAAGAGUGUUAUGUACAUUAAGGAUGUGGAAUGGAGAGGAGGAGGAGGAAAUAUAAAAUAUAUGAAUGAUUUGUAUAUAAAUUAGUCAUAUGCCCGAUUAUAUUUGAUAAAAUUUGAAUUUAAAAUGACAUAAUGUUUCAUUUCAAUUAGUUAUUAUAAAUUGAAUUGUAAAUUCAUAUGGCUGAAACCAAACAAUUAUUUGUUAGUAUUAUGCAUGACAUAAUGUAUUAUUCUAUAUACAUAUUCAUGGUUGAAUUAUGAUUGUUGAGAAAGAUAGAUAAAUUGGAAUGAAAGUUCAAAUUGAGUAGAACUCAGGGUUGAGUACUUUCGUUCAGUGAUAAAGAUGAAUUGACGGAAAAUACCAUGGAUGGACCAUGGCAAUAAGUGAUAUGUGAUUCCAUGUAAGACCAUAGCUGGGCUAUGGCAUCGGUAUAUGUUAUGUGAUUACGUGUAAGACCAUAGUUGGACUAUGGCAUCGAGAAAAUAAGUGCUCAAUUCCGUAAGACAUUCACUAAUUUGACAAAGUUGGUAAGUGUUACAUGGACUCAUGUUCAAGUGAUAGAUUUAUUGUGAUUGUUGAAGUUGAAUUCAAUUAAGUGAUUUCACCAAUUGGAUAUUGUAUAUGGCAAGAUGUGUUAGUGAAUUACAUAUUUAUGAAAUGAUAUAUGAAGUUCAGUAAAUGAUACAUGAAAUUAAUAUGAAAAGAUUUAUGAUUGUUAUUGGUAUUGUUUCUGGCAUAAUGUGGAUUCUUCGAUGUUGAAAUGAUUUAAAGGAUUUAUUGAGCAUAUGAACGAGUAUGAGAUUCACACGAGUUAGUAUAGAUAUGUACUUGUGUCUUAUAAGCUUUGAAAUGAUAUGACUUGUGAAUUGUGAAUUAAUCUGUGUGAAAGUAUAUGGGAUAGAUUAGCAAAUCUUUACGAGAUAUUGAAUAUUUAAUAUAUUACAAUGGUGGUAGCUAUAAGGCUUGGAUCGAAUGAGUAUAUAUUGGGCCUCGUAAGCCUUAAUUAGCGAUUAGAAGAUAAUAAUUUGAAAAUUUUAAUUUGUAUGAAAUUUUAUAACUUGGUUUAAUACGUUUAUAAGUGUAUAUGUUCUGGUAAUGCCUCGUACCCUAUUCUGGCGUUGAAUACGGGUAAGGGGUAUUGCAAUGUGACAUUGCCAGAUUCGGCCAUAACGUUUAGGCCGGGUUUGGGGAGUUACAGACAAGAUCUGCUAUCUUCAUUCUACUUCGCUGCAAACUCAGGGAGGCAAGACUGGUGUCUUCGAUCUGUUUCGCUACCAAUACAGGAAGACAAGAUCUGCUAUCUUCAGUCUGCCCGCUUCAAACUCAGGGAGGCAAGGCUGGUGUCUUCGAUCUCCUUUGUUGCCAAUACAGGAAGACAAGAUCUGCUAUCUUCAGUCUACUCCGUUGCAAAAUCAGGGAGGCAAGACUUGUAGCUUCCACUUGUUUCACUAUAAUUUUAAGGAAAUAAGGUCUGAUGCGAUCUGCUCUACUGCAACUUCAAAGAGAUAAGAUCCAUCAUUUUAAUUCGCUCCACUACAAAUUCAGGGAGAUAGGAUUGGUUUCUUCAAUCUGCUCCACUGCAACUUCAAGGAGAUAAGAUUGGUUUAUUCAGUCUGCUCCACUGCAACUUCAAGGAGAUAAGACUUGUAAUUUCAUCCUAUUUCACUGCAACUUCAAGGAGAUAAGGUUUGCUAUGAUCUGCUCUAUUGCAACUUCAGAGAGAUAAAAUCUAUAAUUUAUAGCUUCAAUCUGUUCUACUAUAACUUCAGGGAAAUAAGAUUCGCUAUCUUCAGUCUGCUCUACUGCAACUUCAGGGAGAUAAGACUUUACUUCAAUCCGUUCCACUGUAACUUCAGGGAGAUAGGAUUAUUGGCUUUAAUCUACUCCACUACAACUUCAGGGAGAUAAAAUUUUCCAUCUUCUUCAAUCUAUUCCACUGUAACUUUAGUGGUAUAGGAUUUGUAGUUUCACCGAUCUGUUCUCUGGGGAAUAUGACCUAUAGAAUGGGUUUGUGCUUAUGUCGAAUGACUAGGAUGCCAUGAUCGAAAUGAGUCAAAUGGUCCUAAUUAGAUAUGCUAUGAAUGAUAUAUGAAUGAAAAAUGAGAAUGAUCCCUUUUUUAAUGCUUAGGGUGUCAUCAUUCAUUGUUCAUCAGGAGUCUUAUCACUGAUGUAUUGCACUACUAUCUUAUUCGACUGGUAUUUUCCAACAGAAAACUCGAAGAAACAAUCACAUUCUGCUCAACAAGCUUGCCCCGUUGUAAUUUCAGAGUCCUUUCCACUGUAUUGUCUGGGACAUAAAGUUUGUACCUCCUACUGCAACUUCAAGGAAAUAACAUUUGGUUUCCACCAUUCCCUGGGUGUAAUGACCAAAUGUAUAUGCUUGAAAUUUGCAUGAAUGCAGAGUAUCAUUUUUUUUCCCAAGAAUAAUCCCCAUUUACAUUUGGGUUGACAUUGCUCAUUAUUUGUCGAGAUGGUAUCACCGACAAAAUAUCUUGUCUUUUUGUUCAACCAAAAAAAAAAUCCAAAGAGAUAAUCAUCUUUCAAUAUUUCCAACCCUUAGGCUUGGUGAGUUCUAAAUAAUAGUCUUGUUUCAGAUUCUCGUAUUAUUUAGAAGCUUCUAGAGCAAUAUGCGAAACUCCUUUUAUGAAAGUAUUAUUAUUUCAUUAAUCGUUAUUUCAAUAUAAAAUGCUUGAAAAGAUCAUAACAAUAGACAAGAAGGAAAUUAAUUAGGAGUAUAGCUCGAAACAAUUAAAUUAAUCAAAGAUAACUAAGGCAAUAAAAAGAAAUUGAUUGGGGCGUAUCUUGAAAAGAAUAAGGUAAUCAAAGAUAGCAAAUUCAAAAAUGGGUAAGAUGGAAAACUAGGUGCCCUAGAUAUUGCAGCCUAAGCUUCUCUGUACGAACUUCUUGAGGACCAUUUUGAGCUUAAUAUGUGUUUAAGGGAUCUGGAGUACUUUGUCAAUGCCCUAAGAUGUAGCAUACUUCCUCAUUGUUAAUUCAGGCAUAGCAAGACUACCACAUGCCCCACUUUUGAUCAAAAUUUAAGCUACUUUUUUCGGGUUUUCAACUCAAAACCCCUUUGGUCUCAAAACGUCUUUUACGGGUUUUCGCCUUGGCCUCUCCCCUUUUUCUUUCUUCUCUUUUUUUUGAAUUUUUUUUCUCAAGGCGCCCUUUGCGGGUUUUCACCUUGGCAUCUCCCCUUUUAGGUAAAAUACUUUUUGACUGAAUCUGAAUUCACCGAAUUGGGAAAGUUUUUGGUAUCCAUCUCGGUCAAUAUCAAUGCUCCUCCAGAACAGGUCUUCUUUACAACAUAAGGUCCUUCCCAAUUUGGCAUCCACUUUCUUUUAAAAUCCUUUUGUAUAAGAAGGAUCUUUUUCAACAUCAAGUCCCCCUCGUGGAAUUCUCUAGGAUGAACCUCUUUGUCGUAAGCUUGCAUCAUUUGACCGUGACGGAUAGCUUUUAACCCUUUUUUUUGGGUUCAACAUUCCAUAAACCAAUGGGCCAGGUGUUGCCCCGGUAAAGGUCCUGGCCGACGUUUGAUGAGCAUAGAAGGUAAAUAGUAACUUUUUUAUGCCAAUCUUUACAAGUCACGGUCAUCUUUCCCAUGUUCCUUGUUUUAUUUUUUCUUUUUUGGCUGCCUAUGGUGUCUGAUCUUUGAACAGACUACAAACUUUUGACAUUGUCCUUUUUGGCAUUCUUUAUCGGUGCCUGAUCUCUUUUUUUUUUAAAUUGGAAUUUAAUGACUUCGACCUUUUAACAUUGGCAUAUGAAGCUAUUUCUACCCUCUUAGUGAAGUAAUCGAAGACCACAAAAAUGAAUCGAUAUUGGCUAAAAGCUUUUGAAAAGAUUGGCCCCAUCACAUCCAUGCCCCACAUAUAAAAAAUUUGUGAAGAAAUAGAGGAGACACAUAGGUUUUAUCUUCCUCAAAUUGGUAUUUACGGCAUAACUAAUAUUAUUCACUUUCAUGGUGGACUAGCAAUACUGAAACUUCGUGAUUAACUUGGCUAUCGUAAAACCAUUAGUAUGUGUUCUUCUGACACACUUAUGGACCUUUUAGCCUUAACAGCAUCCACAAGUCUUAGUAAGCCAGGCAUAUCUUGAUAUGAUCGUGCGAAAACAUCUUUGAAUUCUUGGAAUAAUUUAAUGACGUUUCACUUUGUUUCGAUGGUAAGAAAGCUUCAAUCUCUUUCUCUUCUCCUAGGCUCACUGUCCACUGACUUUUGUAAGGUAGGAUCUAUUUUUCAUCUUGUUCUACCAUCCUUAACAAAUCAAGAGAUAGGCUACAAUCUCAGUCAUAUUCAAAGUCUUAAGAUCCCCUUAGACACAUAUCUUACUCAAAAGGAGAUUCUGAGUUAGUAGCAACAUCGCUCAUGUCGUUGAUAUUUGAAGACCUAUUGUAGGUACAAAGGCAUAUUCCAAAGGAUAAAUAAAUCUAAGGACAAUUAUUUGUAUGAAUAAAGAAUAAAAUAAUAUUUAAAAGAGAGUCCAAAGAACAAAAAGAAUCUAUAAAUGAAAAGAAUGAAAGAAUGUUUACUAAAAAAGAUACAUUUUAUUGAAAUAAAGAUUUUGGACAUAAGCCUAUUUCAAAAAAGGAUUCUUAUUGCCUCUAGGCUUUAAAGUAACAAGUGUGUUUUGAAUAUUACUCUAGAUUAUCUCUGAAAAUACAGUGAUCUCUUCCACAGUCUCGUUGUUCAAAACACUCCCAAGUAUGCAAGGGCUUGGAAACUUUAUUCCUCAGUUCCCUCUUCGGAAACAUCAUUAAUGUUCAGAUUCUCUGAUAUUCCCUCUGGGCUUUUGACUUCUUCAAGGAGUCGCAACUUUCUUGCCUCCUCCUUCAAUUAUCGCAUUUACUGCCUCGUCAAAGUGAUUAGGUUCUGAUGAAACGUCAAACUUCGCAAUUCCCAUUUUAAUGAACCUUUCGACCAACUUUUUAAACGUAGUGCAUUUUUCAAUUGAGUGACCCGUUAUCCCACGUGGUACUCGCAUUGGGCAUUCUCAGUGUGUAUCAAAUAAACUUUGGUACAGCUCCCUAUACGACAUUGGAAUUGGCUUGAACUAGAGCUUCUCAGUGUCUUGUGUCGGACUCUUGUCUUGAUGAACCUUGUUGGUUAGCAGCCACCUUUCUUGGUUGAUUCACCGUAAUCGAUUUUGAGUAACCCUUUCUAUAUGUACUCGUGUUGUUCACCUCAUUUUCCUUUUUCUUCGAGGCUGACCUUUUGUUACUUUCUCCAGCAUUAAUCUUCCUACUCCUUAUGGCAUUUUCAAUCAUUUCACCAUUCAUGAUUAUGUUAGAAAAGCUUUUUGUGGCACCUCCUAACAUAUGUGUGAUAAAUGGGGCUUUCAGUGUGUUAAUAAAUAACAUUGUCAUUUCUCUUUCCAGGAGCAAUAGCUAAACUUAGACGGCAACCUCCCUCCACCUUUGUGCGUAUUGCCUAAAACUUUCAUUUGACUUCUUUUCCAUGUUUUGUAGGGUGAUUCUAUCAGGAACCAUAUCUGUUACGUGACUGUACUGCUUCAUGAAUGCUUGUGCUAAAUCCCUCCAUGAACUAAUCCUGGUACGGCUCAAUUGAUUGUACUAUUUAGAUGUUGCUAUCUUAAAAGCAAUGUAUUUGCAGUUGGUUAUUGUUAACAUAUCUAGUCAUCCGCCUACAAAACAUGGUGAUAUGAGCUUCAGGGCAACUGGUCCCCUUGUACUUCUCAAAUUCUGACAUUUUGAACUUGUGAGGGAAUACCAAAUCCGGGACCAAGCUCAGAUCUUUAUCAUCAAUCCCAUGGUAGUUCUUAGUGCUUUCCAUUGCCCUGAAUUUUUCUUCGAGCCUUUUACACCUUUCCUCUAGUUAUUUUGGCAAUUCCUCCUUUGUCUUUUCUUUUUCAGCCAUUUUAUCGAAAUUAGGGAUAGCAGGAUUAAUAGGGUUAUCUCCGGGGUUAGAGCCUGAUCCGGCUUAGAAGUUCAUUGGUAUUAAGGCACCGGCCUGAAACUGCUGAGGCCUGAUUGUGACAGAGGAUUUGCGCGGAUAUACCUCAGCUUGGGUCUACACAUGUGGAGGAGUAAAGCCUGGAGGAUAGAAAGGUCUCUCAUUGUCUCAUUCUUCAGCAUUAGCCAUAUGGCCCUUUCCUUUAUCGUUUCCCCCAGCCAACAGUUGAGUCAACUGAGUCAUCAUGUUUCUUUGAAACUCCAGCAUUUUUUUCAUCAUAUCUUGCUGAAUCUUAGUUAGCUGCUCUUGCAGUUGCAGCUGAAGUUGGUCUUGCAUAUCCUUUUAGAACUGUCCAAGUCUUUUCAAUCUUUGGUCCAUGUCAUUGGUUUUUGCUCGAGUACCGUAAUGAUGCUUAGUCGAUAGACUCUUUUUCGGUUCCCAGGUUAACUAGAAUAAUUUUACCUAAUUAGGGUCAUUUUGUGAAAAUCUAAUACAUAUGAUGCAAUGUAAUGCAAAUGCAUGGAAUGAAUGCAAAAAGAAAGAGAUGCAUUGAUUCUGAAUUCAAUUAUAUUAGAACAACUUUUCUAGAAAACAAAUUUCUUUACAUAAAACGAAUUACAUAUGUAGCUUUGCCCUUAUAUUCCAGGCAAAGACAUCGAUCUUUUUCUUCAUAUCUGGAUGCUAGGAUCAAAUCUUGCAAAUUUUCCAAAAUCUAUCUUUACUAUCUCCUUUUUGUUUGAUCCGAGCCAUGACCUAUUACUCACCCCGCGAUGCUCUUUAGUUUCUUUGAGAUGUGACAACUCUCGAAUAAUCUUUGUCGGUUUGAAUCCUCAGGCAACGAAUCAUAGUCGUAUAUUCCUCCACGAACUUCUAGCCUUCUCUCGUUGUGUUUAAUCAGACCAUAUUUGGGUAGUCGCAUUAUAUUCCACUUUCAAGAAAUUCGUUUUCCAUGACAAGAUUUUCUAUUUAGCAAUUAAAUUUGAAUCAACACCUCUUUCUAUGAUGAAAAUGCAAAGCAAUCAUAAACAAAAUAAAACAAAAUACAUCAGUAGAGAAGAAAUAAACAACAGAAUAGAACACCUAUCUGGGUGACCACUAGGGUUUGGCGCGGCUUUACCUAGGGUAGGUUCUUAAGGCUCUCUAUAUGUGGUUCGGUUCUAAGGCAAAGGUACCUAAACCAGCAUAUUCCUCGAUCCUUACCCAUUAUAGGCUCAUAUGGACCGAGUUCAAUUCAGGGGAAUACAUUUCCCUAUGGCUGCACGGAGAUAAAAAUCUCACGAAGACAUAGGUACGGAUGAUCCCGGAAGCGAUCUACUAUCCUGCACGAAGGUGAAAACCUCACGAAUGAGUAGCUUCUCACUUCCACUUGAAAGGGUGUGACCAACGGUCAUGCAAUGCAAUGUGUGGAGAUAUAAAAAUUUAAAAUACAAAACAUGAUGAAAACUAUAACUCAAAACAGAUGAAAUGCAAUGAGAAGCUUAUAUGUUAAAAACCAAAAUUUCAACUUUCGACAAAAAAGACAAAAAUUAAUCAAUUUACGGCUUGACACUAUUAUGGUCCCUAGUAAAGUCGCCAAGCUGUCGAAACCAUUUUUAUUUUGAAAAAUGGGGUUGACUUUUAAAACGAAAAUAGAGUCGCCACCAAUCUUUUUUCGAGGUGUGAACGGGUCACCUUGAGAUUAAUCAUUUUAAUAAAACAUUUUGAUUUAUUAAAAUAAUGAUUUUGGUCUACAAAAUUCAAGAAAACGGGCUUAGGAGUCAGUUACGCACGAGGAAGGAUUAGCACAUUCGUAAUGCCCAAAAAUUGGUACCUAAUUGAUUAAUUAACGUCCUAAUGUCAAAAAUUUGAAAAGAUUUUAAAAUAUGAUCCUCUUUAAAAACCUGAAUAACUCGAAUUUGAUGUUAAGACCUCCUUGUCCCGAAGUAAUAAGAUGUCACAUCCAGUAAGUUAGGAUACGACAUUUUAACCCUUGAAACUAAUCUUAUCUCAUGCAUUAAAGUUUAAAAAUGAUAUUUGGUUAUUUGGAUCAAAAAAAUCGAAUCCCAGUAAGUUAGGACACGAUUUUCUCAAAGAUCCAAAGUACCAAAUAUUGCCUUAUUUUUAAAAGUUUUCUUUUUUAAAAUUGGGGAAAAUUAACGCAAUAUUAAAAUGAUGCGUAAAAACUUUGAUAAGAAAACAACAAUAUGAAAAUACAAAUAAACAAUUUAUAAAACACACAAUGACAAUUAUUUAAAUACUAGCAUCAAUAAUCAAAUACCAAUGAAUUUAAAACAAAGAGUAUAAAAAAAUAUAAGGUAAAAUAAAAUAUAAACAAAUUUAAAAAUAAUGAAUUUGAAAAUGAAUAAUAAGGGAAAAAGAAAUUUGAAAUCAACAAUAUACAAAUCAAUAAAUAUAAAAAAGUAGGUAAUAUAUGUAUAAGUUUGGAAUAAAUAAUAUAUAAAAAAAUGAAAAUAGGUAAUAUAUAAAGUAAUAAUAUAUAAAUGAGUUUAAAAAUAAAUAUUGUGUAAUAAGGAAUUUAGAACAAGUUAUACACAAAACAUCUUAAAAAUAAAUGGUAUAUAAAAUAGAUAGUAUAAAAAAAAUUUGCAAUUGAUAAUAUAUGGAAAAAAAUUUAAAGCAAAUAAUCAAACAAUUUAAAAUGAAUGAUUUAUAACACGAGUUUUUAAAAAAUAAACAACAUUUGUGACAUAAUAUUAAAAACAAAUAAAGUAUAUAAUUAAUGAAAGAAAAUAAAAGAAUGAUAAGAAUAGUUAAAUGAAUGAACAAUAUGUAAAUAAGAAAGUUGAUGAAUAAAUAAAUGAAUAAAAGUAAAAGAAUAAUUAAUGAUUAAACAAUUAAAUGGAUAAAUAAAAAAAAAGGUUAAAAAAACGCUUAAGUCAGCCUAACUCUCACAAUAUGAAGAUUAAACGAAAUUCCUCCACCAAAAUCCAACUCAAAUGAAAGCAACUUAAAAAGAAACGAAGAUGAACGAAGAAUAAAAUAAGAACAAACCACAGAAAAUAAGAACGCAAGAGAGGGAGAAAUUUGGGUGAAUACUCUUAAGAAUUAUUAUUGCUCCAAACUCAAGUCUUUUACAAUGAAGGGAGAGGCCUCUAUUUAUAGUUGAGCCUCUCCAAAUUCAACGGUACAGAUCAAUUACAUCAACGGCUAAGAUUAAAGGGUAUCUACAAAUCUCUAAGAUUACAAAAUCAUAUCUUCUAAGAUUACAUAUCAUAUUUAAAUUUGCAUAUCCUUAAAGAUUAUAUUUUCAUAUGCGUCAAGCUUGUAGAUGGACCUUCAACUUUUUCAAGUAAUGGACCAUUCCGAUCGGGCUAAAUGAUAUAAUUUUGGACUGGACUUGAGCUUUGUUUUAUUAUUUUGAGUUUAUUAUUAUUUUUUGUGAGCCCGGGUUAAAUUAGCCUAUUACAGCUAGUUAUUUUCUUGCAACGUUGAUUAAUAAAUAUAGGAUGUUUCGUUCUUCUAUUCUAAAUACUAGAAUCAAACAUAUUUCCAAAAGAAAGAAAUUAGAGUGGGGUGAUGUAGCAAGAUUAAGAAUCAACCUUUCUGUUUAUGACCUAUGAACAUAUUAAUUAUGAUUUCACUAUUGUAUGUAAUAAAUCCUUGAUGAGAUUUUGUCCUUUAGUUUAAAAGAAGCCUUUGACCCAACCGUUGAGAGAAUAAUUAUGUAAUCUUUCUUUUCUAUCCAAAUUCCUUUUAUUACAAAAAAAAAAAGAAAAAAAAAAGAGUGGCGUCUUUAGUUUUUUUCUAGUGCUACCAUAUAUUCCUUGCUUGCCAGCAUUUCUCUCCCCCUCUCUCUUCCAUAUAUAAAGGGUUAAAAUGUGCCACAAAUACUUAUAAUUUCAAAAAUUAAAAAUUUAAUCCAUUUAUUUUUAUUUUGUAAUUUUAGUUUUUCUUUUUUUUAGAUUUUAAAAUUCAUUCAAACUCAAUUGUUACCAUUAUUAAUUUUUUGGAUAAGUUUAAAACAAAAAAAAGUUCACUUCAUAUCUAUAUAAUUUUGGAUAAGUUUAAAAUAAAAAAAUUCACUUCGUAUCUAUAUAAUUAAACACUUAAACUUAUAUUUAAUUUAAAUUUAAUAAAAAUUAUAGAUGUUAGCAGUUUAAUCAAAAAUAAAAACUCUAAACAAAAUUCCAUUAAAUAAAACUACAGGACCGACGGACUCGUAAUUUUCCUAAUUUUUAUGAAAUAAAGAAAAUAAAAAUGUUAACAAUUUAACCAAAUAAUUUGAUCUAAAUUCCUUAUUUUCGAAAAGCAGAUUCGUGGAACAUUUUAACAUAUAUAAAUAGGACCGGCGGAUUUUGACAAACGUAGUGAAAGAUCGAAAUUGGCAGAAAAUGAAGGUUUCCGUCAAAACUCUCAAAGGCACUCACUUCGAUAUCGAAGUCAAACCCGAAGAUGCGGUUCGCUUCUCUCUCCCUCUUUUCCCAGGGAUUUUACGUUUCUUGACUAGGGUUUUCCGUUUUCCCCUAUAUUUGAACAUUAAUUCGCGUUCAUCCAGGACUGUAUUAAUUGGACUUAUUAUGCACGUAGUUGAAUUACCAUGCCUGACAUGUAAAAUCGGAGAUCGUGAAUGAUUUGUUCAAUUUUAGUGUCUAAUUCAUUGAAUAUGUUUAUUUAGCUUGUGAAUAGUCUAGCUACUUCGAUUAAGUUUUAGUGGACUGAUACUCGUGUAGCUUGAACGGCAAUAUCAUUUUCUUCUGGCGACAAUUAGCAAUUAAGUACUUCUUCCUACGUAAUGCUUUUUACUAGUUCAUUGAAAUUAGUGAAUAAUACUUUGAUUUGUGGGCUUCAUUUUUGUAUUAGUAUUUCAUUAACUUGUAUCAUUGAAUAUUAAUUCAUAGAUUGCCAUGUAAUUGCUAGUUGUAGUUUGCUAGAUAUAAGUUUGAACUGGGGUAUACACAAGCUUUGAACAUUGAAAUGUGCUAAUAUCUCAUAUUUUGCAAUGUUCUUUCACCUUUUUAAAAAAAAAAAAAAAAUUUAGUGUGGCUAUAAACACCGGAUUAAAUGUACAGAGGCUUCUUUUAAUAGAUCUUCUAUAACCAAGGAUCAAGUUCUGCAUUCUAUGGUUACAUCUAAUCAAGGGUUGUGUUUUUUAAUGAUGUGGAUUUUCUAACUAUAUAAAUAAGCUAUUAUUAUUUUUAUUGUUUUCUGCUACUUUUUAUGCUUUUAAGGCUUAUAUAUGCAUAUAUAUAUGCACAGACAUGAAAUUCUUGGGAUAAAAUGCAUUCUGCCUUCUGCCUUUUACAUUACUUUGUCACUUGGUAUUAUACUAUUCUGCUGCAAAUGCUUGUCAAUUCUUUCAGGUUGCAGAUGUAAAAAAGAACAUAGAAACUGUUCAAGGGGCUGAUGUUUAUCCUGCUGCACAACAAAUGCUUAUCUUUAAGGGAAAAGUUCUUAAAGAUGACACGACACUGGCUGAAAACAGUGUCAAUGAAAAUAGCUUUAUUGUGAUCAUGUUGACAAAGGUGAGUUUGGUUACAGUAUCCUGAUUUUUAUGUUUGUAAUCUUUCAUCUAACUUGUUCUAACUUUUCUGAACUUUGUCCUAAUAAACGCCUAACUGACAUAAUUAUUUUUCACACUGCUGUUGAACUUGAAAGUUAUCUUAGAUAUAACUUAUGAUGGAGUGUUGUAUCAUUAUAUUUUUUUUUUUUUUGAAAUCUGGUUGUUGCUUUCCUUUAGGUGCAUCUUAAAAAUCAAAUUUUUGCUAAACUAGAAAAUUUUCUUUGCACUAUUUUUCGACCUCUUACUUGUAUUGUAUCUGAAUUUAUUUUUCAUGACUGUCAUUUUCAUACGAAUAAUGUCCUUUUUGCUUAAAUAAACUAGAAUAAGGGUGCAUCUGGUGAGUGUUCAACUGCUUCAACAGCUCCUACAAAGAAAGUAAGAUUAUAAUUUUGUUACCUCUCUUACUGCUACUUGCAUGCAUUUUUAGCUACAUUUCUAAAGGCAUUUGUGACUGAUAUAACAUGAAAAGCUUUGGGGUUCUGUUUUUGCCGUGAUGGUAGGUGUUCUUUACUUCAAUGCUAUGAACUAGAACUUGAAGUGAUAGUCAAGCAUCUUGAGCAAAUAUACUUUGUAUACGAGUAGAUCAUCUAAAAAGUUAUAGGUAGCAAAUAGAAUGCUUUUAAGAUUUUGGGUUUAUAGAUAUAGCCCAGGUUUGAGUUGUUUUGAGUCCAACUGAUAGAUAUGUUACACUAUUGAGCUACAAACAUAAUGCAUAAUUUGGAGUUUGAGUUGGUGUUAUUACCAAAUUCAACACCUUAAAUGUUUGAGUUAGUCACAUAAUGUCUGUUUUCCCCCCACUAUACAAUCUUUAGGGUAUGUUGCUUCAAAACCAUGCCUGUUUGCAAAGAUUAUUGUUGAGUAAGUAGUGAUUUUUGAUUCUUUGUAGGCUCCUGAGGCAAGUAGUCUGCCAACAGCUACAGUACCAGCUUCGACUGCACCUGUUGUGACGUCUGCUGCGUAAGUCCCACUAUUCAACACUUUUGGUCAGAUACAGCACCUUUGCAAUUGAUUAAUUGCUUAUUAAUUUCUUAUUCAGGGCUGCACCUCCCGCUGAAUCUGCUCCUGUUGCUUCAAGUACUCCUCUGUGAGUAACUUAUUCUUGAUAGUAACUUUCAUGCUUCUAAUUUGAAGGACAAGCUUGCAUUUGAUUUAAUCGAAUUGCUUUUAGUAGGAGAGAUCUUGGUUUUUUUCCUUGUUUUCCUUUGCAUAAUUGUAAUAUCUUGAAUAAUGUCUUUGGAAACAGGUCAGAUUCUGAUGUUUAUGGCCAAGCAGCAUCUAAUUUGGUUGCAGGGAGUAACUUCGAGGGAACAAUCCAACAAAUUCUUGACAUGGGUGGAGGGACCUGGGACAGGGACACUGUUGUCCGCGCCCUUCGCGCUGCUUAUAAUAACCCAGAGAGAGCUGUUGAAUAUUUGUAUUCUGUAAGUACCUUCUUUGUAUCUUGAAGAAUAUGUGCUUUCUUCUGUGCUUCUAGUUGCUGUUGUUUUAUUAUUCUCCUUAAUGUAGUUGCUGUUGAAUAUAUGUGCUUUCUUCUGCCCUCUCCCUCCCUCCUCCCCCCCCCCCCAAAAAAAAAAAAAAAAAAAUUGUAAACAGGAAUGUUGGAUUUCUAUCAUAUGGUGUCUUAAUUUUUCCCCCCUUGGGAAUGGUGGGUUUUGAUGAUAUUUUAUACUGCACCCUUUUCUUUUCUUCUUUUUAGUUUUCAACUAAAACAAGCAUUCAUUUGUUUCCUAAGCUGCAUCUCAUCUCGUCAUAAAUUAUUGUUGCAAAUACUAGGGCAUCCCUGAGCAAGCUGAAGCUACACCUGUGGCCCAUGCUCCUGUAGUUGGGCAAACCACUAGCCCUGCAGAACCACCUCAACAGCCUGCACAAAUGGCAGCUAUUCCUACAAGUGGACCAAAUUCAAAUCCAUUAGACCUCUUUCCCCAGGUAAAAUUGUCAUGCGGUAGACAUUUGAUAAAUUUGAUGAUGGGCAAAUGAACCAGUGACUUGAUUUCCUUUUAUUGAUACAGGGCCUUCCAAACAUGGGUGCAAGUGGUGCUGGGGCUGGCUCUCUUGAUUUUUUACGGAACAGUCCACAGGUCUCUCUCUUUCUCAUUUGGUUAUAUAUGGGCUUGUUAGCAUGACUGUCAUGUAAAUACCUACCUAGGACUACACUCAGUUUGCAAUUCUCUUUUCAGUUUCAAGCUUUGCGAGCGAUGGUGCAAGCCAACCCACAAAUAUUGCAGGUUAUUCUCUGGUCCCUUGUUUCCCCUCUUCAAUCUUCAUGUGUGUGUUUCAUUUUCUUUUCUUCUUCCUUUUUUCCUUUCACCUUUCCUCAAUGUCUCCCUUUUUAUAUUUUUGGCAGCCUAUGCUUCAAGAGUUGGGGAAACAAAAUCCUAAUCUAAUGAGACUUAUUCAAGAGCAUCAGGGUGACUUUCUUCGCCUGAUCAAUGAACCUGCUGAAGGUGGAGAGGGGUGAGUUUGUUGUUUUUAGUUGCUCAUUUCUUGAACUUAUAUACUGCAUGUAUAUCAAGUGCUUAUUUGACAUUCCUGUUGUAAAGAAACAUUUUGGGGCAAUUAGCUGAGGCGAUGCCACAAGCUGUGCAAGUCACACCUGAAGAACGUGAAGCCAUAGAACGGGUAUGUCAUCUGUUACAUAAAGGCUGACUUGGAUGUGUUCACUAUUCUCUGUAAUCAUGGAUUAUUUAGCUAUCUUCCCCACUGCCUCUGGAAAUGCUUUCAUUUCCUUGGACUUUAUCUGAGUUAUGAAAUAUGCAUCACAUCUUUCUUUUAGGCAAUGGUUUUACUUUUAGAUGAUUAAUAAACUCAAAUUUGUUGCAUUGAUCUUGUGCCUACAAAUACUUUUGUAGUCUCCUUAUUCUCUUGUUCAUUCCCCAUCUCUUGCAGCUUGAAGCAAUGGGGUUUGACCGUGCAACUGUGCUCCAAGUGUUCUUUGCGUGCAACAAGAAUGAGGAACUUGCAGCCAACUACCUUUUAGAUCAUAUGCAUGAUUUUCAGGAUUGAGUUGGUAAAGGAAAUGACUAGGGGAAGUAGAAUUUCAUUCUCUUUCGUUCUUUGGGUCCAUUGUCAUUCAUGUUCCCCCUCCCGUCCCCCCAAAACUCUACCGACUUUAUUCUUAAACAAGUGAUGUAAGUGUUUGGUGUAGAGACAAGGAAUGUGAAGAUGUUAACUUCAUUUUUUUUUCUUUUUUCUUUUUAUUUCAGGACCCAUUAUUUAUAACGUUAUAUACAAGUUUCUUUCUAAGCUUGUGCGUAUUGUACUUUACAUUUUAUGCUAUUAUAAGCACUUGCGACGAGGAGCUGCACCCAACUUUCAAGUUCUUCGAUCAAUACUCUUAGAGGUCUAGACAUGGAAAAGACUUGAGGCAGUAUGACGCAGCCAAAUUUUCCAUAAGUCGAAGGUAAAAACAAUGGACUAAGGAAUCGUCGGGUGGUGAACUCACACUUUUGAAGUGACAUUUUCUUGGGCCCAUUCCCCCCAAUUACUCCGUUGAGGUCUAACUCAAAAGUGAAAAUGAACAGAAUUUCAUAAUUGCUGGACAAUAUGACAUUCCCAGGAACAAAUGAGCAAUAGAUUCAUGUUCAACAUUGCGAAAACAACAGGAUCCACUAGGUUCAUACCUCGAAGGAUCAUAAAAUAUCGGGUUGAGAGAGGUGUCCACCCACAUUUCUAAAGGAAGAACUUUAACUAUGAAGGAAGACGAGCUUUCCAAAUCAAAUUCCAGAGUUAGUUGACUACUCGGGGAAGUGUCAAUAGAGGGAGUACUAAAUGCUAGGAUGAAAGAAUAAGCAUUAGCCAAGGUAAAAGUUCCAGAUUUCGUAAGCCCCCAACCAACAAAAUUUGAUCCCUAGAGUGCUUAAGAACACAUCAAUUAAAUCUUGCGGGAAUUGGACAAAUAUCGAAUAAAAACCACUACGAUCCUAGCUAUUGCAGACUUGCUCGAAAGACCAAAACUCCUCCAAUGGCAGCAGGGGGCCUUGUACAAGAUUGCGGAGAGGGCCUUGUCUUGACCACUUAUCACUAAAAAAAUUCAUUGUUCUACCAUCCUUAAUAACCCAUCUCAUCUCUAGCUCAAUGAAGUGGCGAAUCUUCUUCAAAGAGGGUGUAUUCUGUACAAGGUUUUGAUUACUAGGGUCAGUGAUGUAUUUUGAUAUAAGGAUUUUAGCCCAAAGGGUAGCCUUCUCCUGGAUUAGUAUCCAACCAAGCUUUACUAGCAAAGCUUGAUUUUUAAUUAUUGCUUUCGAUAUACCCAAACCUCCAUAGGUUUUAGGUUGUACGGCCAAAUCCCACUUUAGAAGUUGUCCAUGAUUUGUAUGAUCAUAACUUUCCUAAAGAAAGUUCUUGUUGAUUCAGUCUAGCUGACUAUGAAUACUGGAGGGGAGUAAACAACACUGCAUGUAAUAGUUCUGGAUGGAGGCCAUUGUUGACUGGAUAAGAACCAACCUUCCAAGGGAUAGAAAAUUUGGCUUUUCAAUAGCUUAGCUUGUUAUGGAAAUUAUCAACAAUAAGAUAAUAGUCAUGUUUAGUGACUCUCUUCAUGUGCAUAAAGAACCCAAGAUAUUUCACUAAAGCAUUGGAUAUGCUUUUUCUAGAGUCCGCACAUUUAGGGGAAAAAGCCACUUGGGAUUUCUCAAAGUUUAUAGUUCGUCUAGAUUCUACCAUGAAUAGCUAAAUGAUCCUUUGGAUAGAGGAUACCGAUGUAGCAUAAUUUUUUUGCCAACAAAAUGAUAUCAUAUGCAAAUAAUAAGUGAGAGAACCAGGGUACACUCCUAGAGGGUCGGAUAGGAGACCAAACUUGUUGAUCCACCACUCUUGAAAUUAACAAGCUAAGGAAUUCCAUGCAUAAAAUAAAUAUAUAAGGGGAGAAUGGGUCACCUUAUCGGAUUCCUCUAGAUGGUUUGAAGCUAUUCAAUUUUGAUAUGUUUAACAGCACCGAGGUGGAUGUCGUCGAAAUACAACUCAUUAUCAACUUGACCCAACUAGGGGGAAACCAAAGAAUAUAAGAACUUUACGAAUAAAGCUCUAUUGUAGCUUAUCGUAAGAUUUUUCUAGAUCUAAUUUAAUAGUCAUAAGAUCUUUUUCCCAUUACAAUGAGAAAGGGAAUGGCAAAUUUCCUGCACUAUCAUUGUAUUAUCUGAAGAUAAGCACUUAGGGAGAAAAUUGCCUUGGACCGAGGAUGUAAUGUCAUUGAAGAUGGGUUGAAGACUCAUAACAAGGAUCUUCGUGAUAAUUUUGUAGGAAGUAUUGCAUAAGCUUAUUGGCCAGAAUUGUGAGAUCGAAGCAACUUCCCUAGAUUUGUGAGUAAGCGCGAUUGAGGUUUUGUUUAGCUCAUUGGGGAUUGUAGAGUUAUAAAACACCAUCACAUCGUUGUGAUGUGGGAAGACUCCUCGUCACGAUGUCGCCACCGUGAAAAUCCUUCCCACCUUCAUCGCAUCGUCGUGAUGAGAGAAAUCUUCUCGUCACGACGUCAAGAGUAUUUCUGGCCUUGGCAGCUUCGUUGCUCUAUCAAACUGCCUUGUCUCGUGGCCCAAUGAUCAUCCCUUGAAUUCUUGGACCUGAAUUGACAUCCUACACACUCAAUUAGCCCAUUAGUCACUUACGGGGCCAAAGUCGGUCUUAUGAGUCAUCGAAAUAAAAGAAAAUGCGUAAAGAUACUUUUUUUAUUAAUAUUUAGUUUCUAACCUAGUAAUACUGAAAAUGCAAUAAUUAAUUAUAAGACGCCUAGAAAACAAGCUCGUUAAAUGUAGAAAUGACCCAAACUAAAUUUUACAUUUGAAGCCAGGUCACAUACCCCCACACUUAAGUCCUUGUCUUCAAGCAAACAAAACAAAUUGAAAAUGAAAACUAAACAUGCAAGAAAAGAAAGUGCACUUGAACUAGCUUAAUGCAGGAAAUUGGGCAGAAAUGUAUUAAAAAGAUAAUGUAAAUAAACAUAUAAUUCUAGCAUGAUACACAAUUGACUCGCAAUUUCUAAAAUUAGACAGAUUAGUUCAUUAAAUUACAAAUCAAAUAAAUAAAAGAAUAUUAAGUAUAGGUAUCCAUCAAAAUAAAUAUAUAAAUAUACAAUUAUGUUCAAAUGAAUACAAGUGGUAAAAAUAUCAAAACUUGGCAUGACUGCCAUCCAUAUAGAGUACUACUUAGGUCACAUAGGACUUUUUGGCUUGUAACAUUUUGCGGCUUAAGUUGGUUUGGAAUUCAAGGAACAAACUUGACAAAAUGGCUAAGCACAAAACUAGUUUGACACAUUGUAUUGUCCUUGAUACUCCCCUAAUUUCGAAUAAUCUCACCACCUUAUAUCCACUUCCAGGGGUGAAGCUAGGAAAUUUUUUUAGAGGGGGCCAAAAUGAAAUUUUAAUUUUUAAUAGUCUAUAUUUUUAUAAUUUUCAAAGGAUUAAAUCAAAUUUUUAUAAUUUUAAAGGGCCAAAGUGAAAUUUUACCUUUACUAAAUUAAAAUUUUAAAAAUUUCUAAAGGACCUAAAUAGUAAUUUUCUAUUUUAGAAGGGUCGGGGCCCCUGCCAGCCCCAUAGAUUCGCUUUUUUCAACUUCUCUCACCUUCCUUUUCUCUUCAUCAUUAAUGCCCCGUAUAGUAUUCAUGAGCACAAUCAUUCAAGCUUGAAAUAGUUUUUUUUUCUUUUCAUCGAGAUUUUUUGGAUUGGCAUUUUUCCUUAUUUUGGACAAGCUCAAAAUCUUAUACUCACUAUACCAUACACUUCCUUAGUCACUCAAUUUUUUUCUCUUUUCUUUUGAAACCACCAUGAUGCAUCUACCUAAUCCCUUAAUAUCAAUGGUCGGACAUCAAAAUUUGUGCAAGGACUAAAAAAUAAAUGAUCAAAUAGAUUAUAUAUUAGGCUUAAGGUUUCAUUUAGGGUUCAUCAAGAAAAUAGAUUCAAGCACAAAUUAGGUACUAGGGAAAAUAUAUAUAGGGUUAGCUUUUUGGCUAAAAAAAUUGCCUACCAAAUAAUGCCUUAGGUCGUCCCUAGGUAUUUCAAUGCAUGGAUUAAAUCGGCUAAGUCUCUUGAACGCCUAUAAAUGUGUUAUUUUUUUAUAGUAUAAAUAUUGCACCAAAAAUAUAUAAAAUUAAAUCUGCGGUGUCUGCAAGCGUACGAGUCAGAUUGUAAUAUAGUAAAAUUUACAACGAAACAUUGGUAAGUAUUCUGAGGAUCAUACCCAAGGGAGGAUAAAAUAAAUCUAUAAAAACCUUUUUAGAAUAAUAAAUUUAAAUAGUAAUAAUUAAUUCCUGUAUUAUGAUAAGCCAUAAAAUAGAUUAAUAAGAGAAUUUAAAUAACUAAAACAAAUAAACAAGAAAAAUAACAAAUGCAUUAAAUUAGUAAAACCAAUUAGGAAUAUUAACUCGUUUCAGGGUUUGUAUUUAACUUUGGAUUAGGGUUUUAGGGUAGAUUAGCUACCAAUUAACCAAUUAUUACCUCCCGUCCUCUACUAAUUAAUCAAUUGGUUGAUACUUGCUUAUCUCCCGAUCUCACUUUCUCAACCAGGAUAAACUAAAAUUUACUUGAUUCGACUUAUCUCCCGAUCUCGUCUCACCUAUGAUAACUUCCUAGGGUUGUCAAGCCUAAGGUUUAAGAACACGUAACCUAUACCAACUAAUCCUCUCAAGAAACCCUAAAUUCUUCGUUAAUCACAUCCCUAUCCACUCGUUAAAAAACCCUUAAGGGAUUUAGCCACUCAUGUUAUUCAUAAUCUCUAACUCAAUCAAAUAAAUCAUGUAAAUAACAUGAUUGAAUCGGAAGAGAAAUGAGAUUAGAAUAAUCGUGGAUUGAUAUCGAAUAGAGAACAGUAUAGGAAAUUAUUAAUCGUAAUAAUAAAAUAUAUUGAUUGCAAUGAAGAAAUAAACUGAAUACUUUAAUAAAAUAAAAUAACUCUUGGAUCGAAACAAAUUCCAAGAGGAAAAACAAAUAGUUUAUGAAAAGCCAAAAUAAAAUUAAUCUAAUCCUACUCUUAAGUGCGAAAAUAACACGAAUUAACUACCACAUUUGAUGGCAGGUCAAAUACCCCUACAUUUAAGUCUUUUCUUGUUCUCAAGCAAACAAAACAAAACAAAACAAAAUAAAUACUAAAUAUGAACUAAACUAAAAACAAGAAAUAAAUAUGCAAGGAAAAGAAAAUGUACUCGAGCUAGCUUAAUAAAGUAAAUUGGAUAGAAACAUAUUAACAAGAUAAUGUAAAUAAACAUAUAAUUCUAGAGUGAUAUAAAAUUGACUUGCAAUUUCUAAAGUUAGACAGAUUAGUUCAAUAAAUUACAAGGCAAACAAGUAAAAUAAUGUUAAGUGUGGGUUUUCAUCAAAACAUAUAUACAAAUAUACAUGUAUGCUCAAAUGAGUAUAAGUGGUAAAAACAUCAAAACUUGGAACAAUUUCAUCCAUAUAAAUUACUACCUAAGUCACAUAGGACUUUUCGUCUUGUAGCAUUCUGUGAUUUAGGUUGGUUUGGAAUUCAAAGAAUAGGCUCAAUCAAACAAUUAAGCACGAAAGUAGUUUGUCACAUGAUAUUUUCCCCGAUACUCCCCCGAGUAUACAUAUGCUCACCACCUUAUAUCCACUUCCCUCACCUUCCUUAUUUCUCAAUUUACUAAGGCCUUGUAUAGUAUUUAUGAAUACAAUCAUUUGAGAUCAUAAAAAAAUUAUUAUCUUUUUAUUUCUUUUUUGAACAAAAGUGAGCGUACUUUUUUUCCAGCUCACAUUGUUUUUAUUUUUCAUCGAGAUUUUCUCGAUUGACUUUUUGUCUUAUUUUAUACAAGUUCAAAAUCUUGUACUCAUUAUACCAUACAAUUCCUUAGUCACUCAAAUUUUUUCGUUUCCUUUGAAACCAUUGAGAUUUAUCUACCUAAUCCCUCAAUAUCGAUGGUUGGACGUCUAAAUUCGUGCAAGAACUAAGAAAUAAAAGAUCAAGUAAAUUAUCUAUUAGGCUUAGGGUUUCAUUUUUGGCUCAUCAAGAAAAUGGAUUAAGGCUCAAAGUAGGUACCAGGGAAAAUAUUUAUGGAAUAUCUUUUAGGCUAAAAAAUUUCUACCAAACAAUGCCUUAGGUCCUCCCUAGGUAAUUAUAUACAUGGAUAAAAUAGGCCAAGUCUAUCAAUUUCUAAAACCUAUAAUUCAAUUAAAUAUACAUGCUAUUUAUAUACCUAUUUAUCAUGUGGUAUUGUAACACUUUCCACCCGACCCGAAUCACCGAGUCUGGAUAUAGUGGGCUCCACAUGACAAUCCUACCGUGGGGUAGUUAAAUUGUCAUAUCAUGACAAGAACCACUGAUGGAGGUCGUAGGUCUUGUUUAGGGACCUUCUCUUACUCAAUUUUUUAAAAACAUGCAAGGUUUUUAAUGUUCGAUUUCAAUCAUGAAUGAAUAAUAUAUGUAUGUCAAGUACAUGUGACAUUCUUCCCUAAACUAUAUGACAUGCUUAUCGUACAUAUGCAUGAACAUACAUUCACAGUAAUAUCAAUAUCAUCAUGCUUAUCACAUAUAUAAAAGCAUAAAAAUUUAAAAGACUCUAACUAUCUAAAGUUUCCAUGAUUCCAUCCUAGAAAAAAUAAAAAAAAUAAAAAAAAUUCACCUCAAAGCAUACUUUGGGUCUUCUAUUUUGUCACCAUGGACUUAUGGUACAGUACCAGUUCACGUUUUCAUUGUCAUUGUCUUUUUGCAGCCAUUUUUGUAUCAUUGUCGCUGAACUGCCAUUACUGACCAUAGCUGGGUUAUCUCAAGUCACCAUCGAAUCGCCUCUAGCCACCGUCAUCAGCCUCCAUCGCUAACCCUUGUCGUCGAUCAUCACUGUUAGAUCACCAGUAGUCGCUUGCUGCCAGACCACUGUUGGUCUCAUGCUAGUUUGGCUGGGUCAGGUUUGCAUCGUCUUGAUGGCCUAGAUACGUCUCAGUUCUCCUAGUUCCGUUGAAAAAUUUAGGUAACAAAAUUCCUAUGUCUGUUUCCAGCUCAAAUAUUUUAUUCUAAAAUAAUAAAAUUAUUCCAUGCGUGAAGAUGAUAGUCCACGAUCUAAAAUAUACAUGCCCGAUAAAUCAAUAAAUUUAAUUUAAUUUAAUUUUCUAGGAAUCACAACUUUGGCAAAUUUAUUUUAUCAUACAUAAUAAUAAAAUAAUAUCAUAAAUUCAUUCCUUUAGACAUGCAUACAAUUACAAGAAUGACACAUCUUAUCAAAAUAAAAUUAUAAACAUAAUACAACCCGACACUCUGAUACCAAUUUUUGGAAAAAUAAAUCCUAUUCGAAAACGAUUUUCUUGCAUAGUGAAAAAAAUUUGAAAAUCGUGCCGAUUUGUGAUAUUUAUAGCAAUAAACCCUUUACCAAAAUCGCACUUGUGUUUUUAGCUAGAUGAAUCCUUCUCGUUCUUGACUUUUAAUUGACUAACCUUCUUCGUUAUUCUCAUACCACAAACUGCUUUGAGUGUGGGCUUGAACAAUUUGAAUCAAACACAAAACCAAAAAUAGUUUCCUUAACUUUUAGUGUGAAAAUGAAAAUCUCUUCUCAAUAGAAAUUGGGAAAAAUUUUAUUUUAGAAAAUAGAUUUAAUAUUUGAGAAUUAACUCUCACUAUUUCCGGGCAAAGUAACAAUAUCUUUGAGUUUUAUUUUUAACCCUAUCGAUGCCAUCUAUUUAUAAGGAAAAGAAGUUAAACCUUUGUUGAAUUAUAGAAGUGUAUUUCCAGUAGAAAAAUGAAGUCCUAUUAUAACUAGAAUUAUAGGGGAUGACAACCCUAGUUAAUAAUACUAGGGAUUGUUGUCCUUCCCUUUAACAUGCGGGGCUUUUGGGCCUCUCUCAUAACAGGUUAAAUUACAAGUACUUCCUGAACUUUUAACCUACUACUUUAUAAUUCGAUCCAACCCGAUAUUUGUUUUUUUAUUUCCCAAAAUAAAUAUAUCAAUUUAUUUCCAAUUAAAUAAUCUUCUAAACCCAAUUCUAAUUCUGUUAAAAUCAUGACUUUACCGUAAAAGAAACUAUGAGAAAAUAUAUUUAAUCUACAUUUAAUGGGUUCACUAUGACCAAAUUAUUUAUUUCCAUUUUCAAACUUCAUUUAAUUCAAAAACCAUAAAUUCAUUUUCAGGUCAUUAUAUUUUGGAGAAAAUCACAUUAAUUUCCAAAUGUUUCUCAUUUCUCCAUUUUCACCAUUUCUAUUCAUUUAAUUCAACAUGCAAUUUAUUUAUGGUUUCAACAAUAUAGUGGAAAUAUUGAUUGGACACAUAUGAUUAGGGCUCAAAUAAUUUAUAAUUAAGUUCCCCCUUUUCGCCUAUUAAUUAUAAAGUCAUUUAGUCACGAAGUCAUUUCACUAUAGUAUCGUGAUUGAGCUCUUUCCAACGGCAUACCAUUAUGAAAGCAACUACUCAGUGCUCGUUUAAUGACCUUGUCAUAAGUGUGUUACCCUUAUAGGAUAUCAUUAAUCUCUUUGGGAUAAUAUAUGUUCUCCCAAUAUGAUCCUAUUUUAUUUCAUGGUAAUCAUUACAUCUUCUUUCAUGAAAGGUCAAUCAUUAUCAAAUAGUGAUCAAACCAUCCAUCACAAAGACGGAUGAACCUUGGCCACGUUUAAUUUUCAUCAACUAUGUAAUGCCAAUGAGAGGAUAUCAUUUACCCAUGUUUUGGGCUAUGAAUUCCACAGUUGUGAAUCACGCUACAUACUACAGAAGUCGUACACCCAACACACCAGCUUUCAGUUCCUUAUAUAUUUGAACUCAGACUUUUACUUACAUCAAAGUAUACGAGUCACACAUACAUAGCCCGCCAUUCACUUAGGAUUUAGGUAUGCCACACUGUAAACAUCACAAGUAAAUAAAUACAUAAACGAAUUCAGGAUGUAUUCUUCUUCGGUCCAGUCCAAUGUACUAUCAUUCCAGUUAGUCACAUCUAUGUCUCUAUCUUUUGGGAGUCAUCCACUUUGAUGCCCAAGAUAAAACAUCUCCCCAAUUGGACUUGAUGGAUGGUAUAUUAGUCUUUUAAUCGGUUUUGCUCAUUUCUGAUUAGACUAAGGACAUGUUUAGGUUCAUCUACUAAUAUAAGUUUUCUUUUCGUAUUACAAUCCGACCACAUAAUACCGCUUAGUAUUAGUUCAAACAUUAGAAAACUAGUGAGCCAAUAUUUGCUUCUAUUUUACUUUGCAUGCAGAAACCACAUAAGGAAAAUUAUACAAAAUAAUAUUAAUGUAAUUCAUAAUUUUUUGUUAAUCAAUCUGUUUGAAAAAAAUACAAGUUUACAAACGAAUAUACUACACCCGUGGCAUGAGAUCCAACACUUCUUUCUUUUUCGUGUAACUAGGAAUGUUGAAUUUUUUCGACCUUAAAUCCAUACCUCUAAUCCUAAACUUCCCUAGCACUUUGUCUUCUCUUUUUCUUUUUAGGAAUUAUUGCUUCUUAGGAAUGCUGUCACCUUUAAUUGCAAUGCUAGGUAAGGUAGAAUUAGGGAGUGAGCUUUGGUUGGGGCAUGUGAAUUCUUUGUUGUAUCACUAGCUUUGAAGGUAAAUACCCACCCUUUUCAAUGAUGGUUAAUUGGAAGUCGCCUCGUCAAAGAUGGAAAAAGCACAAUACCAAUGCAUCAUCACUUGGCAAUCCCAGUAAAAUAGUGGCGGGGAAAAUUAUCUGAGAUCAUGUUGGUGGUUUGGUUAUAAGAAGUUAUCGAUAUAUCCCCAAAGCUAACAUCAUCAAGGCUGAGUUGCAUGUGUUGUGAGAUGGCCUUAAACUUGUUGUUGAUUUGAAAAUCUCGCAUUUAGAAAUACAAGUCGAUUGUACUGUUGUUGUUUCUUUUAUUUCUAAUAUGCUUAUUACUAAUCCUCUUGCAAUGUUGAUUAAUGAUUAUAGUUUGCUAUGUGCUUCUAUCCCGAAUACUAGAAUCAAACAUAUUUUCAAAGAAGGAAAUUAGAGUGUUGAUGCCGUAACACCUUAUACCCGACCUGAUCGCUAGGUUCGGGUACUAAGUGUCACAAUCAACCUAAUAUACUUAACAAUAAUUCUAUAUUGAUUUACUUUCAACUUUUAAAUUCUAAGAUAGGUUUCUUAUAUACACAUAACUUCACUCCAAUCUUGUAACAUCCUGAUUUAGAGCUUAGUCGGAACAGUGGUUUCGGAACCACAAAUUCGAUGAGGAAAAAAUUAUUUUUACUAUAUUUUUAUGGCCUACAAUUUCACGAAAAGAUUUCUUGAAAAUUUCGUUGAAAAAUUUUGACGUUUGGGCACUCAAUUUAGUCAAAAGGACUAAAUUGUAAAAAGUGUAAAAGUUGAGUUUUAUAUGUUAAAGGUAUUUAAUUGUUAUGGAACUAUAAAUUAGGGGUCAUUAUAUGGUAAUUAGACCAUUAGUUAGUGAUGGACAAAAAUGGACAUGAGAUAAGUGAAAUAGGAUAUUUUUAAGUAAGGGCAUUUUAGUCAUUUAGUAAAUAAAUAGAAUUAAAAGGGAAAAAGAUGUAAAAAUUGUAUUCAUCAUAUUUACUUGCUGCUGAAAUUUGAAAGAAGUCAUAGCUAGGGUUUCUUCACUUUCUCAAGCUCAUAGUAAGUGAUUUCAACUCCCGCUUUUAAUGUUCUUUAUGUUUUUGGAAUCCCGGUAGCUUAAUUUAGCUUAUUUUAGCAAUAAUUUAACCUAGGGUUCAUAUUUGGAAAAAUACCCAUAGGUGAAAUAUGUUUAUUUUGAUGUUUUAUGGUGGAAUAUGAAGCUAGGAAUUAUGUUAAACAACUUUUGCUAGUCGAUUUUAAGUGAAAACGAGUAUAUUGACAUAAUCGGCAAAAAUACCUAAUGUUCAUAAGCGUUAGAGUAAGAAUUUGAUGUUGUCAUAGAAGGGAAAAAUGUUCAGCAUGUUAUAAAACAUAAGAAUAAGAGAUGAAGUUUAAUUUAUGAGCUUUGGGGCAAAAGUGUAAAUAUGCAAAAGUUUAGGGGCAAAACUGUAAUUUUGCAAAAAUUAAGUCAAGGACUGUUUUGAUGAAUGUGAGUAUUAAAUACGCUAAAUUUGCUAUUAUAGAUCAAGAAGAAUGAAUCCGGAGCUAGAUCGGGGAAAGAAAAAGAUUAAGGACUAAAGUGUUAGAUUUGAUCACAUUUUUAAAUUCGAGGUAAGUUUAUGGUAAAUAAAUGCAAUAUUUCAAUAAUUAUUAUUAAUGCUACUAUUUUCCAGCAAUUAUGUACUUAUUUUAUGAAAUUAUUUAAUGUUGACUUAAGUAUGAGAUGACAGAGAAUCAGUGAUAAAAGCCCCGUUGAAACAUAAGGAAUGUAUCGGAUACAAAUGUCAUGACAUUUGGAUAAAGAGAUCUCAUGUAAUACCAUGUCUGGGACAUGACAUUGGCAUCAUUGAGAUUAUGUGAGGUCCCAUGUAAGACCAUGUCUGGGACAUGAUGUUGGCACCGAGAUGAGAGGUCCCCCAUAAGACCAUGUCUGGGACAUGGCAUGGGCACCAAUAUGAGAACUCCCAUCUAAGACCAUAUCUGGGAUAUGACAUUGGCAGUACAGGAAACAUCUCAUGUAAGACCAUGUCUGGGAUAUGGCUUUGGCAUGUUAUUAUCAAAUAUGAGACCCAAGUAUCCUUAUUAUUCCAAUGUGGCUCAACGGGCUAGAAAACUGAUUAUGUUCUAUGUAAGUUCAAGUAAAAGUAUAAUUAGCAGCUUCAAGUGAGUUAUAAGAGUUAAGAAUAUAUUAUGUUAUCAGUGAGAACCAAUAUUUCAGCAAGAGAAGAGUAAGUUGUAAUCUUAAGCUAUCUAAGUAGGUAAGUAAGUAAACAAGUAAAUGAGAGUAAGUAAAGAGAAAGCUUAAGAACAUGAUACUUGCAUAUCAUUAUUUAUGUUAAAUGUUGUUAUUUAUUUACUUGUAAACUUACUAAGCUUUAUGCAUACUUCUUUUAUUUCUUUUUUCUUUCAUAUAGUAUUAUCAAGCGUAGUCGGGAUCUUGAAGACGUCGGAGAGCGUUCACACUAUCAACCACCACAACUCGGUAUUUUAAGACGAUAAAUGUUUCGAGCUAUGGCAUGUAUAGUGACUUGGUCAUUUUGAUUUUAUAUUCUUAAGAUAUGACCAAAAGAUGAUAUGUAAAUAUUUGAUGAUGAAUAGUUAUUAAAAUGGCUAAGUAUGAAGGUGUUUGUUGUUAUAAAUGUCUAGGUGAUAAAUUAUGCAUAGAAAUCAUGAAAAAGUAAAAAAAAAUUGUUAGCAAAUCAGUUUUGAGACAACAGUAGUGACAUGAUUUUGAAAAAUCACCAAGAAUAGUAGAAAAUGAAUUAGAGGGUGAAUGAGAUAUAUAAUUAAAGCUUAUUGAGUCUAUUUUAUAGAAAAAUAACAUUGUAGACAAAGGAAUUAUGUAUUCUGAGAUAUUUGCAUUUUGGUUAGACAAUGUCAAAGUGGUUUUCGGAAUCUCCUGUUCUAACUUUGGAAAAUCAUUAAAACUUGUACAAAAAUAGUUAUGAGUUUUAAUUUAUAUGUCUAGAUUUCUUAUUGAGUGUAUCUUCUAUAGGAACAAGUGGGAACACCAUAUGAAGUCUGUAAAAUGAGAUAAUUAAAUUUUAGUGAUGAGAGGUCAGGACAGUCGAUCAAUGAAGUAGGGGAGACUUUAACUAAUAAACUAUACUAAUUGGAUAAAACCAAAAAUUCUAAAAAAAUUAUGGUAAAAAGAUAUAUGAUUUUAGUUUUAGGGAAAAUUUAUAGAUCUAAAUUUCAAGUUUUGUAGCUCGAGUUAUAAUUCAUUUAGUAACUACUGCGCAAGUGGACAACUUUGUUGUGAAUAGUGAAAUUAAUUUCAAAAGUAAAAUUUUAUUCCCCAAACUUUUAAGUUAAGUCAAGUAACGCCUCAUGCUCGACUCCAGCAACCGUCUCGGGUAAGGGGUGUUACAAGUAUAUUUAGUUAACAUGUUAAAAAAUAUCACUACAGAUAAAAUUUCUACUAUUUCUAAAGUUUUUAGUAUCAAAUUACCUUAUUGUGUAGGUUUAAGUUUAUAAGUGUACAACAACUUGGGAAUUAAAACUUCUAUAAAAGCCUUCUUAUUCGAACCCCGAGGCAUAGCCUCUAAGGGUGCCUCUUUAAAUGCAUGGUACAACUAUGGCACCAUUUGCGUAACUUCACAACGUUUGGCAUGGUCCCUUCCUAACCCUUGAAUAAUUCUUUAAUCCUGCAUACAAAACAGUAAAAUCAUAAGUUUAGAUGAACUUAGUGAGAUUCUGUACAUCAGAAAUUAAAGGCUCUCAACUUUUGGGUAAAUAAGAAUAAGAGUAUAGAAUUUAAAACUCCUUAGCAAAACUUAGGAAUUUUGUAGUAACACUAGAGUAGCUGAUGCUCAUGUCUUCUUUGAACCAAUCAUUGGCGGAUAUAACUGCUGAUCUGAUCAUAGGUGCACUCUUUCAAACAACCCAUUUUUGGGGCCCAACCUUGUCUAGCUCCAUCUUAGGCUCCCAUUUUACCUUUCUGGCUCGACUAAUCAAGGUUCUAUAUACACGAAUAUGCGAUUUGACAACUACUUUUGGUAGACUAUCAGGUAUCUCACCAUAACUGUGGAUCCUUACCCUAAUCUCUUCGUUCCACCCUAAACUCAAAAUAGGCUUACUACAUUACCCCGAUAAUUUUCUUUUUAUGACUUAUCUUGUGCUUAAACCCUUCUUCUAAGGAAGACCCAUAUACUGAGAAUCUCAUUUGCUAUCUUGAAUUUGAGAAUUGGCUGAUACAUGAUCACCUUGUUCUUUGCGGACUUGUACUCGUCAAUAAUCUCGGAGGACUUACCCAUUUCAGAUCGUUCUACUAAAAUACUCCCAGUAACAGAUAGUUCCCUACGAAGUAUUUCUUUUUUAGAUUUCCCUUGGCAGGCUUUCACAUUUGAUAGUCCUAAGAGGACUUCCCUGCUCUAUACAGUCAUGAUAGACUUUCGUUUCUUCUAUUAUUUCCCGAUGGACUUUCUACUCCAGAUUGUCCUUGGUGUUUUGCUUUCUUAAGAAAGUCAUCGACGGACUUCCCUCUUAUUCUAGCAACCUCUUUACCCAUGAAUACUUAGGAUUAAUAUUUGCAUAAUCAUAUCACUUUAUUACAACCAAAAACUUGUUUACUUAUCGAACUUUGGUGGACCUUUAUGGUGGAUACCUAUUUGCCAAUACUUUGAAGGAAUUUCUCUUUCCUCUCACAUAUAUCCUUGUUAAGACAUUUUUACCAGUUCUACUUACCUUCACAUUUUAGAGGAUUCUCUUAUUAUCAUGUUUGCCCGUGUUUGCAAAUGCACGAUGCUCAUUUUGUUAGACUUCUUGUCGCGCAAAUCAUACAGUGAUUUCCCUUUUUUUGUACCUUGACAGGUUUCCUACUUACUAUCCUGGGAGACUCCAUUUCACCAUAAAGUCUACUUGUUCACCACUAGAUUAUGUCAUGGCUAACCAUGGACUUUUGAUUUUUAAAAAUUAGUAAACCCAUUUCAAAAUGUUUACACAGUGUCGACUUGAAGGACCUAUAUAUUGUAGUCAUGGUGUCACCCUAAAGGACCAUUAGAUAAUCGUCAUCACGGUGUCACCCCAAAGGACCAGUAGAUAAUUGUUAUCACAGUGUCGCCCCAAAGGACAAGUAGAUAACUGUCGUCACAGUGUCGCCCUGAAGGACCAGUACAUAUCUGUUCCAUGAUACCGCUAAACUCCCUUGUAUCCCAUAACAAUUCGUCAAUUCCUUCAUUACGCUAAUUUUUCCUAUCUUCAUCCAACCGUCAUAAUAACUCCUUCCAUACUUCUCAUUUUAAAAACAUGUUUUUUUUCACUUAUUACUAUAACAUAUAACAUGCCAUAUUUCAAUACAUCAAUAUUGGUCUGCUGCAAUUUGUUCAAGGAGAUUAAACCAUUUUUCGUACUUAAGGAGCUUGAAUAAAAGCAAUUUCAUCAUGUUUUACUUAGCUUUUCACUUUUAGUUAUGAAAUAAUAAAGAGUGUGAUUUGAGUCGUUUAUAUGACUUUAGGGCCAAAAUAGGUUAAAAGAAGACUAACGUGUUUGGUGAGUGUGCAAGACAUCAUUUAGAUGUAUGGGAACACAAGACUAGUCACCAUGUUCUAACAUAGAGGUUCGACGUCGGAACAUAGUGAGAAGUAUAACCAAAAUAACAAGAUUGCCUUCAGUGUCGCGACACAACCUUGAAUCUAAGCCUGAGCCAAGUAAACUACAACCAAUGUCGCGACAUAGGGCAGAUGAUGUCAUGCCACCGGCCUGAUGUGAAGAAUUAAUGAGUUGAUGGUGUUUUGGUCCACACAAUGAACUUUAACAUAAAAAAGUCAGUCAAACUAGAGCUAUGAAUGAUAGCCAACCUUAAAUUUGUAAAUAGGUUUCACUAAACACUUCUUAGACAACUUUUCUAUAUGUUUAAACUUUUAUUCUAGUUUAGGUUGCAAAUUUUAUUUAGUUUUCAAUUUUUAGUCCUUUGUAAUUAGGAUUUCUUUUCAAUUUUAUUUUCACUUUUAUUUGACAGAGAAUCUGGUUGGUAGAUUCAUCAAAGUCUUAUUAAAAAAUGUUACUUUCCAACCUUCUUAUAUGCAAAUAUGCUAGUAGAGGGCCAAACCAAGUGACCAUAAUGUAUGUGGUCAAAGACUGGAUUGAAUUGAGGGAGAGAUGCAGUCAAUGCAAACUGAAGUGAAUCAGGUGCAAUUUAAGUGCACCUAAAUGAUAAAAACAUUGACAAGACUAGAAGAUCAGAUGAGCCAAUUGAUAAGCAUGAUGGGGGAUAACAAAAGGAAAAUUGACUCCGGGAUCCCAAGUAGUAUUGAGAAUAAUCCUCAGAGAGAAAGGAAGGAGCACAUUAAAGCAAUUAUGCUCUAUUUGGGUAAAGUACUCAGUAGCCCAAAGAACCCAACUCAAGAGGAGUGCAAGAAAGAUGUCGAUGAUCUUUGAGAAGAAGCUCCUUGAAAUGAUGAUGCUGAACAAGAACCAAAAAAGGUAGUCGAGCCGACAACUAAGUCGGUAGCUGAGCCAAACAGAGAACCUGCACCAACCAAGGUACUAUUCCCUUCACAGUUAGAGGAUAAGUGGAAACAGGAUCAAGCGAAAUUUGUAAUUUUUCUAAAAUUAUUCAAGUCGUUUAAUGUUAACUUACCUCUAAUGGAAGUAAUUGAAAAUUUUCCUAAAUACUCCAAGUACUUAAAAGAAUUUAUGGCUAGGCGUAUGAAAAUUAAAACGGAGAGCAAGCUAAUAUAAAUGCAUCAUGUAGUGUGAUGAUUUCUAAAUAGAUACCCCAAAAACUGAAAGAUCUAGGGAGUUUUGCAAUUUCUAUAGAGAUAGGGGAUAUUCACUUUAAUAAGGCUCUAUGUGAUUUAAGAGCCAAUAUAAAUUUGAUGCCCUUAUCGAUAUACAAGAAACUCAAGUUAGGGGAACUUAAAAACACACAUAUCACACUACAAUUAUCUUAUAGGUCUUCGGUAAAAUGAAAAGGAGUACUUGAAGAUAUGUUGGUUAAGGUGUGUAGCUUUAUAAUCUUGGUCGAUUUUGUAAUUAUGGACUUUAAGGAAGACCAUGAGAUACCUAUUAUGUUAGGUAGACCAUUUUUAGCCAUGACAAGGUCUGCCAUUAAUCUAGAAAAUAAUGAGUUAAUCAUGAAAAUCAAUGGCGAGAUUGAAGUAUUCAAAUGCGGUCACCAGUAGAAUGAGGGAAGUAGGGAAAGUUUAGGGAAAACAUGUUUUGAAAUAUUUGUAAACAUCCCUAAUUACCUUGAUUUGGAAAAGGUAUUUUUUUGUGAUAAGUGCAGGUCGAAAGAGAUUCAAGGAGCGGACCAAGGUGGAGUGACAUGAUGGAUUUUGGACCAACACAGAUAGAAGAUCGAUUAAAGGCACAUCUAAGAAUGCACUGACUAAGCUAACGGACGAAUCCGACAACAAUACUUGAUAUUUUUAAAUUGAGUUAAUUUUUGUGUAUUAUUGUAGUUUAAUAAACUUACGGGUAGUUUAAGAAUUAAUUUUAUUUAACCUAUCUAAAAAUAUGUUUUGAACAUUUUGAAACUCGAGAAGAAGGGCCAAAACAGAGCAGAUGUUGCAAUACGAACCUGACUGCCUCCGGACGUACCAACGUCCAGAGUUUGAAUACUAGAACUAAAAUAUAUGGAAUUAAGGUAGUGUCCGCAAGUAUACGGGUCAGGUUGUAAUAUAAUUACAACGAAGUAGAUAAGUACUCUGAGGAUCGUACCCAAUAGAGGCGAGUACUAAAUUAAUGUCAACCUAAAUACAAAUAGAAGUAAUUAGUGGUUUAAAUAAAUUAUAGUAUGAUAAAACAUAAAAGAAUUUUUUUUGGGAUUUUAUAAAGAGUGAAAUAAAAAUAACAAAAGGAAAGUGAGCUUUAGAAAUAUAAAUUCUAACUUAAUCAAAUCUAAGUAUGGGUGAUUAGUUCACUUUGGUGAUCAUAACUAAUUCCUAUUUCAGGUUUCUACUUAAUCAACUAGUUGCUACCCUAGAAGGAUCUCUCGAUCUUCCACUAGACUAACGAGUUGGCAAGAACUAAUUAUCUCUCGACUUUACAGUUCAAAUCAAUUUGGGGUAAAGGUGUUCACGGAUAGGCCAUACCAAUUUUGGGUUAAUUCCCACCUAAAUUACUUCUUAGGGUCUCCAAGCCUAAAUUUUAAGUUCUUCCUCUCCCUAACAGCUGAUCCGCUAAGAAAACCCUACAUAGCAAUUAAUGAAUCACACCUCCACCCACUAAUCCCCCAUAAAAGGAUUAGUUCUUUGUAGAUCUCAUGUACACAGUAAUCUUGAUAAUAAAGAUAAGCAUGAAUAAUGAAUCAAGAUAAAAUUUUAAGAGAACCCUGAAUUGUAUUGAUUGAAGUAUAGAAUCUAUAGCAGUUUGAUCACAGUUACAAGUCACGUUCUCCGACGAACACGGAAUAGAAUAGAACUGAAAUAAACCUAACACCUAAAAUAAAGGAAAAACUAAAGACUAAAUUUACAAAGAAAGUAAAAGUUGUCCAAAAUAAGUGUUUUAAGAGCCUAUUUAUAGAGUUAGGGUUGCCAUCAUCCUCAACCUUAGGUCAGCUGACGUUCUCGUGUUUUAAUUUCCAUUGUGCAGACCAAAACGCCUCUGAUGUCGUGACACCCUAGUUCUUGUGUCGGGACAUCAAAGGUAGUAUGCAUGGUUCAAGCCUAACUUCAGUAGUGUGUCGUGACAUCUCUUGGCUAUGUUGUGACAUCCAAGGUAGUAUAGUUGUUCUAGUAUUCUGCUCCCUAUGUUGCGACAUCGAACUCCCCGUGUUGCAACAUAGCGACCAACUUUGAGUUUCUAUGCCUUUGAAUGAUCUCUUGCACACUUAGUAAGUACGUUAGCUCACAUUUAGACCUCAGUCGGCCCCUCAGGUAAAUAAAAGACUCAAAAUGCACUUUUUAUUGAUUUAACUAAACUAAGAAAACACAUGUAAAACAUACUAAAAUUUCUCAUCUUCAAGCUCCUCAAGUGUGAAAACUAGUUUAAUAUUCUACUCCGAAUUACAAUAGAUCAAACUUUCCUACACUUAAGUCAUUGCUUGUCUUCAAGCAAAGCAAGACAUAAAUAAAAACAUAAAAGAAUACCCUUGAAAAAGUAUAGUACAAAGAUUGGUUUUGGAGUACAUAACUAGGCAUUUUCAUGUUUACACAUAAUCCUAAAAUGAUAUAUAAACAACUUACUGAUAACUCUUGAAAAGAGUUAUAUCUCAUGCUUUUAGACCCAGAUAAUUGCUUGUACUUAAGUACAUUUUGUUGCAUUUUAGAACAUUUGAGUUAGCAUUUUUAAAUAUUGCAUUAAGACUUGGAUUGUGUUGGAAUUAGGUGCUUUUAAUCGCUUGCAGUGGAGUUUUUUUUAACUAGUAGGAACAUGUUUUUGAACGAGAAAAUAAAGGAGUGAAGUUUUUUUCAAGGCAAAGUACCGACAGUUUGCCAGCACGGAUGCCGUUACAAUGCUAGGAAGACCAAGUCAACAUUUUACGUACUGCAGUUUCGGUUCAAAUUCAAACUUGUACCAGAUAAAUCCCCCUAAAAUAGGAGAAGAUAAUCAUGAGCUGUUACCCAACCCUAGCCUAAUCUAUCUAUAAAUACCGAUGAAUGGGACCUCACAAAUGACAGAAAAAAAGGAGAGAGAGAUCCUUAGGCAUAAAUAAGGGUAUGACUGCGCAAAGGAAAGGAAGUUGAAGGUAGUCCUUCUUAUCCAUCAUAGGAUGCUUUGCUGCCAAAGUGUGGAUUGGGCAAGCAAAAGCUAUUUCUUGAAGUUCUUCCGUUAUUUCCAUUAGUGUUCCUUUGAAAUAGUGAAUUAAAGUAGUGGAAUGGAAUGUCGGAUAAUAUUUUCGUUUGGAAUUUUAUUUCCCAGCCUAUGAGUUAAAUCCCAUAGGGUUGGGAUUACUUUCGAUGAAACUUAAAUUGUUUAUGGUGCAAUAUAUAUUUGAUUUAUUUUUCUGUUUCAUUUGAUUGUUUUUAUUUUGUAAUUUAAAUGCAACGAUCUCUAGACAUAGAAGGCUAUCGACAUACUAUAAAAUGAUUCUAAUUCCAGAAAGGUUGGAAUGGUUGGAUAAAAAUUAAAUGAAAUGAGCAAGUAUUCGAUAGACACUUGUAGUUGACUCUAGACAUAGAGUCACAAUCAUAAAAUAGGAACCCAUGCAAGAUAUCAAAAAUCCUAUAGACACAGGCAAGGUAACUUGAGGUUUUGCUCUCUCGAGAGGCAAGCCAUUUUAUAACUCUUCCGUGUAGUAAAGUAGAUACGAUUUUGCCAAGGCAUUACUGGCAGUAAGGGUCAAGUCUGGGUAAUCCCGACCUUCCAUAUCAAUAACACUCUAUCCUUAUUCUUUGUUGUAGUAUCUCUGCCACAACAUAUUUAGUUGUUUAUUUCUAUUCGGAUAAUCACUCUCGUUAUUGCCAUUACAUUUCUACUUUCACUUUUGCCAUAGCAUUUCCAAUCACUCAUCAAGUUUCAUCUAUCGCAUACUUUACUUCAUACUUACCUUAGUUUACCAUUCAUCAGUCUUGUCAUAGCAUUAACCAGAUUAUAAUAACUUGACAACUUUUGUGCCUCGAUCUGAUCCUCAUGGGAUCGGUACUCACUCAUCACUUUAUUACUUGAACCGACGUGUAUACUUACACAAAAUCACAUAUCAUUUUACACGUGACACUUAUCGCUCCUAAUAUUAACCACCUAAGUUCAGUAUAUUACAAAGUACACAAGCAUUAAGCUUUUCAAAUAUAUGCAUCCAUCAACAAAUCAUAUAUGUAAUUUGAUUAUCCUAGCAAAAUAUAAACAAUCGUGAAAGCAAUUACUUAGUAUGGUGUAAAUUGAUCAUUAAGUCUACCUAGGUCACAUAAGACUUUUCGGCUUCUAUCGUUCUGAAGCUUAGGACGGGUAUGGAAUUCAAGAACAAGAAGCAUUGAUUGCCUCUAGACGUACCCACGUCCAGAGUAGAAAUCCUGCACAGAAUAUAUGAAAAAUGCAAGAUCCGUAAGUAUACGGGUUAGGUUGUAAUACAGUUACAACAGAGUAGAAUAGUAGUCUGAGGAUCGUAACCAAGGGAGGCGAACACUAAAUUAAUUCUAACCUAAGCAUAAAUAGAUCUAGUUAUUACUUUAAAUAGAUUAUAUUACGAUAAAGAAAAAAGAAGGUUUUUAUGAUCUAUACUAAUAAUAAAAUAAAUAAAUAAGCCCGGGAAAUCAAAUAAUAAAAUCUAUCAAAUCUGGGCAUGGGUGAUUAGCUUGCUUCAGUAAUCAUAACCAACUGUUACUUUGGAUUUUCUUAUUCCAUCGACUAGUCGAUAUCCCAGUAGGAUCUUUCGAUCUUCCACUAAAAUAAUGAGUUGGUAACAACUACUUAUCUCUCGAGCUCACAGUCCAGACCAGUUCAGGGUUAAGGUGUUUACGGAUAGACCAUAACAAAUUUGGGUUAAUUCCCACCUUAAUGACUUCCUAGGGUUGUUAGGCCUAGGGUUUAGGUUCUUCCUUUCUUGAAUAGUUGAUCUGCUAAGAAAACCCUACAAAAUAGCUAAUCAAUCAUACCUUCAUGCACUAAUCCCCCACAGGAGGAUUAGUUCCUCAUGGAUCUAAUAAACAAUAUAAACUUGAUAAAACAAAGUAACCAUGAAUAAUAAUUCAAGAGUAUAAAGUUUAGUAGAAGCUUGAUUUGUAUUAGAAUUGAGCACAAAAUCCUCACAGGGUUUGAUUGUAUUUCACAAAUUUGAUCUCUCCCAAAAAAGCAAAUAACAAGAACUAAAAUUAACUUAAAACCUAAUAAGGGAUAAACUAAAGACUAAAUCUAGGAAGAAAAUUAUACAAUACAAAAGCCCUUCCCUAAUAUGUGUAAAAUGAGCCUAUUUAUAGACUUUAGAAUAGUCGUCGUCCUUAACCCUAGGCAACUACUGUCCUCGUGCUUAACAUUUGAUUGUGUAGACCAAAAUGCCCUUAGCUCGUAAUUAUUUCCCGAACAAAGGUGAUGUCGAGAUAGACCAGGUCUUGUGUCGUGACAUUGAGGGUAGUAUGCUCAUUUUCAAGGUAUUUUCAGGGGCGUGUCGCGACAUCCUCAUGCUGUGUCGCGACACUGAAAGAAGUCUUAGAAUUCUUCUCCUCUGCUUCCUAAGUUGUGACAUACAAUGCUCUGUGUUGCAAUACAACGACCAGUAUCGAGUUAGCACGCCUUCAUGCUCAUAAAGUAUAUUAGCUCACCCUUAGAUGUCUUUCGGCCUCUAAGGUUAAUAAAAGACUCAAAUUACACACUUUAGUAAAUUUAACUACAUUUACAAAAACAUAUUUAAAACUUAACUAAAAUGCUUAUAUUCAAGCUCCUAAAGUGUGAAAACUAGUUUAAUCUACUACAUCGAAUUACAACAGAUCAAACUCUCCCACACUUAAAUCAUUGCUUGUCCUCAAGCAAAACAAAAAAAAGUAAAUAAAAAGACAACCCUUGAGCAAGCAUGGCAGAAAUGUUAGCUUUGGAGCAUAUGAAUAAGCAUUUCAUAUUCAUACAGAAUAUUGGCAUGAUAUAUAGCUGACUUACCACUUUUGAUAUCAAGGACCUAUGUUCAGUAUAUUACAAAGCAUACAAGCAUUAAAGGUCUCAAAUGUAGGAAUCCAUCAAUAAAUUAUAUAAGUAAUUUGAUUAUCCUAGCAGGAUACAAACAAUCAUACAUGCAAUUAUUUAGUAUGAUUUCAAAUUGUGAAUAAGUCUAUCUAGAUCACAUAGGGUUUUUCAGCUUGUAACGUUUCAAGGCUUAAGAUUGGUAUGGAUUUCAAUAACAAUAAGCAUCAAAUAGUUUCAAGCACAAAAAUAGUUUGGCACAUCGUAUUGUCCCAUAUUCUCCCUUUUAGUGACCCUUUCCUGCUCACCGCCUUAUUUCUCCUUCUUUCCUCUUUCUUUUAUCUCCUUAUAGUAAAUCUUAGCAUCAUAUAGUAACUACAACUAGCUCACGAGUUUUUGUGCAAUAAUGAUCAAGUUUUUCUAUAGUUGUGACUUUGUCACUUUUCUUUCUUUUUCUUAGUACCUCACUCAUAAUUGUUUCUAUUUUUCACAUAUUCUUUUUCUACUCGUUUAAUUUUUUUUUGAAUAUAUCCUUUUUUUAUAGUUUUAAGCUAACCUAUAAUCACUAUACUCUACUAAUCUUUCAUAUCACUUUAUUUUUACAAAGCUACCGUAAUGUAUCUAUUUAACCCUCAAUAUGUAUGGCCAGACGUCUAUAAUCAUGCAGUUCAAGACUAAAGAAAAGGGUAAGCACAAAUCAUCGCUUUUAUCUCACAUAUUGUAUAGAGGUUCAUCAAGAAGUGUUUUCUGGCUCAAAAUAGAUACUAAGGAUGAAUAAAUAGGGUUAGCUUUUUGGCUCUGGGUGUAUGCCAAAGAAUGCCUUAGGUCAUCCCUAGGUUUCUGAAUAUUCCCAAAUUUAGUCAACCAAACAAUCACAAAUUUAACAAUUUAUCAUUCAUACUAGCAUUCUCGUUUCCUUGUAUUCUCUAUGUCAUUGGUACAAUCAAUUGCUUCAUACCUAUUUAAAAUGUAAUAUAUAGAACUUAAUAAUCUAAUAAUAAAAAAUUUAAAAUCACUUAUCCUCAUGCCAAAUUUACUAUAAAUACAAUCAACCUAUGUACAUGCUCCUAACCAAUCACUUGUACUUUUACAAGCUCAAGCACACAAAUGAUAAGAAAAAUCGAAGAAAAACAAAAAAAAAAUUAAAAUUUUUUUUCUAUGUUACCCCCCACACUUUAGAUAACUCAUCAUCCUCAAUGUGUAGCCCUGAAAAAAAUAAGGAACAAAGUUACCCUAUUGAUCGUGAUAGUUUCAUAGACUAUUGGUGGGUACCUCUGUAAACUCGAAAUUAUAUAGGGUUUUUCUAUAUAAUUUUACCACCUUUUUACUUAAUUAUUUUGUUUAUCUUGAGUAAUUAUUAUUGAAAUAGGUUAAUUUUAAUUAAUUAGUAAUUUUGAACAUGAAUUUUGAAAGUAUGUGAAAUCAUGCUUAAUUACAUUAUUUUUAUGCAUAUUUUAUAUGAAUUCAUGUUAAUUUAUUAAUGUAUUUAUUUUUCACCAUGUAGAAGGUCCAUUGGAGACAUGAUUUAAAUAAAUAAAAGAUGGUCAUGCACAAACUAUCCAACUGGAUGGCAAGACCAUGCAAUUUUGGGCAUGGGGUUGACUAUUUGACCCAGUAAAGAAGAUGAUGAAUGAUAGACAUAUCUGUUAAGUUAUUGGACUGAAAAAAGUUGUCAAACAAGGGGAAUUAAAAGCCCAAUUUCAGCAAUAGAAGAUAGUUACCCAAAAUAUGUUUUGAAAUAUUUAAUGGAAGGUCCUUACAGUUGGAAAAUAAUUAGAAUUCAGCCCAACAACUUCCCUAUUGAAACCGUACACUACAUAGCUAUUUUUAGCUUGAAUUUAAAAUUCAAAUUGAGAAGACUUGGUCAUCCAUUUUCCUUGAAGCAUGGUCAACCACAUAAGAAAGGGAAGAAAGAGAAUUUAAACCUAUUUUUAUUAAAUACCUUGUCAUCCCUCACUUCUAAAUCGUCCCUUAUCACUCAACAUUUCUCUCUCAUUCUCAAUAGUUUUCUCUCAAUUUCUUCUCUCUUUUUCCCUUGCAUAGCCAUUCAUACCCUCUCCAAUAUCUAGCUUCAAAAGAUUUUUCAAAAGAAAUAUUUAGUCGACUACCUUCUAAACCCUUAGAAAAAAAACCUUCAAUCAGAACGAAGGAGCGCUUCAGUCAAAAUAGAUCCGAAAGGCUGCUGAACUGAGUCUACUCUUUCCUCUUGUCAUUUAUUUUAAACUUGUUUGCUUUGAGUUUUAUGUUUUUAACAUCAAAUAUGAAGUUUUAAUUCCUAUCUUCUAGAAUGAUUAUAUUAAUUUAAUGAGAUUUCUUUAAUUCAUGUUAACAUGUUUUGUGCCUCAGUUGAUUAUGUUUUCAAUUAAUAUCAUGAUGCAUUUCAUUCAUACGUGACUGGGUGCACUUAAAUUAGCUGAGCAAUCCUAACCAGAUGACGACUAAUAGACGCAUAAUUGAAAAGUGCAAUGCUUAAUUUAGGUCAUUAAAACCGACUAAGUUAAGGUUCAUAAUAUAUUUAGUUAGCUUUAUUAUCUUGCAUGGUUUUUAGAUUUAUGUAAUUGCAAAUGUAAAUAUCCCUGUGACUUUGCAUAAAUGCCAAGAAACCCUUAGUCUAAUAUGAUCAUUAACACGCAUAUUUAACUAAGUAAAAGAUCUGAGAGGACUUAAUUUGGUUUCCGAACCCAUACGAGAUCAAGUUGCCAUGGAAAUAAUUUCGAGCAUGUUAGCAUGAUGAAAGUAAGUUGAUUUGAUUAAUAUAAUUAUCCUAGCCCAUUUAAUGUUGAUUGUUUUUGUUGCUAAAGCUCUCAUUUCAUACAUUUAGGUAAAUUACAUCUAGAUUAAUUUUGCAUUAGGGAUAACUCUUAAAUUUAAUUUAUCUAAUCAUCACUAACCAAAUUUAUUGAGUUUUUUUACAUCAAAUUGUUAAUUAUAAUUUUGCAAUUAAUUGUUUAAGCUUAUAUAGUCCCCGUGGAGACGAUAACUCAUUUGUACUUACUUAUUACUUGAACGACUAUGUACACUUGCGUAAAUGUUACAAUUCAUUACAACCUCUUCCUUUGAUCAUUGAUAGUUCAAAAUCAUUACGCUUCUUCCAUGUGAGGCUCCUGUAAAGAAAAUUUAAGCACAAAACAACCACUAGUCUAUUAUUACUCCUACUCCUAACAAUUUAACUUAAAAAAAUGAUCCCUAAAAUUAAUACAAUCUUUAAAAACAAAAAUUAUAAGUUCAAUCCUCCUCCUCAAAGACUGUCUCAUCAUCCGACGUAUAAUUAGGUACCCUAAUAUUGUUUUGCCGCACGAAUUCCUAAAAAAUAGGCCCAACUCCUGCAUCCAGUGUAUCAUCCAAUCUAGCUUGGGAUGAUUGCCCUCGCCAAUUUAUUGUUGAGUGGUCAAUUUUGCUUUCCUUUGAGAUGAAGUUGGAGAGACCAUCAUCUUUUGCUGGCGUUUAUUCUAUUCCUUAAUCUGUUUAUCCCGAAGCUCAAUGUACUAUGUAUACAAUGUUUCGCCAAUUAUACUUUGGGAUGGCUGCAUUGAUUCUUUCAUGGAUGUCAUCGAUACACCUUCUCUUUUACAUAAGGCCAUCUCUAAGUGAGGAAAGAAGGCUCCCACUCUCUAGCCACUAACGCAUCGCUUCAUAUUUUGGUAUAUCCAUGUUCCGAUGUGUACCUAUUUUUCUACAAAAUAGAAUAAAGCAAAAUCGAUUGAAAAGUAUUGACAUUAGAAACAUUCAAAGCAGAAGCUAUUCUAGUGCAUAGAAAUUGAAUCCACAUUUUUGCUUCAGGAAACAUUAUUGUUUAAUUAAAGAAGGUUGGAAUAUCAGUACUUGGGCGACAUUUGCAUUCACCCCUCCCAUCUGUUAUCAAGUUUAUAAUGUUGUCAUAUUUAUAUCUCAAAAAUAUUUCAAAUCAAUUUCUUCUGUAAAAUCUUUUUCAUAAAAUGGAGCAUUAUAAAAUUCACAAAUAACCCAAGGGGUAAUUCAUACAUCUUUCCUUCGUAUAGGUAUCGUUUCCCAUGUACAACAUUCGGCUUUUCUAGACUCUUGGUCUCAUAAAGAUACAUAAAAUUCCUGAACUACAGGGACCACGAAAAAGUCCUUUGGGAUCGUUAAAAAAUGCUCCCAUCUAUGAUAUCUAACUAAAGGUCUUAUCUCCUGACAGAGAACCAUCGAUGGUUCGAAUCCCCUCUCUUGGAUAAAUAUUUUUCCCUGAAGUUCUAGAAAAUAUUUUUCAACAGUUGGAUUUGAUAAAUUAAAGGGGUUUAGAACCGUCGAUGGUUCUGAUUCAUUGGUUCUUCUCACUUUUCUUGGAGGCAUUUUGAAUAUUGUUCAAGUUCAAUAAUUAAUGAACUAACGAACAAAUUUUCCAAUGGAACAAUAAAAAUAGGAGUUAGGAACCCUUAACCUUGGAAAAUGAUGUGUUGGAUUCCUUGUAAUAUUCAUUUGUGGUCACUUCUUUUAGUUCUUCCCAUUUGUUUCUGUAUCAAAUAGAGAAGAAUAAAAGAAAUUUUAUAGUAAACUAGUAAGAAGAAGUAAGAAAAGAGUUUUAGGGUUUAUGAAAAUUAAGAGGUUUUGAGGCGUUUAAAGUGUUAAGAUUGGUUUAGGUAGUGAUUUAAUAUGUUUUUGGAUUUUAAAUAAGGUUUUUUAUGGUUAAAAUUGGAUUAAUAAGGUGUUUUAGUUGGCUGGUUUGCGCAGUUGGGUCGGGUCAACCUUGUAAAACAUCCCCAGUAGUUUGCCCUUGUCACAACAUCGAGGUUCGAUGUCGCAACACACUCUGGAAUUUUGGAAUUUUGGGUAAACUAUCUUUGGUGUCACAACGCAUAGAGUCUAUGUCGCAGCAUCGAAUUGGUUUUCUCAAUUCGAGGGAUUCUAGCCUUGGUGUUGCAACACAGGAUUGCAGUGUUGCGACAUUGGCCCUAUUUUUGCCCAAACUUCCAAUUUCUAAAGUGUCACGGUUCCUAUAAAACAUAAACUUCAUAAAAAUUAAAAUCUAGACUAAAAAAUUAGUUAAAUAUAUAAUAAUUUACAAAGAAUUAAAUAUCAAUUUAAAUUAUCAAGUUUUACUGUCGAAUUCAUUCGAUAGCACCAUUAAUGCAUAUAAGGAUGUUUUUCUAGUUCUUUCAAUGUUAGUCCAUCGCCCGUCGUGUCACUCCACCUUAUUUCAUUUAUCUCUUUCCCAGAACCUGUUCUUUUGACCUGCAUUGAUCGUAGGAAGUACAUUCUUUGAUUCGGGAUUAUUAAGGUUAAAAGCAGAUAAUUCAUUACAAUGUUCCCCUAGUCCCUUUUAUUUCCUCACUCUGUUGGUGACCACAUUUGAAAAAAUUUGUUUCGCCAUUGAUCUUCAUAGUUAAUUGAUUUCUCUCCAGAUCAAUGGUGGAGCUUGAUGUAGCUAGAAAAUUUCUGCAUAAUAGAAUGGGUUUCUCACGAUCCUCUUCAAAGUCUAAAACUACAAAGUCCGCCGAAAUGAUAAAGUUGCGCACUUUGACUAACACAUCUUCUAGUAUUCCUUUCGGAUGUAGUGUAAUUUGUGUAUUCUUGAGGUCCCCUAACCUAAGUUCUUCACAUAUUGAUAGAGCCAUUAAAUUGAUACUAGCUCCUAAAUCGCAUAUGGCUCUAUUGAAUUGAAUGCUCCCUAUCUCUAUGGGAAUUGUAAAGCUUCCCAGGUCUUUUAGUUUUUGGUGAACUUGUUUAGAAAUAAUAGCACUAUAGGAAGCGCUCAUGUUAAUUUGUUCUCCUACAUUAAUUUUCCUACAUCUAGACAUGAUUUCCUUUAAAAUUUUGACAUACUCAAGAACUUUCUCAAUAGUUUAACUAAAGGUAGUUUCACAUUGAAUGUUUUGAACAAGUUUAAAAACCUUAGAAACUCGUCUUCAUCCCAUUUUUAUCUCUUCCAACCUUGAAGGGAGCAAUAUCUUUACAAUGAUAGGGUCUUUAAUUGUCUCUUUCUCUAGUUCAACUACCGGUGCAACUACUUCCUCUAGUUUUGGUUCAUCAUCAGCUUCCAACCUUGAAGGGAACAAUAUUUUACAAUGGUAGGGUCUUUAAUUAUCUCUUUCUCCAAUUCAACUACCGGUGCAACUACUUUCUCUAGUUUUGGUUCAUCAUCAUCUUCUAAGGGUCCUUUAUUAAGAUCACUUGUACUCCCCUUAGGUUCCUCCUAAGUAAGGUUCUCUGGGCUACUCAGUACUUUACUUGAUCAAAGCACGAUUGCUUUCACAUGCCCCUUCCCUUCUCUUCAAGGAUUAUUUUUGAUGUUGUAGGGAUACCUAUGCCAAUUUGUCUUUUUAUAUCACCCAUCAUGUUCUUCAAUUAGCUUAUCUGAUCUUCAAACUUAGUUAAUGUUUUUGCUGGAUUGGUGCAUUCAGACUGCACCUGCUUUACUUCUAUCCUCAUUGAUUGCAUUUUCCCUUCGAUUUGAUCCACACGUUGACCACAUAUAGCAUGAUCAUUUGGGUUGGCCCUUUCCUAAGGUUUUUGUAAAUAAGGAGGUUGGUAGUUAGUAUUUUUAACCUGAUUUCAAGUAUUACCUCAUCCUUGAUUUCCUCCCCAUCUUAGGUUUAGAUGAUCUCUCCAUCCAGGAUUGUAAGUAUUUGAAUAAGGAUUUUCACCCCUAUUCCCGAUGUAAUUCACAUCCUCAGUGAAUUGUUAAUAUAGUGGAAGUGUAGUUUGUCUCCUCCAUAUAUAGACGGUGCAUUGUUUUCAGAUUUUAUUUAAUUGAUUCUAUCAACUGUAGAUAUUUGUUAUCCUCCUAAAAAGCCUUCACCGUAGGUGGUCUUUGGCCAUAUUUGUUUCGUUCAAUUGGCCACUAGUAGGAGUUUAUCACCAGAUUUUCUAUUAAUUUGUACGUAUCCUCGUACAUUCGGUUCAUUAAAGCACCUCUUGCGGCUUUAUCCAAUCCUAACCUUCAGUGCACAUCCAACACAUUGUAGAAAAUUUAUAGUCGUAACCACUCAGGAAAUCCGUGGUGUAGGCAUUUCUGAAUCAACUUUUUAAAAUACACCCAUGCUUCGUGAAAAAUUUCUCUUUCUAAUUGUUUAAACAUAGAAAUUUCCCUUCUUAGCUAGACCGUCUUGCUAAUGGAGAAGUAAUUUUGUAGGAAUUUCCCUGCAAGUUCGUCCCAUGUCGUGAUUAAUCCUAAUGCCUGCGAAUCUAACCAAGGAAAGGCAUUACCAAUAAAAGAAAAAGGAAACAACCGAAGAAGAAUAGUGUCAUCAGUGACCCUAUUGUAUUUAAAGGUAUCACAAAGCUGAAUGAACCAUUUUAGACCCUGACUCGAAUCUUCUAUCAUCGUUCCUCAAAACCGCAAAUUAUUUUGAAUCAUCUAGAUCAUAGCUGGCUUGAUCUUAAAAUUAUUGGUCGUGAUGGCUAGCCUCGUUAUACUCCCUUGAACCAUAUCCAGAUUUGAUAACGUAUACUCCCUUAGAGUCCUUUCGUUAUAUGCCUUGAGAUUGUUUGCGGGUAAUUAUGGUGGUGGUGAUGGGUAGUCUAGAUUGUUAUUGUUAGCUUCGUUGAACAAUGGAUUCUCACAUGGUUGUAAAAUACCUUCAGUAGGUAGUUGAUUCUGCAUUGAUUGGGGUUGCUGUUGACAAUUUCUUCGGAUUAUUCAUUCUAAAUCUGUGACUAGCUCUAUAGGUGUUCCCCUACUACAAAUCAUACACUAAACCCAAAGAUAAAAGAUUAGUAUAAAAUAAGAAAAUAAAAUCGUAGCUAUAAUCUAAAAAUUUCCUAAUUAUUCUAUUAAUAUGCGAAAAAUUAAAUUUAUAACAGUGACGUUGCCUCCCUAGAAACGGUGCAACAACUUGACCGCCUCCGAACGUACUAACGUCCAGAGUGUGAAUACUGCUACAAAAUAUAUGGAAUUUGAGGUGGUGUCUGUAAUUAUACGGGUCCAGUUGUAAUAUUUUGUUUACAACGAAACGCUUCGUAAGAAUUCUAGGGAUCGUACCCAGUAGAGGCUAGUACUAAAUUAAUUCUAACCUACAAGCUAAUAGAUCUAAUUAGUACUUUAAAUUAUUUAUAGUACGAUAACAUAAAUAAAAAGGAUUUUUGGGAUUUUUAUAAUAGUAAAAUAAUAAUAAAGAAAUAAAUAACAAGAGAUUGAAAAGUAGAAUUAAUCAAAUCUACGUAUGGGUGAUUAGCUCGUUUCGACAAUCCCCAUCAAUUUUCAAUUUGGGUUCCUCAUAAAUCAAAUAGUCGCUAUUUCAGUAGGAUAUUCUAAUCUUCUACUAAAAUAACGAGUCGAUAAAAACUACUUAUUUUUCGACCUCACAGUCCAGACCGGCUUGGGAUGAAGAUGUUCACGGAUAGGCCAUACCAAUUUUGGGUUAAUUCCUACCUUGAUGACUUCCUAGGGUUGUCAAGCUUAGGGUUUUGGUUACUCUUUUCCCAAAUAGUUGAUCCAUUGAGUAACCCUAUAAAAUAGUUAAUAGAUCAUACCUCUACUCACUAAUCCCCUAUAGAAGGAUUAGUUCCUCAUGGAAUCAAUAAACAUUAUAUUGAAUAUAUGUAUAAAGAAUAAAACAAGAGUAGAGUUUAGAGAAUCCUAUUUGUAUUUGAUAUAUGAAGUGUUGUAAUCCUCAACCGUUUGUUUGCGUCUACAAAUCAAGUUCUCCGAUGAACACGAAUGAAAAGAACUAAAAACAAGUCUAAACCCUAAGAGAAAGAAAAAUAAACUAAAAACUAAAUUUUACAAAAGAAACUAAUAAUUUGAAAGCUCUCUAUAACAAGUGUGAAAUGGGCCUAUCUAUAACAAGUCAAAAUUCAUGUAGUUCAGGACCGAAGUAAAAGGGUAAAUACAAAGUAACAUUUUUGGCUCGGGUUUUGUAUGAAAGUUAAUCAAGAAGUGUAUUCUAACUCAAAAUAGGUACUAAGGAUGAAUAAACAAGGUUAGCUUUUUUACUCUAGGUGUAUACCAAACAAUACCUUAGGUUAUCCCUAAGCAUAUCAAUAUUCACAAAUUUAAUCAAUCAAACAAUCACAAAUUCAACUAUUUAUCAUACAUACUAGCAUGCUAGUUUCCUCGUAUUUUUUAUAUCAUUUGGUAUAUUCAAUAACUCAAUACCUAUUUAUAAUGUAAUAUAUAGAACUUAGUUGUCUAAAAAUUGAAAAUUUAAAACCAUUCACUAUCAUGCCAAGUUUAUAGUAAACACAAUCAACCUAUGUACAUGCUCCUAACCAAUCACUUAUAUUUAUACAAGCUUAAGCAUACAUGUGACAAUAAAAGAAAAGAAAAAGUAUAGAAACAAAAUAAGAAAAAAAUUCCUAUGUUACCCCUAACACUUUAGAUAGCACAUUGUCCCUAAUGUGCACCCCUAUAGAUAAGGAAAGAAGUUACCCGAUUGAUCGUUACAUUGUAGUAGUCUUAUGGUGGUUGCUUCCUACCUUGUUCGUUAAAAGCUCAAAAAUGUUGUGCUUUCUUUCAUGUGAAGUUCCUACAUAGGAAACUUGAAAAUAUAAUAUAUAUAUAUAUAAAUCUACUGUUACUCCUACUCCUAAAAUAAAAAUAAAAAUCAUCCCAAUUAUUUACAAUAGAAAAAAUUAAAAGUUAAUUUAAUCAUUCUCCUCCUCCUAGUAAUCCAUCUCAUUCCCACCACUUCAGCGUCCUCCUCUUUACUACCUUCUCCUUCCUCGGUUCCUUGCUCUUCUAAUUUAGACCACAUUUUUCUGGCUGAUAAUUUGGUACUCUCAUAUUAUUCUACCGCUCGAAUUCUUGAAGAACUAGGCCCGUUUCUUGUAACCAUCUUAUCAUCCAUUCCAUCUUUAGGUUACUACUCUCGCCUGUUUCUUUACAAGAUGUCAAUUUUGCCUUUCACUUAAGUGAAGUUGGGACAUCCAUCUUUUCCUUUCGGCAUUUUUUUCAAUCGUUUACUUUCUUUCGUUGAAGCUUCAUAUAUUGCUUGUAUAAUGAGUCUCCUAUGAGACAUGGCUUCAUGAACUACUUAGUAUUUUUCAUUGGAACUUUGGCCUUCUUGCACAAGGUAGUCACUAAGUGGGGGAAGAAGACCCUAACAUUUUGGUCACUAAUGCACUGCUUCAUAUAAUGGUAGAUCAAUGUCCCAAUGCACAUCUAUUUAUUCUUGGUCGAAAUCUUUUGAUUCCUCGUGAAAUUUCCUUGCACAUUCCUUGCUAAUGUAAUGUGGUUGUUCUGAGAAGGUUGAAUCCUUGUUGUUGUCUUGACAUUGGGAUUCGUUUACUCCAAGUGGGCAAAUGAAAAAUAUGCAACAUAGUAUAAAGGAAAUAAAGUAAAAUAAGCAUUAAAGUAAUAAAAGAAAUAAAACAAAAUUUAAAACAAGAAAUAGAAGUUCUUUAAAGAUUGAGACGUUCUGUGUUGCCACCAUAAAAGAACCUCUAGCUAGUUCUCGGCACCUUGAUCCGAUGUUUGUUUUUCUGUUGAUGUAUUUGAACCGGCCGCUUUGGUUUAUUCAAAUUAUUUUGUCUUAUUUUUUACCGUCGUGAAAUCCACAUUGUCAGUCAUUUAGUACCAAAUCCGAGCCAACCCCAAACUUUUUUUGAGGUAUUAUUGCCUCAAGCUUCCUCCUCUCCCUGUUAUAUGAGGCUUUGGUUACUCGAGCCUUGUUGCUAUUUUCGAAUGAGAAUGAGUCAAACUCCUCGACUUUUUUAGUUGGAACCUUUUCUGCUAUUGCCAGAAAGUGUAUUAACUCUUCUGCACUUUCAUUCAAUAUCGGUUUAACCUCUAUGUUAGUGUUUAAUUCAUCUUUUACUUAUACCUCUAUGGUUAGAUCUAUUACUAUGUGAAUUGGAUCAGAUACCAUUUCAACUAUGUUCAACUCAUCCCCAUAAUCUUUAGUUCUAAGCUCAAGUUGAAUCUCAUCAUGGCUAUCGGUAAUACUAAGGUUCUCAUAAUCCAAGUUUUAAAGGUCAAACAUGUCCUCUUUGAGGUAGCACUUCGGAUAUUUUUUUCAUCAUUUGCACCAUCAUGUUUGACAUGUUUGAUAGGACCUUACAGUUGACCAUCCUUGUGGUUUCACAUGGAAACAUCUCAGAUGAAUCACAAUGAGGCUUGUCCGAAUGUUUGGGCAUAUCAUGUUCUUCAAGUGUUAGAAAUUGUAGGUUGCAAAUUCAUAAUUACUUAUAAGCACUUAUUAGAAUGUGAUGAUUUACUCAAAAGAUACAUUUGAUUCCAUGAGACAUGUUUUUCUAAGAAGUAUGUCCAAUUGAAAUCAGACAUAAAGGAUUGUGACUCUUAAAAAUAGUGUCUAUUGGGUGUAUAUAAAUAGAGGGUCUAUGGUGCUCAUAAAUUACAAUUACAAUCAAUCCUAUUUUUAAAAAAUUAAAGUAAGAGUUAGGGAAUUCCUUGAUUUUUCUAAUCAAAGGAAAUUCAAAAACUUCAUUGUAUCCUGGGAGGACCUUUGUCUUAACCCUUUAGUAACUUUGUGUGGGGGCAAAUAGUUCAUUUUAGAACGCAUCACCCACUCCUAGAAGUCUACUAUUUAUUUCAAUAUCUUCUCCACUCUAUAUAUCUAACAAUCAAAGAGAAAUACUUUGGAGAUGGCGAUGGAGGCUACCACACAUUCAAAGUAACGAACUAAGAGUUUGUGAAACUUGACCGAUUUGAUGGUUCAAACUUCAAUCGUUGAAAGGACAAGAUGUUGUUCGUUCUUACUAUCUUAAAUGUGGCAUACGCUCUGAAUCUGAACCUACAACCCGUGGAGGACCCUACCCUCAAUGCAAACCCCGAGGAAAUUACGAAAGUGGCCGAACUAAAGAAGAAGCAUGAAGAAGAAAAUUUCACAUGUCAAUGACACAUUCUCAACACCUUGUCUAAUCGAUUGUAUGAUCUCUACAUGUCGAAGUAAUCCCUGGUGGAAAUAUGGAAAGCUCUUGAAGAAAAAUACAACACUAAGCGGUAAGGUACUGAUAAAUUUUUAAUAAUGAAGUAUUUUGAAUUCUAAAUGCUCGAUAGUAUCCUGAUCAUAGAUCAAGUCCAUGAAUUAUAAGUCCUUGUAAGUAGGCUUCAUGACUUGAAAUUUGUUAUUUUGGAACUGUUACAAGUCAUCUUGAAGUUCCCCUUGUCUUGGAACAAUUAUCGAAAGAAACUUCAGCGUAUGGCAGAGGACUUCACUGUGGAGAAAAUACUUAGGCAUUUGAUAUUGAAGAAGAAAGUCAGAAGCGUGAUGCGGUGUAUCUUUCCCCAAUUUCUAAAGUGAACCAUAUGAGUGACUCCAAGAACUCUCGAAAUGGUAAGCGAAAGGCCACAUCCGAGGCCAAUGACAUGCAAGACAAGAAGAAAAAAAUCUCGCAAUUGUUAUAAUUGCAAUAGGAAAGGACAUUAUAUUAAGGAUUGCAAACUUCUCAAAAAGAAGCAAGAUGCCACAAAUUCUAAAGCCAACAUGGUGGCAGACAUGGACUUAAUGGCCAUGGUUACGGAAAGGAUCGAUAGUUUGGAGAUUGUUAUGAUUACUGAACUCAACAUAGCCAUGACUGAUAAGUCUUGUAAUUGGUGGCUCGACUCUAGAGCUACCAUCCAUGUGUGUAAUGACCGACAACAAUUCAAGAGUUAUGAACUAGUAGCAAACCGUGAAGUGCUUAUAGGCAACUAUCAAUCGAUUAAGGUACUCGAUCAAGAGACGGUGGAACUCAACUUCACAUCUGAGAAAAAAUUGACUUUGACCAAUGUGUUGCAUGUUCCUGAUAUGAGAAAGAAUUUAGUGUCCACGGCUAUUCUGUGUAAUAAGGGGUUCAAGAUUAUCUUAGAAUCUGAUAAGUUUGUCUUGCUUUAGUGUCCGCGAGGGUAUGUUCAUGUUGAGCAUUGAUAUGAAUAAAGUUAAUUUUUUUGCGUAUAUUGUUGAAUCUAAUCCUUUGUGGCAUGCGCGUUUAGCACAUUUUAAUUUUAAAACUUUACAAUAUAUGCAAAACAAUGGUUAUAUAAGUCUAAGUAAUGAUGAGUUUGUGGAGAAAUGUGAAAUUUCUAUUCAAUCAAAAAUUACCAAAAAUUGGUGUCCUAAUAAGUAUGAAAGGAAUUCACAAGUGUUAGAUUUAAUUCAUUUAGAUGUUUGUGAAUUAAAUGAAACUCUAACAAAAGGUGGAAAAUGAUAUUUUAUCACUUUUAUAGACGACUUCUCUAGAUUUACUUAUGUGUAUCUCAUGAGAAGUGAAGAUGAGGCGUUUGAUAUGUUUAAACAUUUUAAAAGUGAGGUUGAGAAUUUGUUUAGUUAGAAAAUCAAAGUGCUUCGUAGUUAUAGAGAUGGUAAAUUUUUCAAAUGAACUUAAUAUAUUUUGUGAGGAACAAGGUGUGGCACAUGAGUGUUUUGUGCCUUAUACUCUGCCAACAAAAUGGUUUGGUAGAAAGAAAGAAUCGUACUUUAGUAGAUAUGGUUAACUCGAUGUUGUUAAAUGCUAAACUUCCAUAUAAUCUAUGGGGUGAAGCAUUAUUGACUAUAUGUUAUAUUCUUAACAGAAUACUGUAGAAAAAAUUCAAAGUAUCUCCAUAUGAGUUAGGGAAGAGUCAGAUGCCAAACUUAGAUUAUUUCAAAGUGUAGGGGUGUUUGGCUUACUAUAGAGUUCUAGACCAACGGAGAACAAAGUUAGGUCUAAGAGCCAUCAAGGGUGAAUUCAUUGGAUCUGCCCAACACUCUAAGGCUUAUCGUGUUCUUGACUUAGUGUCAAAUACAAUAAUUAAAACAAGAGAUGUCGUAUUCAUUGAAAAUAAGGUUUUUAAUGAUUCAAAAGAUUCAGAAAAAGAAUAUCAACCAAUGAUCUCAAGUGAUCAAACCAAAAAAAUUCUUUGUGACAAUAAGGAUAUGGAGCCGAGGAAAAGUCAAAAAGUGUGAAAAGUAAAGAACUUUGGUCCUGAUUUCAUUUCCUCGCAAUCUCUAGCAUUACUUGUUAAGGGAAAUAAAGAAUCUGUAAUUAGGAAGAUUGUAACGUUGAGGUUGGUGCAAGUGUACACAGUCAUUAUCGAGUAAUGAGUAAGUAUCGAGUUAUCGUCUCCAUAGGGAUUGUAUUUGUGCUAAGUCACUUAAUUUGUAGAAUUAUAUUAACAAUUUGGUAAAUAAAAACACAAUAUAGUUGAGAAGUGGUGAUUAAAAUAUAUUAAACUAAAUGCAAUGAUCCCUAAUGCAAAUUAUCCUAAGUAUGCAAACUAUAUGAAUGAAAUAGAUUUUAGUAAAAUUAAACACAAUUUACAACAAUUAUAACAUAAAUAAACUAGGACAAUUACUUUUAUUAAACUCAAUUUAUUAUCAACAUGCUUAAUAACAUUCGGAAAAACAUUCCAUGACAACUCGAUCUUUCAUGAGUUUGGAAACCACAUUAGGUCCUUUCGGAAUCCUUUACUUAGUAAAUACACAUUUUACUGAUCCUUAUUUACUAAGGGUUUCUUGGCAUUCGUGUGAGGUAACAGGGACGUGUUAGGUUUGAAACAAUUUAAUCACACAAAUCUAAAAACUAUGUAGAUAAUAGAGCUUGGUUAGAGUUGUUAUGCAACCUACAAUUCAAUCGGGUUAGGAUCUAAAUUGAGCAUGCACAUUUCAAUGAUGCGUCCAUUACCCGUCAUCUGGUUAGGAUCGCUCAGCUAAUUCAGGUGCAUUUCAAUCACGUAUGAAUGAAAUACAAAGUUGAUUUUAAUUGAAAACAUGAUCGAUUGAGGCACAAACAUUAUAAGCAUGAAUCAAAUAAAUAUUAUUUAAUAAAAAUAAUCAUCCUAGUUUAAAUAAAAUUAAGCUAUCAUUAUUGUAAACAAGAACAAAGAACACAUAGCAAAUAUCUUUAAAUUAAAUUUAAAGAAAAGGAAGAUUAAACCCAAUUCAGAGUGGAUGUCACCCAAGACUAUGACUAACGAGGCUCAUUCGCUUCUUUGCAUUUCUCCUUUGCUGAUGGCUUUCCAAGGUGGCCGACCAAGGGUUAUUUAAGAGGCUCAAUUGCUAAAAUCCUUAUGCAAGGAUGAUGAAGGGGAAAGAUAUCUAAAAGAGUUGAGAGAAUGAUGAAUGAGUGAGAGAUGAUGGGAUGAGGGAUGAUUGAAAAAGUAAGAAAUGAGCUUUUAUUUAUACGUGAGGCAAGGGAACUAGUUUGCUAAAAAUAGGUGUGUCAAUCCUUUGAAACUUCCUCCAAGAGUGGCCGGCCAUGAAUUGAGGAAAGGUGGCUGAUUUUUCCUUCAUUUUUGGUCAAUUUGAAUGCCACAACAACUCAGGACUAAGACUUGGUUAUCAGUAAAUCUUCGGGAAAAUCUCCGAUUUCUUUAACUCUUCAAGGACUUUGUAUAAUUAAACCAAAAAAUGGUUUAUGACAUCCAUGUGCAGCCAAAAAUUGGGUUGACUUGAUCCCCAAUUUGGACGAUUUUGCAAUUAGAAGUAAACUCUCAGACUUGUCCAAAAAUAGUAGAUAGUUUAGAGGACCAAAUAAUAUAAUUUAACCACUUUAAUUAAUCAAUUUACCUAAUUAACUAAAACCCAAUUUAUUAAUGAAUUAUUAAAAAUGAACUAUUAAACAUAACUUUAUAUUUUAUUAUUUAAUUUAAUCAUGCAUGGCCCACUUUAUAGCUUAAAAAUAUAAUAUGCUCAAAUUAAUAUAAAAUAAGCCAUUUUAUGCAUGAAAACUAUAUAAUAAAGUAUAAAAUCACAUUCUAAUAAUUUCUAUGUCCUAAUUUCAUAUUUUCUCAUUUUUUAUUAAUUUAUUAAACAAUUACUUGGUUUUAACAACAAAUUUAAGUAAAAAUGUGAUGAAUUAUAUAGGAAAAAUCCUAUAUAUUUUUCAGUUUACAAAGAUCCCCAUAAUGUUUAAUGUGGAUGGUGAUUCACAAUCUUAUGGUGAAACCAUGACUUUUAGGGAUGCAAGAUUUUGGAAAGAGGCGAUCAAUGAUGAAAUGGAUUCAAUAUUAGCCAAUAAUACUUGGAUUUCUAGUUGAUCUUCCUCAAGGAUCGAAGCCUAUCGGGUGUAAAUGGGUGUUUAAAAGGAAAAAUACUCCAACAGGGGGUUCUUCUAGCUUUAAGUCUAGGUUGGUGGCUAAAGGAUUUAGGCAAAAGGAAGGCCUAGACUAUUUUCACACUUAUGCACCAAUGGCUAGGAUGACCUCCAUUCAAAUUCUUAUAACAUUUGUAUCUAUCCAUAAGUUACAUAUACAUAAAAUGGAUGUUAAGAUAACUUUUUUAAAUGGUGAUCUCGAAGAGGAAAUCUACAUGGAGCAACUAGAAGGCUUUGCUCUUCCUAGGAAUGAACAUAAGGUGUGUAAGUUUAUCAAGUCAUUAUAUGUUUUAAAACAAGCACCUAAACAGUGGCAUGAGAAAUUUGACUCGAUUAUCUUGUCAUAUGGUUUUUUAAAUAAUGGUGCAGCUAAAUGUAUUUACACUAAAUUCAGCAAUAGAUAUGGUGUAAUUAUUUGUUUUUAUGUAGAUGACUUAUUGAUUUUUGGUAUGAACAUGGAAGGUGUUCGUGAGACCAAAGAGUAUUUAGCCUCGAAUUUUAAGAUAAAGGAUCUCAACGAGGGAGAUACAUUUCUAGGUAUAAAGGUGAAAAAGCAUGAAAAGGGCUUUGUACUAAGCCAAUCUCACUAAAUCGAGAAAGUAUUGGAAAAGUUUAAACACUUGAAUAUGAAGGAUUUGAACACGCUAUACGAUUGGAACUUCAAGUUAAGUGAGAAUAAGGGUAAGGUUAUAGUGCAACUUGAGUAUGCCAACACAAUCGGAAGUCUAAUGUAUGCAAUGCAUUCCACUAGACACGAUAUCGCAUUUGUUGUGUGCCAAUUGGCGAGAUUUACAAAUUGUCCUAGUACCAAUCAUAGGAAAGGAAUUUGUAGGAUUUUUCGCCAUCUUAAGAAAAUAAAAAAUUUAGGAUAAUUCUAUAGUGAUUAUCUCGCGGUACUAGAAGGUUACUCGGAUGCAAGUUGGAUUACAAGUCUAACUGACAAUAAGUCCACAUCGGGAAGGAUUUUUACAAUCAGAGGUGGAGCCAUUAGUUGGGCCUCCAAACAAAAACAAACAUCUCACAUUCAGCUAUGGAGGCUGAAUAGCGGAAUGGCUAAGAGAUCUUUUGCUAGAUAUAAAGUUAUGGCCACAACGUAAGUUCGCCAUUUUCGUAUAUUGCAAUAGUGAAUCUACCAUGUCUCAAGCAUAGAAUAAGGUGUAUAAUGGAAAGUCUAGACAUAUAAGUUUGAGACAUGAGUAUGUCAGACAAUUGAUUAGUGAUGGUGUGAUAACUGUUACCUAUGUUAAGUCAGUUGACAAUUUAGUGGAUCCAUUGAAAAAAAGUUUUUCAAGAGAUUUGGUUAAGAGUACCACCACUAAGAUGGGAUUAAAACCAUUCUAAUCGCUUCAUUGAUAAUGGAAACCCUACCUUAUUCUAGCUAAAAGUUAGUUUCGAGGUUCAAAGGGUAAUAACAAGUUAUUGAAUGACAACGUGAACUAAGGAUCAAGAUUUAAUGUUUACAUUAUAGGAGGAUAAGUUUUACUCUUAAUAGAUUGACAUUAAUUGUCAUGAAAUCCACCAAUAUGGACAUGAAGUGGUGUCGCUUCAACGAGAUUUUCUUUAUGGUUUUCUCUCAUACAUGUUCAUGAAACGGGAUGAGCACAUGGCCAUAACGGUGCUAAAGCAAAUUAAACUCUUACUCUAAUACUUUACGGUUAUGUGUGAAAUUUUUCCAGUACUGACUUUAAGAAUGAUGGUCCAAGCAACUAGCCACCAUUUACUUUGUUGAUAUUUUGAAGAGUUUGCACUAAAGGAAGGUUCAAUCUAUGGACACCUUUCUUUAUGCAUAAUCGUUGUGUACUUAUUUUUUGGAAUUAGCAAUCUAUUUGGGGACUGUAAGAAAUUGUAGAUUGCAAAUACAUAAUUAUUCAUGAGCACUUAUUAGAAAGUGAUGAUUUAUUCAAAAGAUACAUUUGAUCCAUGAGACAUGUUUCUCUAAGAAGUAUGUCCAAUAGAAAUCAAACAUAAAGGAUUGUGACUCUUUAAAAUAGUGUCUAUUGAGUGUAUAUAAAUAAAAGGUCAAUGGUUCUCACAAAUUACAAUCACAAUCAAUCUUAUCUUUUUAGAAAUUAAAGUAAGAGUCAGGGAAUUCCUUGAUUUGCUAAUCAAAGGAAAUUCAAAAACUUCGUUCUAUCUCGGGAAGAACUUUGUCUUAACCCUUUAGCAACUUUGUAUGGGGGCAAAUAGUUCUCUUUGGAAAGCAUCACCAGCGCCUCGAAGUCUACUAUUUAUUUCAAUAUCGUCUUCGGAUUUUUCUUCUCCACUCUAUAUAUCUAACAACAAGUGCCUCAUACAAAUUACUAGUGAACUCAUGUGGAUGUUCAACUAUAUUAGUCCCUUGAUCAUUACUCCACUAGUGCAUUGAGGCUUCGUUUCCACACUGGCUUAGCUCUAUAAUGAAAAUUCUUUUAUUCUCCGUAAUUUCUAAUUCUUUAUAUACUCCCUCUUCAAAUAUUUUGUCAUCAAAAAUUAUCUCAUCGUUAAACCACAUGUAAUUAGUUUCAUCCAUAAUUAAAUGGUUUUUCAAGAUUAAUCUCUAUGGAUUAGUGAAUAACUAAAUAGAUGUUCCUUUCCACUAAAGCAUAUACUGAAAUUAACAAAGAAAAAGAAAGAAGUUAGUAAACUAAAUUAAUAAAUUUCAAAUUACAAAUUGUAUCUAUAAUUCAAAUAUUUCCUAAUUAUUCUAUUAAAACGUAAAAAUUACAUUAAAUUUAGUAAUGUUGCCUUCACAGCAACGACGCCAACAACUUGACCGCCUUCGGACGUACCAACAUCUAGAGUAUGAGUACUACAACUAAAAGAUAUGGAAUUAAGGUAGUGUUCGCAAGUAUACAGGUUAGGUUGUAAUAUAGUUACAACGAAGCAAGUAUGUACUCCGAGGAUCGUACCCAACACAGGCUAGUACUAAAUUAAUGUCAACUUGAACGCAAAUAGAAGUAAUUAGUAGUUUAAAUAAAUUAUAGUACAAUAAAACAUAAAAGAAUAUUUUUUGGGAUUUUAUAAAGAAUAAAAUAAAAAUAAAAAAAGGAAAGUGAGAUUCGAAAAUAUAAAUUCUAACUUAAUUAGAUCUAAGUAUGGUUGAUUAGUUUGCUUUGGUGAUCAUAACUAAUUCAUAUUUCGGGUUUCUACUCAACCAACUAGUCGCUACCCUAGAAGGAUCUCUCGAUCUUCCACUAAACUAAUGAGUCGACUAGAACUACUUAUCUCUCAACCUCACAAUUCAAACCGAUUCGGGGUAAAGGUGUUCACAAUAGGCCAUACCAAUUUUGGGUUAAUUCCUACCUGAAUGACUUUCUAAGGUCAUGCCUAGGUUUUAAGUUCUUUCUCUCCCAACCAGUUGCUCCACUAAGAAAACCCUACAUAACAAUUAAUUAAUCACACCUCCACCACAAAUCCCCCAUAAAAGAUUUAGCUCCUUAUGGAUCUCAUGAACACAGUAAUCUUGAUAAUAAAGAUAAGCAUGAAUAAUGAAUCAAGAUAAAGGUUAAAGAGAAUCCUGAAUUGUAUUGAUUGAAAUGCAGAAUCCACAGUAGUUUGAUCACAAUUACAACUCAAGUUCUUCGACAAAUACGAAAUAGAACAGAACUGAAAUAAACCUAACGCCUAAAAGAAAAUAAAAACUAGAGACUAAAUUUACAAAGAAAAUGUUAGAAUUUAAAAUAUGUCCUAAACAAGUGUUUUAAGAGCCUAUUUAUAGAGUUAGGGUUGUCGUCGUCCUCAACCCUAGGUUAGUUGAUGUUCUCCUGUUUUAAUUUCCAUUGUGCGGGCCAAAAUGCCUUUGGCUCGUUAAUACUUCCUGUAAAGGACUGAUGUCACGACACCCUAGUUCCUGUUUCAUGACAUUGAAGGCAAUAUGCAUGGUUCAAGGCUAACUACAGCGAUGUGUCGUGACAUCCCUUAGCUAUGUUAUGACAUCCAAGGUAGUACAAUUGUAACACCCCAAACCCGGCCUCGAAGUUAUGGCCGAAUCUAGCGGUGUCACAUUGAGGUGUUUAGUGAAAAUUGAACUCGUUGGUAAAAAUUCGUUUCUAGGUUUAAAAACCCCUUUAUUAUUAUUUAACAAAUCAUCUAGUAAAAAACGUUUACCUUGUUAUCUGCUAUUGUGAUAAAAGUUUGAUCUAAAAUCGCAGAAGCUUUUGAAAACUCUAAUGUUUAAAUUUCGUGUCUUUAAAAACAGUAAUUAUUUUGAAAAUUCAUCUUCUGCUAAACUAGAAGUUUAAAAUAAGUAAGCAAAAUCCCAAUUAAAAAUUUAAACAAACAUAAAUGGCCUUAUUACAAAAACAAAACCCAACAUAAACUUUAAAUUUAUUUAAAAACAAUAUAGAUCAGUUGCAGUUGUGUGGCCACCUCCGAGUCCCUCACAGCACCAAAUCGCCUAUAGCUGAGGAUUACCUGUACAGUAAAAAGGAAAGGGUGAGUUUAUGAAACUCAUUGUGUAAUCCCUUACCAAACAGUUAGCAUACAACAUUCAGUAACAGUCUGGGCUUGAGCCCUAAACAGUAAUAGUACAGUGUGGGCCUUAGCCCAUUACAGUAACAAUAUGUGGGCCUUAGCCCAAUAUAGUAACAAUGUGUGGGCCUUAGCCCAAUACAGUAACAGUGUGAGCCUUAGCCCAAUACAGUAAUCAAUACAAUGCAGUAAUGCAACCCAUCCCAAUCCAACUAACAUACCACUCCGUACCACCAACACACCAUGUGGGGAUAAAAUCGACCCACCCAGCCAACACACCAAUAUCGCAGCAAAGCUGCCAGUAACAGUAUCGCAGCAAAGCUGUCAGUAACUAUAUCGCAGUAAAGCUGCUAGUAACAGUAUACUUCCUCCAUAACAGUAUCCCAACCCCAUACAGUAUGUCAUGUCAUAAAUCAUAUGUGUAUGCUAAAUGUCAUACUCAUUCAUAGUCAUACAUAUCAUAGAGCAAAUCAGUUAUACAUAACAUAAGGCCAUAUCAAUCAUUUCAUCUCCUAGGGGUAUAACAAUCAUUAUUUUACCCUAUGGGGGUAAUUUGUUCAUUUUACCCUAUGGGGGUAAUUUGUUCAUUUUACCCUACGAGGGUAAUUCAGUCAUUUUACCCUACGAGAUAAUUCAGUUAUUUUAUCCUACGGGGGUAAUUCGAUCAUUUUACCCUACGGGGGUAACUCGAUCAUUUUACCUUAUAGAGGUAAUUUGGUCAUUUUACCCUACGGGGUAAUUUAGUCAUUUUACCCUACGAGGGUAAUUCAAUCAUUUUAUCCUUCGACGGUAUUUAAGUUAUUUAACCCUAUGGGGGUAUUUCAGUCAUUUUACCCUUCGAGGGUAUUUUGAUCAUUUUACCCUUCGGGGGUAUUUUGAUCAUUUUAACUUAUGAGGGUAUUUCGGUCAUUUUACCCUAUGGGGGUAUUUUAAUCAUUCUAUCCUAUGGGGGUAUUUCGAUCAUUCUACCCUAUGGGGGUAUUUCGGUCAUUCUACCUUAUGGGGUAUUUCCGUCAUUUUACCCUAUGAGGGUAUUUCAGUCAUUUCACCUUAUGGGGGUAUUUCGGUUAUUCUACCCAAUGGGGGUAUUUCGAUCAUUCUACCUUAUGGGGUAUUUAAGUCAUUCUACCCUAUGAGGGUAUUUCGGUCAUUUUACCCUAUGGGGGUAUUUCGAUCAUUUUACCCUAUGGGGGUAUUUCGGUCUUUCUACCCUAUAGGGGUAUUUCGGUCACUUUACCCUAUCAGGAUAUUUUGGUCAUUUUAACUAUUUUGGGUUCUCGAUGCAGAUAUCGACCACCCAGAAUUCCUUCCAGGGCCUGCUGAAUUAUUUUUAUAGAUUCCGUCAUUUCACUAAUUCGGACUAAAUAACGAGCUAAUGAAUCUCCUUCUUUUUGCCACUGGAUUUCCCAAUCAAAUUCUUCGUAACACUCAUAAUGAUAAACUUUCUGAAGAUCCUAUUUGAUUCCAGAUGCUCGUAGCAUUAGGCCGAAUAAACCCAAUUUAUUGCUUCUUCUCCACCAAUAACGCCUAUCCCUUAAACUCGUUCUAAAAAAAUAAGAUUUCACGUAAUAAUUUUUUGAUAUUCAAUGAUUCCUGUUAAAAAUAAUCAAAGAAAUCCAAACAUUUAUCUAUCCAGCCGUAAGGUAGAUCGGCCGCCACUCCUCCGAUACGAAAAUAAUUAUGCAUCAUCCUCAUACCGGUGGCAGCUUCGAAUAGAUCAUAUACUAAUUCUCUUUCUCUGAAAAUAUAGAAAAAGGGGGUCUGUGCACCAAUAUCUGCCAUAAAAGGUCCAAGCCAUAAUAGAUGAGAAGCUAUAUGACUCAACUCCAACAUAAUUACUCUGAUAUAGCUGGCCCUUUUAGGGACUUGAAUAUUCCCCAACUAUUCUGGUCCAUUUACGGUUAUUGAUUCCGUGAACAUAGUGGCUAAAUAAUCCCAACGCGUUACAUACGGCAAAUAUUGUAUAAUUGUUCAGUUUUCUGCAAUUUUUUCCAUUCCUUUGUGUAAAUAACCUAAUAUUGGUUCAUAGUCAACAACAUCUUCACCAUCUAGAGUAACGAUGAGACGAAGAACACCAUGUAUUGAUGGGUGGUGAGGCCCCAUAUUGACUAUCAUAAGGUAUUUUUCUGUAGCUGAUAGAUUCAUAAGUUUUUCCUCGAUUCAUUCUUACAUGAAUUGUUGAAAACGAAAACAAGUACAUCAAAAUGAAAAUUUAAUAAAUCGACUAAUUCAAAAUUUGCAAAUUAACGAUUUUUUGAUUCCCGAAUAUCCAACUCACCAAUUAAUUCUUUAUAACAUAUUUUAUUUGUCUCGAAAGGUCCACAAUCUCCUUGACCGACUCAGGUAACCUAAAUGGUCAUAAUAGUGUAAAUGGGCCCAAGGCCCAUUACUCAGCCCAAGUGAGCCCACACACUUGUGUGGCCCGUUCAACCCAGAUUUCGCCACGGCUAUGAGAUCUACUUAGCCCAGACCAGUAUUUGCCACAAAUCAAUGAUCAUAGCACCCUUGGUUCCCAGGAAAUGUGCCAAUCAACCUCGACCACCACCAGUUAGGAAUGAAAGCAAUGCAGGUUGGAGAGAGCGACGAAAACCUUGAAAACCUCGCCGAUCUCCCAUCGAGAACAAGGAACAAAUGAGAUGAUAUAUAUCUCUCCACAAUAACAACCUCCCCAAAUCCCAAUAUUCUCUCCUCAAAUCUCUCCAAGUAUCCCUCCUUAAUUCUCUCUAUGACCAGUUCAAACUCCAUUUAGCAGUAUUUCAAUCCAACUCUACCACCCACACGAAUUAGGCAGCAAAAUAAAUAUUCCCUUUCUGAUACGCCACCACUCAAACCUUAGACCCCAUGUACACUCCAUACGCCCCUUACCACUAGACCAACAACUCAUUUGUAUCAUAUUUUAACCACAAUAAUUUAAGAACCUACUAUCUAGAUCCAAGGAUUUUAUUCACUUAAAACAAAAAAUUUUGCAUAAGCCAAGGCUUGAACCCCUGACUUCUCAGACACUUCCAAACACUCCUAAGUCUUUUAACCACUAAAGUAGAUAUUCAUUUAUGUCACUUCCUUGCACAACUAAAUAUUUGUGUGCAGUCUCCUAACUGUUCCCUUGUUCAAAACCUAUUUCUUCUAGGCCCAAAAUUCGGGGUGUUACAAUAGUGGUUCUGGUCUUCUACUGCCUUUGAAUAGUCUUCUGCACACUUACUAAGUACAUUAGCCCACUUUUAGGCCUCAGCCGGCCCUUAAGGUCAAUAAAAGACUCAAAAUGAACUUUUCAUUGGAUUUAACUAAACUAAGAAAACAUAAGUAAAACAUACUAAAACUUCUCGUAUUCAAGCUCUUCAAGUACAAAAACUAGUUUAAUUAGCUACACCGAAUUACCACAGAUCAGAAACUCCGUGUUGCAGCACCACUGACAAGAUCAAUGAAUAGAGCAAUUUAGCUCUAUGUCGCGACACGACACCUUUAUUUCAUGACAAAACAGUCAGAUUGUCCCAAAUUCUAAAUAUUUCAAGGUGUGUUGCGACAUCAAUCCCUGAUGUCACGACAUCAGUAUCCUGCCAAGGGUGUCAGGACAUAAAACCCCUAUGUUUCAACAUCACUACAAUUUUUUAUAGGGUCGACCUAACCCUCCAUGCAACCCAUUGGUUUUAACACUUGUUUAACCCGAUUUUUAACCUAAAAACACCUACAAAUUUUAAAUCUAAAACACUUUUAACUUGUUUUUAAACUUUCUCUAACUUUAAACUCUCUCUAAAACCUUCCAAACUCUUGAAACUCAAAAACCUUGUUUACUUGUCUUUCUCUUUUGCUACAAAUUUUCUCCUAUUUUUCUUAUGUUUCUAUUUUUUGUAAGACAAAAGCACCACGACAACAAGGAACUUGCAAUGGAUUUUCAAAAAGAAUCACAAGUUCUCAAGCAAGGUUAAGGCUUUCAAAUAGAUUUUUACUAUUUUAUUACAUUAUUUGCUUGAUUUUUGUUAUUUUUUUAGUUAGAAUAUUAUUCAAAAUGCCUCCUAGGAAAUCUAGAAGUACUAGGGAACAAAAACCAUUGAUGGUUGCAAAUCUCUUGAAAUUUCCAAACGAGAAUGUGGAAAAAUAUUUUUUAGAACUAUAAGGAAAGACAUUCAUUCAAGAAUAGGGUUUUGAACCAUCGACGAUUCUUUACAAAGAAAUUUGGCCGUUAGUUUGGUAUCAUAGAUGGGAGAGAUUUUGCGUGACUCCCAAAGAAAAUGCGAUAAUCCUCAUAAUCCAAGAAUUUUAUGCAUUUUUUAAGGAUUAAGAGACAAGGAGACUAUAUACGGCUAUUUGGAAAACCAUAAUAGUACUAGGGAAAGAGGUGCACUCACCUCUUGUGAAAUUUGUGAGUUUUAAAAUAAAAUGUUUUCCUUGAAAACACAAAUUUAACAAGUUUAAAUGACAUAAAUAUGGAUAAUAUAGUGACCUACUUAACUGAAGAGAAGGUUGAGUGGAAUCAUUGACAGCAUACCGGUCUACCGAUCAAUUUUAAUCAAGCAAUAAUGCUCCCUACUAUGAAUGUUUCUAAUGUAAAUACUUUCUAAGCCAUUUUGUUAUAUGGUAAUUUGCAGAAUAAAUAGAUAUGCAUCGGGGAAUGGAGCAUGAAACAUUGUAUCAACGACUAGAAGGUCGGGGUUUUCUUCCCUCACCUAGUGACGACAAUACGCAAAAAGGCUAAAGUUCCAAUAGAAGCGAAUGAACAAUUCACGAAGCCAACGAAAAGCUUAAUAGGUGACUCUACGUAUACAUAGUAUGUCAAGCUCAAGUGGAAAAAAAUAAAGGAUUGGAACCAGCGAAGAAAGCAAAAGAUGGAUGUCCUGGCAUGUCUAAAAAGAAAAAAGGUAUCAAAAGCUCGAAAAAGAAAGUGAAAUUUCGAACAACGAAUGGUUGAUUAGAUGGAUGCAAGAAACAGUCCCAGUUAUUCAAGAAUUUGCAUGGAAAAAUGGUAUGAGAAUACCAAAAUUACCGCCACCCAAAUAUGCCCCAUUCGAUCCCAUAGCAGAUCCAAAGAGUAAUUUUAUAUAUAUAUUGGUUUUGAAUUUUCUAUGUAGGAACCUUUCAUGAAGGAAAAACUACCAUAAGAAUACGUCAAUGUCACAAUCAAUUGGGUAACUUCAUUCCUAAUCUAUUUAAGGGUUGCACAUUAGGGACAAUGUGCUAUCUAAAGUGUGGGGGGUAACAUAGGAAAUUUUAGUUUCAGUUUUACAAUUUUUCAUUUAUUUUUCUUGUCAAAAGUGUGCUUGAGUUUGUAGAAAUGCAAGUGAUUGGUUAAGAGCAUGCAUAUAGGGUGAUUGUAUUUACGAUAAAUUUGGCAUGAUAGUGAAUUAUUUUAAAUUUUUAGUUAUUAGACUACUAAGUUUUAUACAUUACACUGUAAAUAGGCAUUAAGUAAUUGAAUAUACCAAAUGACAGAGAGAAUAUAGGGAAAUGAGCAUGCUAGUAUGUAUGAUAAGUGGCUAAAUUGUGAUUACUUGAUUGAUUAAAUUUAUGAAUAUUGAGAUACCUAGGGAUGACCUAAGACAAUGUUUGGUAUACACCUAGAGCUAAAAAGCCAACCUUAUUCAUGAAUCCUUAAAACCCAUAUUUGAGCUAGAAAACUCUUCUUGAUAAACCUUCAUGCAAAACCAAAGCCAAAAUAUGAACUUGUACUUGCCUUUUUUCUUUGGUCCCUGAAACGCACGAAUUUACACAUCAUGUCAUAUGUAUUGAGGGAUAAGUAGAGACAUCAUGGUGGUUUUGUAAAUAUAACAGUGAAAUAGAAAGGAGAAACGUGAUAUAGUUAUUAUAAGGUUCAGCCAAAAUGUGUAAAACAAAAGAAAAUUUCAGAAAAAAAUCAAAAUGAGUAGAAAAAGUACUUGAACAAUUGAAAACAAAAUCAUUGUGAGUGGGAAUCAUUGGAAAAGUAAAAAAUGACUCCAAAAGUAAAUGUAAGGCCCAAAAAUAGGUCCAGUAGUUUCGAGUAAGUUUACCGAGUUUCGAGUGAAAAUUGGGAAUUAAUUGGGUUAAUUAGCGAUUUAUAUUCUUAAUUAGUUAGCUUAAUUUUAUCUAAAAAUCGUUAAAUAAUAUUUGGAAAAAUAAAAAUAUUUUUAGAAAAAUUAAUUUCGAAAAAUAAAAAUAUUUUUAGAAAAAUUAAUUUUAUGGUUUUAAAUAAUUUUUGGGUAAAAAUAAAUAUUUUGGGUUAAAUUGGAAUAUAAAAAUAAUUUAAAAUUGGGGUUUAAUUAGGUGAUUUAAAAUAUUAAUUAAAUGAGACUAAUUUGAAAAAAAAAAGGGAAAUGUGUAAGAGGUUUUAUAGAAAAUAAAUCAUAUUUUUAGAAUUUUAGAGGAAAAUGAGCAAAUUGUAAAACAAGGGAAAAUGGGGAGUGGCUUGAUGGCAAAUUCCCCAAAUUUUGAAAAUCAGGUGGGGGUUUUAAGUUUUAAAAACUCUGCAACUACCUCACUUUUCACUCAUUUUCACCUGAAUUGAGAGUGCUCUCUCUCUUUCUCUCUCUCUCUCUCUCUCUCUCUCUCUCUCUCUCUCUCUCUUUGCUUAUUUUCAUAAACCAAAUAUCAUAGAAUAGAUUUAAACAUUUUCUCUCCCAAAAUUCUCCCUAAAAUCUCUCAAAAUAAUUUUAAAAGUUGUGCGAAAAAUCAUCCGAAUUUCUUCAAGCAUUUUGAUUCAAACUUCCAAAUCAAUGAUUUGAGUUCAAUUGAAGGUAAUUCACAUCUUUAAACUUUUUUUAAGUUGAUUUCAAUCAUUAUUUGUUAAUUAAAGUGAUUAUAAUGGAUUUUUAACUUUAAUUUCUUCUUCCUUGAACUUGAGGAUCAACAAUGGUGGAUCUUUAAUUUUGAGUUGGAAUCCAAAUAUUAAUAGAUGUGAAAGCUCAAAAUAGGUCUAAUAAGAGGUUUUUAAUCUUAAACCAAAAGAUCAAACAUGUUUUAUGGAUCAAUUUUGAUAAACUCGAAUUUGAUGAAGAACAUAGAUGAUUUUUUCGAAAAAUUAUGAAACCGAUUAAAUGAUGAAAUUAAUACUUAAAAUACAUGUUAUUGGACUAGGAAUGAAGAUUAGAAGUGGUUUGAGGUGCUGAAAAGGGAGUUUAGUUGAGGAAUUCCACAUUUCGACUUAGUUUUCAACAUCGGUAAGGGAGUUUAGAGCAAUGAUCUAGAUUCAUAUUCUUUAUCAAAUUUCAUUUUUCUUGUUAUUAUUCUUAGUUUGUAAUGCAUAAUUUAUCUCUAUUAAAACUCCACAUCAAGAGGAGGAACAUGCAAAUCAGAAUUGAAGCUCAAACUUGCUUGUUUGAACACUUUGUUUUUUGCUUAAAGAGUUAAGUGUGGAGGUGAGUGAUAUUGAGAGAAAUUUGGUAAAUUGGCCUGAUUAUGUGUUAAAUUAAAGGUUUAAUUGGUUUUAUUAAUGACUUAACUACAUAUUGGAUGGUUGGAUUUGCAAAAAUAUGUUUUAUUUUAUAAAAGAGCAAAAUGGCAAUUGGUUUCGUAAGUUGUGUAUUAUGCUUUUAGCAUGAUUAAAUUUUAUAGAAUAAAUUGAUAUUUGGAGCAUGAAUUGUUGAUUUAUUGAACAUUUGAUAAAUGUGUUCAAUUGGUAUAUGAAUAUUGGGAAAAUGAUAUUUGCCAUGAUUAAUUUUAUUGAUGUUAAAAUUGCUUAGCGACAUGCUUUUUCUUGCAUUUUAACAUCCUAAAUUAAGUGAUUAAACAAUAGAUUUGAUGCCUUGUAUGUAUGAUUAUAUUGGCAACAUUGCAUGGUGAUCCAUUAGAUAUAGUUGGCACGCCAUAUUUGUGAGUACUCACCAUUAUUUGUGAUAUUGUGAGCCUAUGGCUCUUGGUGGAUUGAUUUGUUUGGAGUAGAUAAGAGAGUGUUGAGCUUGAGUCUUCACUCACCAGGUUAUUUGAAGCGCUAUAAAGGAGCAUGUGGCUUUGGCCCACUCAAUUCGGAGGACUUUAUUUGAUUUAUAGGAGUUCGGAGAUGCGUUUAUCCAAUAUAUGAUCACACGUUUACUUAUUGUCAUGGAUGUAUUAUGUCAAUAUAAUUGAUUGAUUGUGCCAAUAUAAUUGAAUUUUUAUGUGUUAAAAGAUGCUUUUAUAUGCCAUGAAAAAAAAUUAUUCUUAAUUAUUGAAAUAGUAUGUGAUGUUAUGGUGAAAUAUUAACAUGUUGUGACUGAAAAUUUAAUGCUUAAUUGCUUUGAUUUAUGCCUGAUUGGGUACAAAUUACUUGAUGUUUUUACUAUCAUUCAUUGAGCUUUUUAAGCUCACACCCUCACAUUACGUGCAGAGAAUUUUCGGGCGUAAGGAGUCGAGAAGCGAGUGCAAGGGCAAUCCAAGAAUAAGGCUUGGCAGUGGCUUAAAAAUUUUACUUUAGAGACUAUAUAGGGGCAUUGUGAUGCUUUUGGGACUAGUGUUAUUUUACUUGUAAUGAACAUUGGACACUAAAUUUUGGACUUUAAUUUUGGUGAUUUUAUAAUUGCUUUAAUACAUGAUUUUAUGUCUCAUUGAUGUUUGAUUUAUGGUAUGUUGAUGAGUGUUCGUACGGUGGUUGAUAACACGAUGAAUGAAGCAUGUAUUUUGUACUAACAAUGUUUAAUUGAAGCUUACCAUGGAGUGGAUUGCUUGCGACUAAGGUAUGUAGCUUGUGUGGAUUAAUUGGUGUUUGCUAAGCGUGUAAUUGGGUGUUAAAUUUUGAUUAUUGCAUAUGUGUUGUAAAUAAAUUAAAUUGGAGACGUGUGGAUGUUUAUGGUGAUUAAUUGUAACUAUUUCAAGUUUAAUGUGCAAGUAAAAUAUGUAAAAUUGGGUAAUUAAAAUGGAUUUUAAACAAAAUAGGUGCAGUGGUUUGCACACGGGCGUGUGUCUUUUCACACGGGAAUGUGGGUUUUGGGGGGUUUAAUUUUUGGUUUUUGUAAUCUAGUAUUCUAAUUUGCUUAAUUUAUAAUUUAGUCCUAAAACUUGAUUAGAUUAAUUAAAGCCUUUGAUGAUAGGUAAACUUGGUAAUAUUUUAGACUUGCAACUAUUAAUAUUUGGUAGAAACAAUCUUAAUUUUUAAUUUGAAAAUGUACUAAAAGUUUGUGAAAGUUACGAUUUAGUCCCUAAUAAUAAAACCUAAAUUAGAUAUAGUAAAUGAACUUGAAUUAAGUUGAAAUUUUUAAGGCUUGCAUAAUUUGACUAAAAGAAGGUAGAUAACUAUUUAGAAAUAAAAUCAAGAUAGUUUAACCUUAGGUGGUAAAAUAACCAAAAUACCCAUAUGUUUAAAUAUUUAGAAAAAGUUUUAAAAUGGUUCACAAAUUGCAUCCGUAUUAAUAAAUGAUAGUUAAUUAGUCAUAAAUGAGGUAUUAUAAGGUUGAGGUGCACGUCGGGUGGUCGUCAGCUAGAGAGUCAAUUCGGUGGCUAAUGUAAUGCUUCGAAUUCGGGUCGGUCCAUCCCAGUCGGGUUUGGGGUGUCACAAUAAAAGUCACAAAAUUAGAAACCUCAACAAUUAGUGCACAAAAAUUUGUGAGCUAACCAUAGUUGCUUUAUUAUACCGUGACUUGCUAUAUGGAGAAAUAAGGAAAGUAAAAGAAUGAGAAAUAAGGUGGUGAGCAGGCAAGGGAUAUUAAGGGGAAGAAUACGGAACAAUGGAUGUGCCAAACUACUUUUGUGCUUGAAAUUGUUUUGAUGCCCUUUUUAUUAAAUUUCAUACCAACCUUAAGCUUUAGAACGUUACAAGUCGAAAAGUCCUAUGUGACGUUGAUAAAUCUAUUCAUGAAUGGACAUUAUAUCAAGUAAUUGCAAUAAUGGUUGUUUGUAUUCUGUUAGUAUAAUCAAAUUACAUGUAUGAUUUAGCAAUGGAUCCAUAUAUUUAAGGACCUUAUUGUUUAUAUAUUUUGUAAUAUACUGAAUUUAGGUGUUUGAAGUUGAGAAUGUUAAGCCAUUGAUGUUGGAUUGUCAGUAUGCCCUGUGACGCAACGAAAAAUUUAUUCCGAUGAUCACCAUCAAAGGAUCAAAGUACGAGGAAUGAAUCGGGUUGAAACAUAAUUGGAAAUAUACCUUUAGCAAUCUAAUUUCCUUUGUGGUGUCGAUUCCAAGCCGUAACAGAAUCAUUUUGGCAUCUACGUAAUCCACUCAAUCAAGCAUGAACAAUAAAACUCUUUGAACUUUUCAGAGAGAAUUUAGAUUGGCUGCUAGACCUCUUGAAUUUUUCCUUACUUCUCAAUCGCAUCAUCAGGGAUCUUUUUCCUUUUAUUAAUUACCUAUAAUAAAAACGGAAUAAUUCUCUUUUACUUCUAGAGAAAAUCAUGGAAGGUAUUAAAGUUUUCUUCUGUCCAAAAGAAUAUUAACUUCCAUAAAUAUUAACUCUGGAAAAUAGUUGCGAAUCGUAUUCACUAGGCGAUAUGUUAGUCAGGCGAUAUAGUCCGCUAGACGAUACUGUCCACCAGGCGAUAUUGUCUGCCAAAGAUGUAUAUAGGAAGGUAUAUGGCCAACAUUUUGUAUGAAUUCUAUUCGCUUUAACCAUAGAGUGUGACCUUGUAGGUUAUUGUAACAGUAGUAGUAAUACUAGAACAUUUCUAAUGUUACAAGCAAUGAGUGGCAUCUAGUAAUGCAUCAUUGCUACCUAAGUUACAAGAAGUUGUGAUUCGACAUAAAAUUUCUAUGAUAAACUUUUAUCCUUUAUAUCUAGAUUGGACGCAAGUCAUGGUAUAGUCACACUUGUAUAGUCCAAUCUCAUAGUUCUUGAUAUUUUGAGUAGACUAAAAUAAACAAAUAAGUGUGAUAUCUCAUAUCAACUUAUUUGAGUAUGGCCAUGCAUUUCUAGUCUCACUUCAUCAAAUGGCCCAAGAUAUUACUCCCAUUAUGUAUGAGGGAUAAAUCAUAUUUUGAUCAAUCAUAUCCCACUACAUGGUUUGUGGUAUAUCCAAUAUCCGUCUUUAUAGUACAACUUUGACUACAUCAAAAUAUACAACUCACGAUGUUAGGACAAUGAUGAUCUCAAGUCUGAGGAUCAUAUACAUAGUUAUCACUGUAAUGUUGUGACUAUUACAUAAUAAUCUAAUAAACAUACUCACAGUGGGUCAAUCCAAUAUGUUGUUCUCUAACACAUACUCAUGUAUUGAUUUUGACAUCCCUAUGUCAAUGACGACACUUUGUCAUCAAUCAACUACACAUUAGUCUCAAUGCAUUAUCGCUGUCCACCCACAAUAAUACUUGACUAAGGACUUUUUAAGAAUAAUCAUAUUAUUCUCAGGACUUUAUUAUUUAUAAGUUUAUUUAUACACACAAAAAUUGAAAUAACAAUGACAAUGUCUUAUAUUAACAACGUCAAUGUCUUAUAUUAACAACAAGGUAAAGACGAGAAUGUAAUUACAAUAAUAUCAUGCCAUAAUUACAUGUAUAUAUGAUUAUUCCUAGUUAUGUGUUCCAAAACUGGUAUUUGUAUCAUAUUUGCUCAAGAGUUGUCUUUUAUUUUUCAAUUUUUAUGUUUUCUUGCUUGAGGACAUGCAAUGACUUAAGUGUAGAGGAGUUUGAUCUACUGCAAUUUGUUGUAGCAGAUUAAACCAUUUUUCAUACUUAGCUUGAAUAAAAGAAAUUUCAUCAUGUUUUACUUAAUUUUUCACUUUUAGUUAUCAAAUAAUAAAAAGUGUAAUUUGAUUCGUUUAUAUGACUUUAGGGGCCAAAAUCGGCCUAAAGGAAGACUAACGUGUUUUGUGAGUGUGCAGGACACCAUUCGAAAGCAUGAAAACACGAGCUGGUCGCCAUGUUGCAACACGGAGGUUCGACGACGCAACAUAGUGAGCAAGACACCUAAAAUAGAAAGAUUGCCUUCGGUGUCCCGACGUAGCUAGAGGAUGUCGCGACACAGCCUUGAAUCUGAGCCUGAGCAAAGUAAACUACCACCAAUGUUGCGACACCAGCUUGACGUGAAGAAUUAAUAAGCUAAGAGUGUUUUGGUCCGCACAAUGAACUUUAACGUAAAAACGCCGGCCAGACUAAAGCUAUGGAUGGCAACCAACCCUAAAUCUAUAAAUAGGCUUUACUGAACACUUCUUAGACAACUUUUCUGUGUCUUUAAACUUUUAUUCUAGUUUAGGUUGCAAGUUUUAUUUAGUUUUCAGUUUAUUUUAACUUUUGUCCGGCAGAGAAUCUGAUUGGUAGAUUCAUUAUUCUUGUGGAUUUUUGUUUUUUCAAAUCAUCAAUACAAUUUAGGAUUUCUCUUAAACUUUUACUCUUGAUUUAUUCUUCAUGUUUAUAUUUUUUAUCAAGUUUAUGUUGUUUAUGAGAUUCAUGAGGAACUAAUCCUCUUAUGGGGAAUUAACGAGUGGACGUGAGAGUACUUAAUUUUUGUGUAAGGUUUAUUAGCAAAUCAACUUUUUAGGAUAGGAAGAACUUAAACCCUAGGCCUAACAACCCUAGGAAGUCAUCUAGGUGGCAAUGAACCAAAAUUUGUAUUGCCUAUCUGUGAACCCAUUACCCCAAUCAGGUCUAGACUGUGAGGUCGAGAGAUAAGUAGUUCUUAUGGACUCGUUAGUUUAGUGGAAGAUCAAGUGAUCCUACUAGGUUAGCGACUAGUUGGUUGAGUAGAGCUCAACAUAGGAUUUAGUUAUGAGCACUAAAGUGAGUUAGUCUUCCAUGCUUAGAUUUGAGUGAUUCAACAAAUUAGUUUUCCAUUUUUUAUUAUUUUAUGUUAUUUAUUUAUUUUUCUUAUAAAAUAAUUUCUCUUCACUUUAUGUUUUAUUGUAAUAUAAUUUAAUUAAAAUACUAAUUAGAUCUAUUACGUCAGAGAUAUUAUUAAUUUAGUAUUCGCCUCCCUUGGGUACGAUCCUCGAAGUACUCUCCUACUUCAUUGUAAAAAACUAUAUUACAACCUGACCUAUAUACUUGCAAAAAUUGCCUAACUCUUAUUUGGUUGCCAGAAUUAUACUCUAGACGUUAGUACAUCUGGAGGUGGUCAAAUGCACAACCACAUUUUGCAUUCAGAGAGCAUACCAACAAUCAUUUAUAUAUAUCCAUGGUAUUAUGCAUGCAUAGUUUACCCUUUAUCGUAAUCAUAUACAACCAUGGAUUUUAGACUGGACUCAAAACAAACACUCGAACAAAACAUUUUAGCAGCAUGAUAACAAAAAAUAACCAAAAUAGAUUCCAGAAACUCACCUUAAGUCCUUUGUCCUCGCCAGCUUAGCUUGUCCAAACACCAGAGUCUCUUUCGUCCUAGAAGCUAAGUAUGACAACCAUAUAUAUUGGUUAAACCGAAAGUAUUCAAAUCUUAAAACUUAUAAUUCAGUAUCAUUCAAAAGCUUCCUAGAGAUUUCAGAAAUCCUUAUUUCCCUUUCUCAAUCCAUGAAUAAAAAAAGAUAGAAAGACUUACCAGUUCCUUAGAUUCUCUACUCCCUAACCUCAAUCCUCACGAUCACUGCCCCAUGCAAUGUUUCAUCAAUUUUCUCUCAUUCGGAGCAACCAGAAAAGACAAUGGAGAAGGAAGGAAAGUAAAAUAGAAAUGAGGAGAAUUCUGCCUUUAAAAUAAUCCUCCUCUCUCAUAUAUAUAACGAUUCUUAUGCACGGCUUAAGGCCCCAAGUAACCAUCCAUCGGCUAUCAUUUUGUCUCCCACUAAGGAAUCAGCUGGUUCCAACGUAACCAAACUAGAAUUGGUUCCCAACUAAUUACCAUUCAACCACCAAAAUUUUCCAAGUUUUCCAGUAGAGCCCUCCAACUUACUAUUUUAUUCAAUUAACUCUUAGCUCUCCAUUAAUUUCUAGAACUUAAAGAAAACCGGGUGUGACAAAUAUUGUAGCAAGACUAAAAACAACCUUAUUGUUUUAUGACCCUCUAGAUGGUCCAAUUAGUUAUGAUUUUUCUAUUUUUUUUAUAAUUAAUCCCUGAUGAGAUUCUCUCUUAUUUUGGAAGAGGCCUUCAGCCCUCCCAUUAGGAAAAAAAUUAUGUAAUCUUUCUUUUCUAUCCAAGUUCAUUUUAUUACCAAAAAGAAAAAAAAGUAGCAGUAUCUUUAGUUUCUUCUAGUGUCACGGGUAGCACAAAGAAGCCCGCAACCAAAGCACACUUUGAUGUUCCCUCUUGUUCAUUGGGGGUCAUUUGGCCUGACAAGAUUGACCCAUUCCUUGGAAAAGACUCAAGGCCUAUCUGCUUGGAUCCUGGCUAAAUUGUAAGCAUUGUAUUUUACCAAGGUAAUUAUUGUAAAUCCUAAAAGAUAAACAUGUAUAGAAUUUGAAUCCCUUAGGACUCUCUUAUUGUAGAUAAGAACUAAUCUCAACCAUUAAUGUAAUUCGAUCUGUACAGUUGGAUUUGAGGGAGCUAAACUAUAAAUAGAGUCAUCUCCCUUCAUUUGUAAUAAUUUCAUUCUUGAGUUAAAGAAUAUAUUGAGAGCAUUUACUCAAACACUUGGUGUGCGAUAUUUCUCUUUGGCUUUUUUGUUCAUUCUUUGCUCUUUUGUUUUUAGUUUGCUUCCAUUUUGCUUUGGUGUAUUAGAGAAUUUCUGCAAAAAUUUUCAUUUUUCGAGAGUAGGCUGACUUGGACGGGAAUUCAACCUAAGAAAUCGCCUAAAGCCGCGCGGUUUGCCAAACUAAAUUUCAAGCCCCAUGACAUUAAUAAUACCAUAUAUUCCUUGAUGGUCAACAUUUCUCUCCAUCUCCUAUAUAUAAAUGGUUAAAAUGUGCUACAAGUCGCUGUACGUUUCAAAAAUUAGGAAUUUAGUCCAUAUACUUCUAUAUCAUUGAUUUUAGUUCCCCUACUUUUUAGAUUUCAAAAUUCAUUUAAGUCCAAUUGUUAACAUUACUUUUUUUGUGACAUUUUUGAAAUAAAAACACUCAAUUGAUACCCAUGUAAUAAAAAAAAGACUUUGUAAUUAAAUUGAAUUUAACAAAAUAAUAAUAAUGUUAACAAUUAAACCUAAAUUUUAAAAUAGGGAUAAAUUUUAAAAUUAUACAUGAACUUUGAUUUAAUGUGUAAUUGUAUACAUAAACUUUAAUUUGGUGCAAUUAUACAUGUGAAACUCUAAUUGUGGUUCAAAUGUAUACUUGAAACUUUAAUUUUGAUUUAAUCGUACAUAUUUAAAAAAAUAAUACAUCAAUUUAUUUUUAUUUGGGAUAAAUAUAUUUAUUUAUGUAUGCAAUAUAUAAAUAUAAAAUGAUGUUAUAUCAAUAAUUGUGUUAAUUAUUUACAAAAAUUAAAUCAAAUCAAAAUUUCAUAUAUAAAAUUAUACAAAAUCAAAAUUUAUAUAUACAAUUAUAUAUUAAACCAUAAUUCAUAUAUAAUUUUAAAAUUUAUCCCUUUAAAAUAUGAAAAAGUAUAAAAAUAAGUUCCUUCAAUUAAGAGUACAAGGUUCAUAUUCUCAAUUUUCAAAAAGUAUAGGUACUUGUGCCACAUUUUAACCUAUAUAAAUAGGAUCGGCGGAUUUAGACCAACGGAGUGAAGGAUCGAAAUUGGCAGAAGAUGAAGGUUUCCGUCAAAACUCUCAAAGGCACUCACUUCGAUAUCGAAGUCAAACCCGAAGAUGCGGUUCGCUUCUCUCUCCCUCUUUUUCCAGGGAUUUUACGUUUCUUGACUAGGGUUUUCCGUUUUCCCCUGUAUUUGAACAUUAAUUCGCGUUCAUCUAGGACUGUAUUAGUUGGAGUUAUUAUGCACGUAGUUGAAUUACCAUGCUUGACAUGUGAAAUCGGAGAUCGUGAAUGAUUUGUUCAAUUUUAGUGUCUAAUUCAUUGAAUAUGUUUAUUUAGCUUGUGAAUAGUCUAGCUACUUCGAUUAAGUUUUAGUGGACUGAUACUCGUGUAGCUUGAACGGCGGUAUCCUUUUCUUCUGGCGACAAUUAGCAAUUAAGUACUUCCUACGUAAUGCUUUUUACCAGUUCAUUGAAAUUAGUGAAUAAUACUUUGAUUUCUGGGCUUCAUUUUUGUCUUAGUAUUUCAUUAACUUGUAUCAUUGAAUAUUGAUGCAUAGAUUGCCAUGUAAUUUCUAGUUGUAGUUUGCUAGAUUUAGGUUUGAAUUUGAGUAUACACAAGCUUUGAUCAUUGCCAUAAGCAUCUCAUAUUUUGCAAUGCUCUUUCACUUCUUUUUAAUUAGUGUGGUUAUGAACACUGGAUUAAAUGUACAGAGGCUUCUUUUAAUAGAUCUUCUAUAACCAAGGAUCAAGUUCUGCAUUCUAUGGUUACAUCUAAUCAAGGGUUGUGUUUUUUAAUGAUGUGGAUUUUCUAACUAUAUAAAUAAGCUAUUAUUAUUUUUAUUGUUUUUUGCUACUUUUUAUGCUUUUAAGGUUUAUAUAUACAUAUAUACAUACAUAUAUAUAUGCAUGUAUACAUACAUAUAUAAGCACAGACAUGAAAGUCUUGGGAUAAAAUGCAUUCUGCCUUCUGCCUUUUUCAUUUCUUUGUCACUUGUUAUUAUACAAUUCCGCUGCUAAUGCUUGUCAAUUCUUUCAGGUUGCGGAUGUAAAAAAGAACAUAGAAACUGUUCAAGGGACUGAUGUUUAUCCUGCUUCACAACAAAUGCUUAUCUAUAAGGGAAAAGUUCUUAAAGAUGACACGACACUGGCUGAAAACAGUGUCACUGAAAAUAGCUUUAUUGUGAUCAUGUUGACAAAGGUGAGAUUGUUUACAAUAUUCUGAUUUUUAUGUUUGUAAUAUUUCAUCUAACUUGUUCGAACUUUUCUGACCAAAGUAUGCUGACUUUGUCCUAAUAAAUGCUCAACUGACAUCAUUAUUUUUCACACUGCUGUUGAACUUGAAAGUUAUCUUAGUUAUAACUUAUGACGGAGUGUUGUAUCAUUAUAUUUUUCUUUUGAAAUCUGGUUGUUUCUUUCCUGUAGGUGCAUCUUAUAAAUCAAUUUGUUGCUAAACUAGAAAAUUUUCUUUGUGCUACUUUUUGACCUUUUACCUCCUUGUAUUUGUAUCUGAAUUUAUUUUUCAUGACUGUCAUUUUCAUACUAAUAUUGUCCUUUUUGCUUAAAUAAACUAGAAUAAGGGUACAACUGGUGAGGGUUCAGCUGCUUCAACAGCUCCUACAAAGAAAGUAAGAUUGUUGUUACCUCUCUUACUACUACUUGCAUGCAUAAUUGGUUGUAAGCAAUGAUUGUCACUGUACCUUUUUAGCCACAUUUCUUGAGACAUUUUGCAAUAAAUAUGACAUGAAAAGUGUUGGGAUUCUGUUUUUUCCAUGAUGGUAGAUGUUCUUUAUUUCAAUGCUAUCUAGAACUUGAAGUGAUAGUCAAGCAUCUUGAACAAAUAUAAUUUGUAAACGAGUAGAUCAUCAAAAAAGUUAUAUACAGCAAAUAGAAUGCUUUUAAGAUUUUGGGUUUUUAGAUAUGGCCCAGGUUUGAGUUGUUUUGUGUCCAACUGCUUUCUAUGUUACACUAUUGAGCCAUAAACAUAUUGCAUAAUUUGGAGUUUGAGUUGGUAUUAUUACCAAAUUCAACUGCCUUAAAUGUUUAUGAGUUAGUUACACGAUCUCUUAUCCAUGUUUCUCAAUUUCACAAUUGUUUUCCCUUUCUCCUUUCCAGUAGCAUAUCAAUAUGAAAGAAUAUUGACUCCUUCUUAGAACUAUUUAGCUUGAGCUAUUAACUCUCACAAUCAUUAUGCAAAUUCUGAUUUGAUCUUCAAAUUUCUUUUUGAGUAUGAAUAUAAAUUUCUGUUUUUCCCCCACUAUACAAUCUUUAGGGUAUGUUGCUUCUGAAAACUUAGCCUGUAUCCAAAGAUUAUUCUGGAGUGAGUAGUGAUUUUGGAUUCUUUGUAGGAUCCUGAGGCAAGUAAUCUGCCAACAGCUCCAGCACCAGCUUCUACUGCACCUGUUGCAACAUCAGCUAUGUAAGUCCUGCUAUUCUACACUUUUGGUCAGAUACAGCACCUUUGCAAUUGAUUAAUUGCUUAUUAAUUUUUUUUCAGGGCUGCAGCUGCCACUGAAUCUGCUCCUGUUGCUUCAAGUACUCCUCUGUGAGUAACUUAUUCUUGAUAGUAAAUUUCAUGCUUCUUAUUUGAAGGAUAGAAGCUUUUGAUUUAAUCGAAUUGCUUUUAGUAGGAGAGAUCUUGAGUUUUUCCUUGUUUUCCUUUGCAUACUUGUAAUAUCUUGAAUAAUGUCUUUGGAAACAGGUCAGAUUCUGAUGUUUAUGGCCAAGCAGCAUCUAACCUGGUUGCAGGGAGUAACUUAGAGGGAACAAUCCAACAGAUUCUUGAUAUGGGUGGAGGGACCUGGGACAGGGACACUGUUGUCCGCGCCCUUCGUGCUGCUUAUAAUAACCCAGAGAGAGCUGUUGAAUAUUUGUAUUCUGUAAGUACCUUUCUUGUAUCUUGAAGAAUAUGUGCUUUCUUGCGUGCUUCUAGUUGCUGUUGUUUUAUUGUUCUCCUUAAUGUAGAUGUGGGAAUAACCUAAUAAGCUGAGCUCAUCCUGAGAGGUUUUCUUGGAAUGAUGAUUAUGCCAUUGUCAUUUUUAAUUUGAUGUAAUUCUAUUUGAAACUUGGCCUUCUCCUUGCCAUGAUUUAUUGGUCAAUGAUGAUUGAAUUUCUGCACACCCAAAAUAUGCCUCGUAUCUUCCAUUUUGCUGGUCCUUUUUGACUUGGUGGAUAAGUUGACUUCACCCCCCCCCCCAAAAAAAAAAAAAAAACAAUAUGAACAGGAAUGUUGGAUUUCUAUUUCAAUCACAUGGUGUGUCUUAAUUUGUUUUAUGGUGGGUUUUAAUGGUAUUUUAUACUGCACCCUUAUCUUUCUUUUCUUCUUUUUUUAAAAAUAUAUAUAUAUAACAAGCAUGCAUUUUGUUUCCUAAGCUGCAUCUUGUCAUCGUGUCAUAAAUUAUUGUUGCAAAUGCUAGGGCAUCCCCGAGCAAGCUGAAGCUCCACCUGUGGCCCGUGCUCCUGUAGUUGGGCAAACCACUAACCCUGCAGCACAACCUCAACAGCCUGCACAAACGGCAGCUGUUCCUACAAGUGGACCAAAUGCAAAUCCAUUAGACCUCUUUCCCCAGGUAAAAUUGUCAUGCGGUAGACCUUUGAUAAAUUUGAUGAUGGGCAAAUGAACCAGUGACUUGAUGACCUUUUAUUGAUACAGGGCCUUCCCAACAUGGGUGCAAGUGGUGCUGGGGCUGGCACUCUUGAUUUUUUACGGAACAGUCCACAGGUCUCUCUCUUUCUCAUUUGGUUGUAUAUGGGAAUGUUAGCAUGACUGUCAUGUAAAUACCUACCUAGAACUACACUCAAUUUGCAAUUCUCUUUUCAGUUUCAAGCUUUGCGAGCAAUGGUGCAAGCCAACCCACAAAUAUUGCAGGUUAUUCUCUGGUCCCUUGUUUCCCCUCUUCAAUCCUAGUGUGUUUUUCAUUGUCUUUUUAUCUUUUGCUUUUUACCUUUCACCUUUCCUCAAUGUCUCCCUUUUUUAUAUUUUUGGCAGCCUAUGCUUCAAGAGUUGGGGAAACAAAAUCCUAAUUUAAUGAGACUUAUUCAAGAGCAUCAGGGUGACUUUCUUCGCUUGAUCAAUGAACCUGCUGAAGGUGGAGAGGGGUGAGUCUUGUUGUUUUUAGUUGCUCAUUUCUUGAAGUUAUAUAGUGUGUAUGUAUAUCAAGUGCUUAUUUGACAUCUCCUGUUGUAAAGAAACAUUUUGGGGCAAUUAGCUGAGGCGAUGCCACAAGCUGUGCAAGUCACACCUGAGGAACGUGAAGCCAUAGAACGAGUAUGUCAUCUUUUACAUUAAGGCUGACUUGGAUGUGUUCACUAUUCUCUGUAAUCAUGGAUUAUUUAGCUAUCUUCCCCACUGACUCUGGAAAUGCCUUCAUUUCCUUGGCCUUUAUCUGAGUUAUAUGAGAUAUGCAUCACAUCUUUCUUUUAGGCUAUGGUUUUACUUUUAGAUGAUUAAUAAACUCAAAUUUGUUGCAUUGAUCUUGUGCCUACAAAUACUUUUGUAGUCUCCUUAUUCUCUUGUGCAUUCCCCAUCUCUUGCAGCUUGAAGCAAUGGGGUUUGACCGUGCAACUGUGCUCCAAGUGUUCUUUGCGUGCAACAAGAAUGAGGAACUUGCGGCCAACUACCUUUUAGAUCAUAUGCAUGAUUUUCAUGAUUGAGCUGGUAAAAGAAAUGGCUAGGGGAAGUACAAUAUCAUUUUCUCUUUCGUUCUUUGGGUCCAUUGUCAUUCAUGUCCCCCCUCCCCUCCCCCCAAAACUCUACCGACUUUAUUCUUAAUCAAGUGAUGUAAGUGUUUGGUGUAGAGACAAGGGAUGUGAAGAUGUUAACUUCAUUUUUUUCUUUUUUCUUUUUCUUUCCGAAGGACCCAUUAUCUAUAACGUUAUAUACAAGUUUCUUUCUAAGCUUGUGUGUAUUGUACUUCACAUUUUAUGCUAUUAUAAGCACUUGCCACAACGAGCUCCCCCAACUUUCAAGUUUUUCGAUCAAUUUUCUUCCCUAAAAUACCUUGUGCAUGAAUUUGGUAGCCCGUCAGAAUGGUUAGAGUUGGCAGUGGAAACUCUAGAACCGUGGAAACAGUGUGAAUAAUAUGCAGUGAUGUUGGCCAUGUAUUACACCUUCAUUGUACUCCUAAUACAUUAUUGAAUAUCAAAAUUAUCGACGUGCCCUCAAGGUAUUAGCGUCUUAGUGUCUCAGCGUCUCAUUUCAUGUAAUGUAAAUAAAUCUCAAUCUCAAUAUCUUAAACAUAACCAAUUGUAUAUUUUAAUCAAAAUUUUUGUUUGAAAUGAUUUAAUGUGUCACAUUAAUUUACUGUUAUACUGUUAACAGUAAUUAACGUUCGGUAACUAAAAUGUGCAUGAAUUUGGUAGGCCGUAAGAAUGGUUAGAGUUGACAAUGGAAACAAUAGAACCAUGGAAACUGUUCAAAUAAUAUGCAGUGAAAUUUUUGGUCGCAAAACACGUAAAAUUUUGCUAUUUGAAGAACUUGUUGGCCAUGUACACUACUCUAAGAUGUGGCAAAAUGGUUCGGGAUUGGGUUAUUUUUGGAUUUGGAUCAUUUAGGAUUUGACUAGAACUUGAUUCAAAUUAUUUAAGUUUUAAUUAUAUAUAUUUAAUCAGUUCCUCUUUUAGUUCAAGAUAACUUUGUAUGGAUUGCUAGCUUAAUACAACUUUGUACGGAAUGCAUGAUAAAAGUUGCAUAAAUGAAUGUAUGAAAACGACGAAGAGAAAUAAAUUCAAUGUAUUACUAUAGAGAAAUAAAGGUAUGUUAAUAAUGUAAGAAAUAAUAAAGUGAUAAUUUAGUAGUGAAUUUAGUAAUGUAACAAAAAUAACAUACCAUUAUGAAUAUUGAAUUUAGUAAUGUAACAAAUAAAGGUAUGUUGUAAAAAAAAUACAUACGAUUAUGAAUAUUGAAUUUAGUAGAUAAUAUAUAAAUAAAUGUAUGUCACUAAUGUAAGAAAUAAUAAAGUGAUAACUUAGUGAUCAGUGAAUUUCAUGAAACUAAGGAUUAAAUUAUUAAGAGUGAAAAUUUAUUUAUUUGUCAUAAAUUGAUAAGUGAAUAGAUGUGGUAUAGUAAAAUUACUAUAGAGAGGACUAAAUUGUAAAGUGUAUAAAAGGUGUUAUGUGAAAUUAAUAUUGUGAUUAAAGACUUAAAUUUUAAAGUGUAUAAAAGUUACUAUGUGUGCUAAAAUAGUGAAAUAAAAUAUUUAAGUGAGGCGUUAUAAGAAAGUAAAAUGUUUAAUGAUAGUGAAUUGAAAUCUAAAGUGCUAAGUGUUGUGAAUAUAUGUUAUGCUUGUAUUUUUAUCAAUUGUGAAUAAAGUGAACAUGUGAAAUAAAAAUGUAGUGAAUGUGUUUAUGUGAUUCAAAUUGAAUAAGUAAUAUGAUACAAAGUGAUAUAUGUGUAAUAUAUCAAGUAUGUUAUGUGAAACUGAUAUAUGAAUAAAUAACUUAGUGAACUCAGAGGAAACAUGAUAUAUGAUAAUGAAAUGAUUCGUAGUUGAGAGGGGCUGGGGGUUCGGAUGGGAACCAAGUUAGUGAUACAGGGGUUUGGAGGGGAUUAGAAAAGGAGGAUCAAGUUAUGUGAUGUGUUUGCUAGAGUUCCUGUAUAUUUUUCUAGAUUUCCCGUUAUCAUAGUUCCGUUAUAGACAGAGAGUUUGUCUUUGGCCUAGAUUUUUGCAUUGUAUUGAAAUUAUUGAACUCCUUUGAGAUUCAUUAAGAAUUCAAAAGUGAUAUGUGAAAGUAAAAGUGUAUGUGGAUGUGUAAUAAUAUGUGAAAAUAAAAAUAAAAGUGAACAUGUGAAUUAAGUGUUUAUGUUAUUUUUGUGAAAUGAGAGAAAGUUAUUGAUACGUAAAUGUGAAAGUUAAUUAGUGAUAAUAUAUAUUAAACUAAAAACUAUAAAUUAUAAAGUUAAUUUAAAUGAUUUUAUGUUUUGGAAAUGAAUUAAAGUUUAACUAUAUCAUGGAAAGAAAUUGUGUGAAUAAAUAUUAUUAAAAUUAAUUUUUUAUAUAUAUAAGGUAAGAUUGAAUUCAGUUGAGUACAUACUAAGCUAUUCACGUAGCUUAACGCAUUUUUUUUAGGUGAUGGAUAAAUUUUGAAAAGAAUCGAGGAUUGCUACUUCAAUUUGGCAUGUAUUUAGGUUUAUUAGUAAAAAAAUGUGAAUUGUGUGUGAAUGACAAUGUUUUGUGCUAUAAGUUACCUUGAUUAGAAUGAAACAAGAAUAUGUUUCAGUGGUGAGUUUAGUGUUUAAAUGGUGGGUUUAGUGUCUAAAUGUAGCAUCUCUUAUUCGGAUUAGGUGAGGAGUGUUACAUUGAUGUUGCAACCUAGAGUUCUCUAACCUCAAUGUCGUGACAUCACUUUUGCAUGUCGCGACAUUGCUUGUUCAUCUUAGCCAAGGAGACAACCUCGAUGCACCUCAAAUGUCACAAUAUUCAACCUUCAAUCUCACAACAUGGAGCUCUCUGAUGUCAAAGUUGCGCCAUUGGUCUUGUAAUGUUGCAACAUUGACCCUGGACUUGGGUUGAAGAAACCAAGCGAGAGACUUCCAUCCCUCAAUGUCAUGACUUCGAGCCUUUUGAUUCACAUGUCGUGACAUUGGUCCUGUAAUGUCACCGCAUCGGGUUCAUCACAACCAAAACCAAAAGGAUAACAUGAAGACUUUCUGGGUCAAACUUGUCUUAGUUAAGUUUAAUGAUAGGGACAUUUUUGUAAUUGAAGAAUUAUCAUUACUGUAACAGCCCAAUUUUCAGUAGUGUCAGAACAAUGAUUUGAGAUCACUAAAUCCGAUGAAAAUUUUAAAAAAAUUAUUAAUUAAUAAUUAUAAGUUAAGCGUGAUUUUAGAAAUAUAUUUGAAUUAGUGAAUUUUGUGAUUUAAAAGAAAUUAUUAAGUAAAUUGGGUCGAAAACAAGGUAUCGAGACCUCAAUAUUAUAAACUGAGCCGUAAAUAUUUUUAUAAAUAUUUACGGAGUGUCAUUAGGGUAGUAUUAAAGUUUCAUUAAGAAAUUUUAAUGUUUCGAUGGUUAAUUGAUUAAAAAGGAUAAAAUUGAAAAAAAAUAUAUUCCCGAGACUCCAUUUCGGUAAAUUGGACUCGUAAAUAUUUAUCAUAAAUAUUUACGAAGUUAGUUGUGUAGUUAAUUAGGUUUUAAUUAAGUGAAUUUGUCUAAAUUGAGGUUAAUUAUGAAAAAUGAUUAAAUUGCAAUAGAGAUAAAAGUUUAAUUAUAGAUUAAAGAAAAAUUAAAAGGACCAAAUAGGAAAUUAUGCCUUUUUCUAAAGUUGAGGCAGCAUAAGUAGAUAUUUUAUUUAAAAAUCUAAAGUUCAAAUAUAUUAUAAUAUUAUAAUAAUAUUACAAUAUUACUUAAAAGUUAAGUAUAUAUAUUAUAUAUUAUAUUAUAUUAUAUAAUAAAAGAAACAAUGAAAUAAAAGAUAGAAAAAGAGAAUAGAAACAGAAUACCAAAAUGAAAACAGGGGAGAAAGGAAAGAAAAAAAAAAGGGAAGGAAAGAAAGAAAAUUUAGGAUUUUAAGGUUCAAGGUUUGAUUGGUAAGUCAAUUUAGUCUUUUUUUUUUCCUUGUAAUUUUGAUAUUUUUGGAAUCCUAUAACAAAAUACUACUUGAUUUAAGUUGAAAUUUUGAAAGUUAGUAAAUUUUUAGAUGUUGUUUAUGUUGAAUAAAUUGAAGAAUUAGGGAUUAAAUUGAUUGAAUUUCAAGUUAGAAGUUAGUAAAAGGUUGAUUUGUAAAAUAAAACAUAAGUUUUGAAUUAAUAAGGACUAAAUUGAGAGAAUUUUAAAAUUAGGGAUUUAUGGUGAAAAUGAAGAGUUAAAAUGAGUUUACGGUAAGAAUUAAGAGAGAAUAUGGAGUUAGAUUGGGAAAAUAAAAUUAGUAUUGAUAAGGGAUUAAAUUAGAAUUUAGGUAAAGUUUAGGUAUAAAUAAAAAUAUUUUGAUGAAAUUGUGUAUUAAUGAUUUUUAAUUGUUUAAUUACGUAGCUAAUGUCGUGCAAAAGUCAUUGUCCAAGAAAGGAAAGGAAAAGGUGGACAAGGAGUGAUUCGAGAAAAUUUCGGUUAGUAUUACCAUAAUUCGAAUUUAAUUAUUAAUUGUUAAAAUUUAAAUUAAUAUACAUGAUAAGCAAAUUGAGGUAAGUAUCAUGAUUGAAUUGAAUGAUAAAUACGUAUUGGUAUUGAAUUUAUUAAUAGUAAUUGUUGAAUUUUGAAUAAUAUGUUUAAUAAAUAAAAAUAAGGUGAAUAUCGAUAUUGAAUUAAAUGAUAUUGAAUUGUUUGUGAAUUGAAAUAAUAGAGGUUUUGAAUUGAUUGAAUAUUUGAAAUUGUUGUGGAAAUGAAUUCGAAAUUGGAAAAGUAAAAUAAUACCCUAUUAACUUAUCGAACUAGAUUGGAUACAAAUGGCAUGCCAUAGGAUUUGUGAUGUGAUGAGGAGAUUUGUAGUUCGGCCGAGAAGAUAAUUCUGUUAAUAUAUGCUUCGGUUUAUCCGAAGAGGCAUCUAAUGCCUUAUUGGUGUGUUUGGGAGGAUAUGAUAUACUGGUGUGUUAAGGAGGAUUUAUAUUAUUCCGGGUGUGUUAGGUUGGAUAUUCUGGUGUGUUUGGUUGGAUUCGUGUAUCCGUCAAGGUCCGAGUCUUGUUAAUAGGGGUAAAUAAUUGAAAUGAGAAAUUUUGAAUAAGUGUGAUUGAUUGAGCUAUGGAAAGAAAUGAGAAAGUGAAAUUGUGAAUUGAUAUGUGAAUUGGAAAUCGAGAUAUGAGAUUUGAAUAUAUGAACUCAAAGUUCAUGAUGUGAUUAAGAAUAAAUUUUUGUUAUAUGAUAUUAGUGAGUACAAAUUGCAAUAGAAUUGAUAUUGAAUAUAGUGAUAAAUUGAAUGAAUUGUAUAUGAAUUGAAAUGAACUAUUGGAAUGAGAUGUGAAAAAUCUAAUGGAAUUGAGAUAGUGAAAUAAGGUAUGAAUACAAUUCAAUACAAGAUUUGAAAUAUUGCUUAUUGUUAUUAAUUAUCAAGUUGAUUUAAAGUAUGAGAAAAUUAAUGAAUAAUUGUACACAUAAAUUAAAUGUAUAUAAUUUAUCGAUUAAUAUUAUAAAUUUGAAUUAUGGUAAUACCACUGAGUAUACCCAUACUCAGUAUACGGUUGUUUCUGUGUGCAGGUUAGUAGAAAGCCAGUGUCCGGUCCAGCAUCCAGAGCAAUCCUGACCUCAGAGAAAUUUUAGUGAUGUACCUUUCUUUUGAUAAUGUGACAUGUAUCUAGGUGAUGUAUUGAUUAAAGUAUGCUAUGUAUGUUAUUUAUUUGUGAAUUAGUUAUAAGUUAUCUGAUAUGUCCGAUAAUGCUCCGUAACCUAGUUCUGGCGACGGAUAAGGGUUGGGGGUGUUACAAUUACUUUGUCUAUAAAUACCAUCAUUAAUAAACUAUUUAGGGAGGUUAGAAAGUUAAUAUAGUUUUUAAAUUAGAUUAUUUUUAUAUAAUUGCUAGAACUUUAGGUUAAAUUAGCACAAAGAUCAUUUUCUAGGUUAGUUUUAUUUUUUUACAAAAUGUCUUUCAAAUCUUUGUUUUACUCUUUUCAAUUGACAAUUUUAUCAAUUGGGCAUUCAAUAAUUUCGAAGAUUGAAGUUUUUUCUACCGUGGAAUCAAGAGUUCUUCUACACUAAUCCUAAGCAUUUCUCAACUUUUACAAUUUCAUCCUUACACUUUGUUUUUAUUGUAUGAAAUUAAAUUAUUUAUUUAUUUGCAUUAUUGUAUGAAAGUUCGGUUCGAAUUAUUAGAGUUGUCAUCCUGGGAGUACAAGCAACCCAAACCGUCAAUAGAAGAACCAUCCGAGCUAGACCUAAAGGUUGUGAAAAGGCAUAUGAAGGAUAUCGAGUAGACUAUUUCAAAUAGUCGAGGUAAUUAUCCUUCUUCGUACACUUACAAGUUAUUGCUAGGAGUAACUGAAAAGGUGUCUAUCAAGGGCUAGAGGAGCUUGAUUCAAUAUCGAAUAUUUGGUUUCAGGAAACUCAAGUCUUAAUGUUUAAAAGAGAGGAUCAUUUAUCCCAUCUAUGAUAAUUUUUGGAUGGACCCUGUUCAAUAUGCACUGAAGGAAGGAGGUAUCAUGAUUGUGGAAAAUGAAAAUGGCGAGUUGAUUCCAACAAGGAUGGUUACUUGUUGGUGAAUCUUUGCAGACUACAAGAAGCUAAACAAGGCUACCAAGAAAGAUAAUUUCUUGUUUCUUUUCCUGGAUCAAAUACUUAACAAAAUCGCUGGGAAAGAUUUUCCUUCUUUUUAGAUGGGUAUGAUUGGUAUGACAAAUGACCAUUUGACACCUCCUUGGUUAAAGACGAUCCCUAAUAACAUUAAGGGAGUUCUCUUUCUUUGUCAUUAUUUUAUAUUGUUAGUUUUGUUUUUUUUAUUUGAAUAAAAUGGCAGACUUGGAUAAAAUUCUCAUUGGAUUAUUAUGUUAAAAUAAAUUAUGUCUAAGAGACUGGAAUUUAAGUGGGACUGAUUGUUACCCCUCUAACCGUUCUUGGGAAUUGAUUUUAACAUAAUGUUCCAAAAAAAUAUUUUCUAAGUGGAAAAAUAAAUUUUAAUUUGUUGAAUAAAAGGGUCAAUUUUGAUCCAAGUUUCAGUUUUCUGCUUUAUUUUCAAAUUAUUUUCUAGUACAAGUAUUUAAUUUAAUUGCUUUCAAUAAAUAGUUGUGUUUUCAGUAAAUAUUUUAAACUAAAAUAUUUUUUAAAAAUUUUAUUUUUAAUAAAUAAGAUAAUAAAAAUUAAUAUAUUAAUUGUUAUUAACUUUGUAUAUCAUUAAGAGUAGUAAUAUUUUAAUAAUAGUCUAUGUAAUAGCUCAUUUUUCAGUGGUGUCGGAAACAGUAGUUUCGGAGCCACCAAAUCUGACGAGUAAGUUCGUAAAUAUUAUUAUUUAAUAUUUAUGAGUCAAAUGUGAUUUUUAAAAAGGUUUUGAUUUGAUAAUUUAUGUUAUAUAAGUAAUUUAUUAAGUUCAAGUUGUUUUAGAAAAUAAGGUAUCGAGACCUUGUUUUUAUAAACUGAGCCGUAAAUAUUUUUAUAAAUAUUUACAGAGUGUCAUUAAGGUGGUAUUAAAGUUUCGUUAAGAAAUUUUAACGUUUCAAUGGUUAAUUAAUUAAAAAGGAUCAAAUUAAAAAAAGUGCAUUCCUAGGACUCCGUUCCCGUAAAUCAGACUCAUAAAUAUUUUUAAUAAAUAUUUACGAAUCUAUUUGUGUAGUUAAUUAGUUUCUAUUAAGUGAAUUUACUUGAAUUAAAAGUAAUUAGGUAUAACGACUAAAUUGCAUAUAGGGUGAAAGUUGAAUUCUAGAUUAAGGAAAAAGUAAAAGGACUAAAGAAGCAAUUAUACAAUUGCUUAUAAAUGAGGUGGUAUAAGUUUUUUUAAAAAAAUUUAAAUUUAAAAUAUAUAUUAUAAUAUUAUAAUAUUAUAUCUUAAUGUUUAAGUAUAUAUAUUAUAUAUAUUAUAUUAUAUAAUAAUAAAACAAAGAAAUAAAAGAAAAAGAAAUAGAGAAAGAAACAAAGAAGCAAAAGCGAAGCAGGAGAAAAAGAAGGAAAGGAGAAAACUAGGGUCUCAAAGUUCCAUGUUCAAUUGGUUAGUCAAUUUAGUCCCUUUUUCUUUUAAAUUUUAUGUUUUUGGAAUUUGAUAUUAAAUACUACCCGACACAUGUCAAAAUUUUAGCAAUUAUUGAGUUUUUAGAUGUUGUUAAUGUUGAAUAAUUUUAGUAUUAGGGAUUAAAUUGAUAGAUUUUUAAUUUAGAAGUGAAAAAUGAUUGAAUUGUAGAAUAAAUUAUAAAAUUUGAGUAAUAAGGACUAAAUUAUGAAAAAUUCAAAAUUUAGGGAUUUAAGUGAAAUUAGAGAGUUAAAUCUAGUUUAAAGUGGAAAUUUAAUGAAAAUAUUGAAUUGAUUGUGAAGAAAUAAAAUUAGUCUCGGUUUAAGGACUAAAUUGGAAUUUAGACAAAUGUUGAGUAAAAAUUGAAAUAUGCAAUAUGAAAUUGAAUUAUAUUGUAUUGAUGAAUUAUAAUUGUUUUAAUUCUGUAGCUAACGUCAUACCGGAAUCCUCGACUAAAAAGGGGAAAGAUAAAGUCGACGAGGAAUAGCUCGAAAUUUUUGGUUUAUAUUUCUAUAAUCCGAAUUUAGUUGUUAAUUGUUAUAAUUCAAUUUAAUGUAUAUGGUAAAUGUUGAGGUGAGAACUAUUGUGUUUUGCAUUUGAAAUGGAUUGAUUUAGUAUGUGAUGAAUUUAUUGAAUUUAUAUUGAUUGAAUUGGUAUAUAUAUUGAAUAUAUUGAUUAUUUGAAUUGAAAUGAUUAUUGGUUGUAUUUGAAAAGUGAAUUGAAACCCUAUUAAUUGUAUCGAGUUGAGUCGAAUAUAGAUGGCAUGCCAUAGGAUUGGAAGAGUUCAGGAAUUUCUUCGACUUCGAGUCAAUGAGACACUGGGUGUCAAUUUACUACUUCGGAUUAAUUCGAUGGGGCACUGGGUCCCAAUUUACUUAGGUUUAACCGAUGAGACACUGGGUGUCAAAUUAUUACUUCGAAUUAUCCGAUGAGGCACUGGGUGUCAAACUGGUGUGUUUUGGUUGGAUCCGUGUAUCCGUUCGAGUCCGAGUCGUGUUAAUAGGGGUAAAUGAAUAAUAAAGUUUUAUAAUUGAUAUUGAAAUGAUAUGGUAUGAGAAAUGGAAGUGAAAUAGUGAAUUGAAAUAGAAUGUGGAAUAUGUUGCAAAUAUAUGGAAUAUAUGAGUUACAUACUCAUGAAAUGACUAUGGAAUGUAUAUUGCAAUUGUAUAAUGAAAUAUGAAAUAUACUCAUGAAAUGACUAUGAGUUUAUACUUAGUGUACGGUUUUGUUUCCCAUGCGCAGAUUAGGUACUUAACUUUUGAUCGCUGAUUCAGCAUCCAACAAUGAUCCCGAACUCAAAUGUGGUGAUGUUUAUCCUUUGUGUCGGCAUGUACCUAGGGUGUCUAAAUAAUAGUUAUUUUGUGGUUUGAUUGUAAAUGAGUUUAUAAGUUUAAUUUUGGUUGGUUUUAUACAUAUAAAUAUGUGUUUGUUUUUGAAGCCAUAUUAUGGCAUGAUAAAUUGAACUAAAUUUAGAUAGGUGCAUGUGAAUUUAAUUCUAUGUUUAAGUGCUCAUGAACUAGGCAAACUGAUUUGGAUUUGGUAUGUUUAUAAUUUGGAUUAAAAUGAUGCUUUGAUGACUUGUUUUGAUAAUAUGAAAUGUUUGAAAUUUCUGUCUGUUUGAUUUGUAAACUCUGAUAAUGCUCCGUAACCCAGUUCCGACGAGGGAUAUGGGUUGGGGUUGUUACAGUUUAAGCUUAUUUUUAUUAGAGUUUGUGUUAACUUUUACCUUACAAUUACUUUAAAUACCACCACCUUCGCUCUCUAUUCACAUCACCUACCAACCAAGGGCCUCACCGUUUUUCCCUUUCCAUUGCCACAUAUCACCUACCCUAACCCCCCAACCAUCGACACCCAUACCUACUAGCAGCAACAGCCGCACGCCCUAGCUGUUAACACCUUGCAUCGCACCUCUUUUGUUGCAGCAUUAUCGAACCCUACAAGCCACCAUUCGGCCAUCCGCUAUAAGCUACCAAGCCAUCUCACCUUCUAUAUCCACCGCCCAAAUUGCCGUUAGCCAUCUAACCAACCCUUACCCAACACCAAUUGCUUCACCCUCACAUUAUUUUCUAAAGUUCUUAUUACGUUAAUUACAAAUGUGGUAAGAAAUUUCUUUCCAAAAUUUUAAUUUGAUUUGAUUAUUUAAAUUUUCAAUUUUAUAUGAAUUGAUUAUAUUUUAUUCUAAUUAAAAUUUGGGAAAUUAUUAUUAUUUUCCAUCUUAUGUGAUGUUCAAGUUGAACCAUGCCUCCUAAAAGAACUCGUGCCUCUGUUUAGGACGAAAAAUCACAAAACAAAUUCCAUUGCGAAGAAGCUAAGAUGAGAUAUGAGAGCAUCUUUAAGAAAAAAAUAAAUGCUUCCGGAGAAAGGUUUUACUUUGGGGAAAAGUAACUACACUAAUUUCAUGGCAAACAUUCAAAAAUUUGCUGAGGCUUUAAAAUGGGAAGUGUUGUGUGACAAAAGGCCAAAUUCAAGCGAUGAGUUAGUUCUGAAAUUUUAUGCGAAUUUGACCUUAGGUGCUUUAACAAAAUUUUCCAUCUAAGGAAUUAAGGUACCUCUAAACCCGAGUUCCAUUAAUGAAUUUUAUGAUCUACGUGAUUUCGAAGAUGAUGAAUAUUCUUCCUUAAUGGAAAAUAUUGAGGUGGAGAAAUUGUAAUAAAUCUUAUAAGAACUCACAGUUCCGGGUUCUAAAUGGACUGCCGAAACACGAGACUCAUACUUGUCACAAAGAAUACUUGACCCUAUUAGCGAAUGUAUGGUUUUAUUUUUUCAAAUUCAAUAUUAUGCCUACCGCACAUGGGACUACAAUUUCAAUAGAACGAAUGGUUUAACUAUACUCAAUUAUGACAGCAAAGACAAUUAAUGUAGGAAAUAUCAUUCUUAAAGAAAUUUGAAAUUGUGUCGUAAGACGUUUGGGUACAACCUAUUUCCCUUUUACAAUAACAAUUUUAUGUUUGAAGGAUAGUAUUCAUGCAAACGUAAAAAAGACAGGAUAAAAUCUAGGUACAAUUGCUGAUUGGGACCUUAUUUGAGUAGCAUGAAAUUCUAUUCUUCAAAAGCAAGCAAAGUCGAUCGAUGACAUCGAAGAAUAUGAAAUUCCUAUAGAAUCAGAAACAGUGCAGCCAGUUGAAAUUCCUGACUUGGCAAAGCCAACUAAACCAGUCUUCGAACCUGACAUGACUACCCCCAACGUUUAAAACUCAUUCUCCUCACCUAGAUCUUCGAGAUGAGCUAUCAAAAUUGUUGGAUUUAAUGCAACAUAUGUAGUGGCAAUAAGAAGCUUAUUGUAGAUACUCAAAAAUACAAGAUGACUCAAUUAGAGAUGCUUUUAAGAAAAUAUUUCACAACCCAUUUGCUUUUAUUCCUGAAUUUCUAGAUUUUAUAUUUGAUCCAUGGAUUUCGAUGUUGAGGAAGGAGCGAGGUGAUUUAAGAAAAAAUAAGGACAAUGAAGCAAAAAAUGGGUAGAAUUUUGGAGGGUCUACAAAUAAAUAAAAAAAGGGGGAUCUUGUCUUUACUUUAUUUUUCUUUCUUAGGAUAUUUUAAGUUUUUAUUUUUAGAUUUCUUAGGAUAUUUCUAUUUCUUGCAUAAUAAAAUAAGAUUCUCAAAUCAUUAAUAAAAUUGAAAAUUUUGAAGAAUAAGAAGUGUAGCAAUAGAUAUGUACAUAUUUAGGAUUGGAUCUUUCUAGGAGAAGCUUGGCAUUUAAGCAGUCAACUUGACUCACCUCCUUUUCUUGAGAUCCUACCUGGUGUACAGUAUCUAUUCACUUAUGUAUUUUCGAUCCAUAUUGUUUUUAACAAUGGGGGCAUUGUUCAUCUUAAGUAGGGGGACCACAAAUUGAAAUUAUUUUUUUCAAAAUUCAUUUUUCAUAUCCAAUUAUGAUCAAGUUAUAUUUUACUCAAAAUUUUGAAUAAAGUUACAUUAUCUCAAUAAUUAUUAUGAUUAGCUGAAUUAUGACAUAAAUGCUAUUUUUAAUAAAGUAUGUAAAUCAAACCAUGAAAUUUUUAAAUCCUUAGAAUAGCUAAGCAUGCAUGAAAGUUUAAGUCUCUAGAAUUGACUUAGUAAUUUCUUGAGGCGCAAUCCUAGGAAGCAUGGAAUUUUGAAAUUGAUUUAGGCAAACUUUUAUUUGGACCGUUUGAGCCUUUGAAGCCAACCUUAAUGAAUAACUAUCCUUUGAAACCCAACUUUGAGACUAUAUGGCCUAAUUUUAUUCAAACCUUGCAAUAGUAAGUCAUCCCUUCUCUCAUAAUUAUCUCUAAAAUGUCCUAAACACUAGACUCAGUCUAUCCAAAAUAUUCUCUAAAAAUAAGUUUGGGGGAGUUGAGAAGAAGUAUUAAUACUCAAAAAAAUUGUAGUACAUGCAAUAAUAUGGUCGAGUGUGUUAAAAAAGAGAGCAUAUGUACUCGAAAAAAACAGAUGUACAAAGAGCAUGUGUACUCAAAUGUAAAAUUAGUUGGUAAAUUUUAAGGUAUUUAUUCCGAAGGUCCAAAGCAAGUCGAGUCUAGGUUUUUUAGCUUCAAAAUUAUCUAUCUUUUACCUACCCCUAGCCAAGCCAUGUUACAACCUACUCAAAAGACCUAUUGAUUCAGAUUUCUGUGCUGACUACAUUAGUGGAGAGAAAUUGUUAAACUCAACUUAUGAAGGCAUAAUUAAACUUAGGGAUGCAGUUUAGUAUUGAAUGAGCAAAUACAAGUUAAUUGGUAAGAAUUUAGCAUAUCUUUAUUGAGAAUACAUUUAGUCUAUUCUUGCUAUCAUGAUAAUAAAAAAGAAUAAUUCAAACAAUGUGUAUACUUUAGUUGCAUAAUUUCAAAAUUCUUAUUCUUGAGCAUAAUUACACUAAACUCAUAAUUGUGGGAAAUGAUUUUUGGAGAAAUUUUUCGAAGGUGAUUUUCUUAAAUUUCUUUUUCAAUUUUUGCAUUACUUAGGACGAGUAAUCAAUUAACUUUGGGGUGUGAAAAUACUAAAAUACAUAGACUUUUUAGCACCUUUUGAGCACUAAUUCAUGCAAUUUCUAAUAAUUUCUGCCGAAUCUUAUAUUUUUAUUAUAAAAUAAUUAAAUUGAGCUUAAUUUAUAAAAAAAAUUGAAUCUUAGUUAUUUUUAUAAUAAUUUUUCAUAAUUUGGGUUAUUUUUAACAAUUUUGCACAAAAGGUGAAAAAUCAGCUCAGCAGUCACCUUGAAAGAAUUAAUUGACGAGGCACAUUGGGAGCUCAAGAUGAUGAAUUAACAACCAUGGAGGACUUAAAUUUAUGCUCUUGUCACAAAUUAGAUGACCUAGUUAAUUUUUUAUUGAAGAAAAAUGGGCAGCUUGAAGUAGAGAAAAGGACCUGAAUUGAGCAAAUAAAGGAGGAUGAACAAGCCCAAGAGAGCAACCCAAACCUGCCUAUCUAGCUGAGCCAAUCAGCUAAUUUUGGCUGAUUUUAACACUUACAAAUCAGCCCUUUAACUCUUCCUAAAUGUCGUUCAAACCCCUCAUCUUUUUGUGCAUUUCUUUUCUAGCCACAAGCUAAAAAUAGCAAAAUCAAUUCAACAUCUUCUUCCACCUAGCAUGGCCAGCCAUAAAGAGGGGGAUUUGGUGUUAUUUUUAGCUAAUGCAUGCUACCAUCUCCCACUAUAAAUACCUCUCACCACCUCUUUAUUUUUCAUCAACUUAUUCAUCCAUACAGCUUUUCAUUCAAUUCCCUCUUUCACUUUCUUUACCUUUCGAAUUUUCUUUCUUCCCUUGCCAAUUUACCCUUUUGAAAAAUAGCUAGCACGCCCCUUGGAGCAGCAACAAUCAAGUAUUCAUGAAGGCUUUGGAUCGAUGGAACAAGUAGAGAAGAAGAGAAGCACACUAGACUGGCUUCAGAACAAUUCCGAGAUUUGUUUUUUAGUUCCCUUCUAUUAAUCUAUUUUUUUAGUUUAUGUUGUGAUCAUGAAUAUGAAUACUUGUUGGGUUGAUGUUCUUAAAUUAUUUAAAUUGACUUAAAUUUCAUUCGUUUUAGAUUAAUUUCAUCUUGUCCACUUAAUUUGUUAAAAUCAUGUUUGUGUUGUUAUAAGCCUUGGUAGUUUGUUCAAUUAACUAAAAUCAUGACUAUGUAUACUUGCAUUUUAAUUGUAAGGUAAAAAAAAAUAAUAAUUAUUAAUCGGAUUGAAAUUAUAAUUAACCGACACAAUAUCUAAUUGGUGUAUGUUUAAUCUUUAAGGUAGUUGAGGGUUAAAUUAACGAUGGUAUUAAACAAUACUUUAGCCUUGCAUAACUUGUAAGAUUAUUUUUAUUAAAUUGUUUCAAUAUAGGAAUAUAUUAUUACCUCACUUUAUCUUAUACUUGUUUAUGAAAAUUGAUUAAUUGUUUGAAUUAACAUAGAAACAUGUUUAAGAGAUUAAUUGAUUUAGUAAGUAUGUAUGUGCAUUAGUUAACAAAAGACCAAGUUUCCAUGAAAUUAUUCAUAACAACAUGAACAUAGUUUUGAUAAAUCUAAGUUCAAGAAUAAAAUUGAUCUAACACAUUUAUGUCAUAUUGAUUAAAACCAUUUUUAGAAGUUGUUCAUUUGGAAUUUUAUUUUCUUAGUUAAACACUUAGUUCAUUUUUAGUUUUCAUAUCACCUUUUUCAAAUCAAAAUCUUUUUCCUCACCAAAUUAUUUAAUUUUACAUUUAAUAAAUAAUCGCUUGCACAGUCCCUAUGGAUAUGAUAACUCGACAUACUUGUCACUUUAUUACUUGUUACAAUUGUGUUCACUUGCACAUUUCCAACGUUCCAGUAUGACACUUGUUCAAUUUCCUUAAGAAGGAUGAGUCAUAUUUAUAUGUGAGUGUGUGUUCUGAAAUGGGGUUCUUCCUUCUUCUUUCUUUUCUUUAGGUGGUAUAUACUAAAACCUUUCUUAAAUCUGAAUGUAUCCUACCUCGAUGAUCUAAAAGCUAAGGUUCUUUUAUGACCAGUAGUUACUUCCCAUCAAGGUAAGUAUUUUAGCUCUGCAUGUUAAGUAUUGAAUGAGUAAAUCUGUAUAUGGUAAUUGAACAACGAGAUUGUAAGUAUAAGGUUUCUGCAUGGGAAUGACAUCGAUUGAAAUGAUAAGUACUUUUUAUGUACAAUAAUAUUAAUGGUGAAAUUAUGUUUCUAAGAAACGGUUGCUGCUGGUUCGUGAUGGAUAUAUGGAUCUGGAGCUUUUAACUGCAUUAAGUAAGAUUCAGGUAAGUUCCAUACUGACUCCUGCAUUUAUAUUGUUCAUAUUGUGAUUCAUCUAUAGAAAAUCGAUUGAACUAUAGAUCUGAAGUCAUGAAGAUUAUAGUAUGUGAUGAUUGGGAACGAGUAUUGAAACAUUGAAUUAUGGCUAAGUAUGCAUAUGUUUGAAAUGUAUACUAUGAGACACGUGUUCUGUUUGGGUGUAUAGUUGAAAUUAGAUUGUGUCAAUGCAUGAAAAUUCUGUCAAGAGAGUUUGUGUCUGUUCACUGAGGUGGUGUCUAAUGGAGUUUGUCGGGCACUGAAAGAAAGAGAAGUGACAAAACCAUUCCAUGAGAUACGAACCUUUGUUAAAGUCAGAGGAGUUAAUGUCCUAGUAACUGAAAGAAGUAUUUGUCAGUUUUAUGAUACUCCAUAUCUUUAUCAUGAUUACUUGUACGAAAUAGAUCUCAAGGAAUUCAAGAAUGUAGACAUAAAAGAGACUUUGAUAUUCUUAAUAGAAGGAAAAUAAGUGUGGACAUAUAAAAUGGCAACAAAAAUACCUGAAACAUUCAAUCAAGCAUUGAUGACCCUAAAAGAAAAAAUAUGGAUGAAAUUUGUAUGUUCAAGGAUCUGGCCUACAGCUGAUCUUUUAGAUAUUAACCCGAUCCAAGCUAUCUUAGUUUACGCCAUCAUGCAAAAGAAGCAAGUAUGCAUUGAUACAUGGAUAUAUCAAAAUAUGAUCGAAUUUGCACGAAAUAAAAAAAAAGGAACAUUCUUUCCGCAUCUGAUUACAGGGUUAUGUAAAAGAGUAGGAGUGCCUAUGGAGCAGCUGGAUAAAGAGAUGAAUCCUCCAAAGAAGUUGCUAGGAGAUAAUGUUUAUAAAUGGUACAUGAUUUUAUAGAGGAAACAAAAGGAGGAGAGGAGGACUCCAAGAGGAAGAUGAAUAAUGCAUAAAAAUAUAUAUUUUUAGUAUAUUUAUUUAGGUUAAAAUUCUAUUAAGAAAUUAAGUUCAUUGUUAGGAUAUUGUAAUUAGUAAUGUUUAAUAAACUAUUAGAAUUCAAUUGACAUAUUUAUUAGUUUUUGUACAAACUCCUUACAUAGUAGAAACACAAACAAUAUGAAUUUUCAGUAAUCAACAGAGGAAGCACUCAAAAAAUUACCAACGAAACUAUUACAAUCAAUCGAGUAACUUCUUUCCUUUAUUCUUAUGACCAUACAUUGAGAACAAUGUAUUUUCUAAAGUGUAAGGGGGUAACAUAGAAUUUUUUGUUUAGUUUUUACGCUUUUCUUUGAUUUUCCUUGUCAAUCAUGUGCUUGAACUUGCAGAAAAACAAGUGAUUGGUUAGGAGCAUGUACAUAGGUUGAUUGUAUUUACAAUAAAUUUGGCAUGAGGAUAGGUGAUUUUAAAUUUUUUAUUAUUAGACUGUUAAGUUUUAUAUAUUACACUAUAAAUAGGCAUUAAGCAAUUGUAAACUUGAAAUUAUAUGGGGUUUUUCUAUAUAUUUUUACUACCUUUUUACUUAAUAAAUAUGUUUAUCUUGAGUAAUUGUUAUUAAAAUAAGUUAAUUUUACUUAAAUUAGUAAUAUUGGGCAUGAAUUUAUUAAGUAUGUGAAAUUGUGCUUAAUUACAUUAUUUUUGUACAUAUUUAAUAUUAUUUCAUGUUAAUUUGUUAAUAUGUAAUUUUUCACUAUGUAGAAGGAUCAUUGAAGAUGUGAUUAAUGUGAUUGAAACAUGGACAUGCACAAAUAAAUUCAUGUGGAUGGCAAGACCAUGCAAUUUAGGUCAUGAGGUUGAUAAUUUGACCUAGUAAAAGAGGUGCUAAAAGAUGGACAUGUCUACUAAGUUAUUGGACUAAGAAACUGUCCAACAAGGGGGAACUGAAGCUUAGUUUCGAAAAAAGUAGAUGGCAGCCCAAAAGCAAGCUUUGGGGUAUUUAAUUGAAGGUCCUUAUAGUUGGAAAAUAAUCAAUAAUCAUCCCAACUACUUUACUGUUGAAACCGUCCACCCUAUGGCUAUUAAUAGUCUUGGUCUGAAUUCAAAUUGAGGAGACUUAGUCAUCCCCUUCUCCUUGAAAUAUGGUCGGUCAUGUGUGGUAGAAAAAGUGUUAGAGUAUGCCCAAAGAUCAAUCAUGAGAUGGUUGUAAUAACAUACUUGAUUUAUCAUGUUUAUUAAUAUAAGGCGCUACCAUUAUUAUUUCAGUUUCUUUUCUGUGUGUAUAAAUAAACUAUUUUAUAAUAAUGUCUUGAGAGUAAUAUGAUUAUUCUUAAAAGGUCCUUAGUCAAGUAUUAUUGUUGGAUAGGACAACAAUAAUGCAUUAAGACUUACAUGUAGUUGAUUGAUGAUAAAGAGUUGUCAUUGAUAUGGAAUGUCAAAAUCGAUGCAUGAAUAUGUGUGUUAGAGAACAACAUAUUGGAAUGACCCGUUAUGAGUAUGUUUCUUGGAUUAUUAUGUAAUUGUCACAACAUUACUCAUAGUGAUUAAUAUGUAUAUGAUCCUCAAACUUGAGAUCACCAUAAUCCCAACAUCAUGAGUUGUAUAUUUUGAUACAGUCAAACGUACACCGUAACUGGUUGUUCUAUAAAGGCUGAUGUUGGAUAUACCACGAUCUAUGUAGAGGGAUAUGGUUGAUCGAUAUAGGAUAAGUCUCUCCUACAUAAUGGGAGUAAUAUCUUAGGCCACUUGAUUGAGUGAGACUAGAAAUGCAUGGCCAUGCUCAAAUAAGCUAAUAUGAGAUGUCAUACUUAUUUGUAUAUCAUAGUCUACUUAAGAUAUCAAGGAACAUGGAAUGGACUAUGCAAGUGUGACUAUUCCAUGACUUGUGUCCAAUCUAGAGAUAAAGGACUUAAGGAUUAUUGCAUGAAAGGUUAAUCAUAAAAAGGUUAUGUCGAAUCAUGAUUUCUUGUGACUUAGGUAGCAAUGAUGCAUUGCUAGGUGCCACUCAUUGUUUGUAACAUUAGAAUCGUUCUAGUAUUACUGCUAACGUUACAAGAACCUACAGGGUCACACCCUAUAGUUGAAAUGAACGGAAUAAAACAUAGUUGGUAUUGUGUUUGGUUUUCACUUGAAUUAAAUUAAUUAUAGAAUUAAUUUAAUUGGAUAAUCAAAUAUCGAACACAUUAUGUUCAAGGCUGUUGUACGCAUAAUGAGAACAUAAAUUUGGUUAGUAUAUAAAUUCAAAUAAAUAUAUAGUUUACCGAAAUCAUUAUUAUAAUUAAUGUAAUUAUAAUUUUCGGUUUAAAACAUAGUUAUAUUUAUUUAAUUUCUAGAAACCCUAAAAUAGAUAUAAAAAUCUCGUUUUUUCUUUACUUGGUGUCUAGCAGCCGUCAAAGUAAAAUUUUUUUCCAAAACAGUUUUAGGGAUUCCUUCCGUUCAUUGUCAACUGGGUGGAUUACGUAGAGGCCGGAGUCACGAUAGAUUGAGGCUUGGUUCCAUAGUAGAUCAGAUUACUCGUUGCUGAGGCGUUGCUGUCUACUCAGAAUAAAGAUUCGGUAAUUUCGAAACCUUUAUUUCACCCCGAUUCGUUCCUCACACAUGGAUCCAUGGUUAGGAUCGCCGAAUAUUUUAAUUUUCCGCUGCGCCGUAGGGGUGCCGACGUUCCAACAAAAAGAAGGAAUUUUGAAUCUAUUUUUAGCUAACUCUACCCUUUACCUUCACUUAUAAAUACCAUGCACCAAUCCCUUCAUCCAUCAUCCCUCAAAACUUAUUUCUCUUCUCUCAUUAUCAUUUUCUAUAGAUUCCAUUUCCCUUUCCCUUCCCUUGCAUAUUCACCCAUCCCCUUUCUAUCUUUUAGCCACAAAAGCUUUGUCAAAAGCAUUCUUUGGCCGACCUCCUUAGGAACUCCUUAGCAAAAGAAGCAUCAAGUAGAACAGAGGAGCACAUUAGUUAGAAUAGAUCCGAAAGGCUGCUGAACUGAAUAGAGUUUACUCUUUCCUCUUAUUAUUUAUUUUAAUCAUGUUUUCUUUGAGUUUAUUGUUUUUGACAUCAACGAUAAUAUUUUAAAUUCUAUUUGCUAGGAUGAUUAUGUUAAUUCAAUAAGAUUUAUUUUAUUCAUGUUUAACAUGUUUAGGCCUCAGUCAAUCAUGUUUUCAAUUAAUAUCAUGAUGCAUUUCAUUCAUACAUGAUUGGGUGAACUCAAAUUAGUUGAGCGAUCCUAACUAGGGCUAGUAGAUGCAUAAUUGAAAAGUGCAAUGCUCAAUUUAGAUCCUUAAACACGACUAAGUUGAGGUUAGUAAUAUCUUUAGUUAUCUCUAUUGUCUUGCAUAGUUUUUAGGUUUAUGUAAUUAAACUGUUGCAAACGUAAAUGUCCCUAUGACAUUACAUAAAUGCUAAAAAAACCCUUAGUCUAAUAUGACAAGUAAAAUGCAUAUUUCACUAAGUAAAAGAUCCGAGAGGACUUAAUUUGGUUUCCAAACUCAUGAAAGAUCGAGUUCCCAUGGAAGUAUUUUUGAACAUUGCUAAGCAUGAUAAAGUAAAUUGAAUUGAUUAAUAUAAUUAUCCUAGCCCAUUUAAUGUUGACUAUUUUUGUUGCUAAAGUCAUUAAUUCAUACAUUUAGGUAAAUUGCAUCUAAAUUAGAAUUGCAUAGGGAUCAAUCUUUGCAUCUAAUUAAUUUUACUUAAUUUAAUCAUCACAAUCCAAAUUAUUGAGUUUUUACAUCAAAUUGUGAAUUUAUAAUUUUCCAAUUAAUUGAUUAAGUUUAUACAGUCUCUGUGGAGACGAUAACUCAUUUCACUUGCUUAUUACUUGAACAAUUGUGUACACUUGUGCAUAUUUCUCGUUACAAUAAUCAAAUGUACCAAAUGAUAUAAAGAAUACAAGGAAACGAGUAUGUUAGUAUGAAUGAUAAAUUAUUGUAUUUAUGAUUAUUUGGUUGACUAAAUUUGUGAAUAUUGAGAUACUUAGAGAUAACCUAAAGCAUUAUUUGGCAUACACCCAAAGCCAAAAAGCUAACUCUAUUUAUUCAUUUUUAGUGCCUAUUUUGAGCCAGAACCCCUUUUUGAUGAACCUUUAUACAAAACCCGAGAUAAAAAUGAUAACUUGUGCUUACCAUUUUCUUUGGUCCUGAACUGCAUGAUUAUAGACGUCCGGUGUAACAUCCCAAAUUUUAGGCCUAAAAGAAAUAGGUUUUGAACAAGGCAAACAUUUGGUUAGGUGUUCUGUUAAACAUUAAUAAAGAGGUUACCAAACUUAAGAAACGAGUUUUAUCAACAAGUCUAAAUUUUUGGAAGACACUUCGAUGUGACACGCCAGAUUCGACCAUAACUCCUAGGCCGGGUUUGGGGUGUUACAUUUAGUGGUAUCAGAGUCAGGUUGCAAAACUCGGCUGUUGAAUGGGUUUUGAAAAUAUUUGAAAUUUCUGGAAAACUAUUUUUGAAGUGUUUUGGAAGGUUUACAAGUGUGGCACAUCGAGUCUCUAGCGUCGAAUCCAUAAUUUUUCUUUAUACUAUAGACUGCUUGAACUGAAAUACACUAAGAGACUACUAUAGAUAGUAGGACUAUACUGAAACUCAUUAGUUAGAGUAAACUGAGACUGUAGGAAGCUAGAAACUGUACGGAGACCUUGAUUUGCGAAAACAAAACUCUGAUUACUGCUUUUCAUAAGACAUCUGUUAAUAAUUACUGGAAUUACAAACUGAUGCAUAAAACUUCGUAAACAAAUAAUACGUUAUUUGAUAUGAGCACUAGAGGUACACACGGACGAGGUACAAGAGACCAUGGUAAAGGUCGUAGAGGUGCUCGAGUUGGGUCCUCGUCGUAUGGCCAUACACCUAAUUUGGAACUAGAGUGUGCAGCGGAAGCGUAGUGGUGGAGUCUGUGUUAUGCGACUGAUCUGAUAAUUGGAAAUUUCGAGGACGAAAUUUAUUUAAGGAGGGGAGAAUAGUAACACCCUGAAUUUUGGGCCUAAUAGGUUUUGAACAAGGCAAACAUUUGGUUAGGUGUUCUGUUAAACAUUAAUAAAGAGGUUACCAAACUUAAGAAACGAGUUUUAUCAACAAGUCUAAAUUUUCGAAAGACACUUCGAUGUGACAUGUAAUACCCCGAAAAUUACUACAGUAAGAAAGUAAGACAAUAUCCUUGAUAUAGUAAAAUAAGGAAAUAAAGUGAUAAAAAGGGUAAUAUUGAGUUAUGUCAACAUUGGGAAGUAUAUUAAGACAUAUUAAUUCAAGAAAUAAUUAAAUUGCAAAAGUGAGAAAGUUUUGUUGCCCAAUAGUAAAUACUCAAAAUUUGAGGGGUUAAAGUGUAAAUACAAAAAAGUUGAAGGACCAAUAGUGUAAAUAUUUAAGGGUGGAAUAAUUUAGAAACUAAGGAAAAUGGAUGAAUUAGGACCAAAUUGAAAAGGUGAAGAAUUUUGAGGGACUAAAUUGCAAUUUUACCAAAUUUAGUGAUGACUCAAGAAUGGAAUUUCAAAAGAUUAUAAAGGGCAAAAUGGUCAAAUAGAGGGAGAGAAUUCUAGAAGGUAAUGAUGAUGUUUGUGAUAUUUUUAAUUAAUUAAUUAAUUAAAUGUUAUUUAAUUAAACAUUUAAUUAAUAUUUAAUUAAGAUUUUUAGUAUUAUUUUAUUAUUAAAUGAUUAAUAUAAAAGGGAGGAAAGAUGAUGACAGAUCAUCAUCUUUCCAUGCAACCAACAGUAGAAGAGAAGAGAAGAAAGAAAGUUUUCCUUUCUUUACAAUUUGGUCCUUUCACCAAAAAUUCACUAUUUCCACUUAGAAAUCAAAAGAAUUUCCAUAGCUUCCAAGAAAGAAAAAUAAUAAGGAGAAAUUGGGGAGCUAGAAUGUCAUGUUAGGUUCAAGAAAUAGAGGCUGGAGGAGAGAGAAAAUCAAGUUAAAGAUUGAAAUCAAUAGCAUAAGGUAAGAACAUCAAGAUUUCAAUAUAUUUUUAAGUUUGUUAUUGCUGAAAAAGUAUGGAAAUGAUGUUAUAGUAGAGUUUUAUUAUAUAAGGUCUUACGUUCUUGAUAUAUUAGUGAAGAGAAAUAAGUGAAAGUGAUGGGAAAUAUUAUAGAGAAGGGGAAUAAGGGAGUUAUACACCUAGUAAUCAACAUUUUGCACUAAAACAGUUUUGGACAACAGUAGUAGGUUAACUUCGAAAAAUCACCAUAAAUUGUAAAAACAAAAUUAGAGUAUUAAUAAAAUGUGAAAAUAAAUAUUAUUUAGCCUAGUUUCUCAUAGAAGAAACGGUGUAAGUAAUGGAAUUGUAAAUCAUGAGAUAUAAUAAAUUUUGUGAGACAAGGUCAGAAUGAAUUUGGGUUCCCCUAUUCUGACUUGGAAAAAUUAUUAAAAAUUGUAAAAAAAUAAUUAUGGGUUAAAAUUUAUAUGUUUAAAAUUAUUAAUGAGUCUAUUUUUAAUAGAAACAAACAGGAACAUCAUCUGAAUUCUGUACAAAGAUAUAAUUAAUUUUUAGUGAAAAGGGGUCAGAACUGUUAAACAGUGAAACAGAGGAAACUUUAAAGAAUAAAAUGUACUUAUUGGAUAAACAAAAAAUUCUUAAAAUUAUAUGGUAAGAAUAUACGUGACUAUAGUUUCAGAGAAAAUUUGCGGAUCUCAAUUCGGAGUUCUUUAGCUUAAGAUAUAAUUAAUUUAGUGACUAUGACCAAGUGAACAGCUUGUUAUGAGUAAACAAGUUAAUAGUGGUAUUAUGUAUAUAUCAAGGAUGUGAAAUGGAGUGGAGGAGGAGGAAAAAUAUAUGUUAAUAUUCAUCUAAUAUGAUUUUAUUUUAAAAUAGCUAAUUUACAUGUUUUAGGUUCAGGGACUAAAUUGAAUAAAAGUAAAAUUUUAAGGGUAAUUUUGUAAAAAUGUCAAAAAGUGACCAAAUUGCAUGAAAUGAAUUUUUUUAUUAUUUAAAUUAAUAAAUUGAAUGAAAUAUUAAUUUAUAUCAAGAUUGGGAGGAACUUCGAGGAAAAUAAAAAAUUACCAAAAUGCCCCUAAAUUUUGGUAUUUCUGUAAUUUAGCCUGGUAAGUUCGUGUAACUUGAAUUAUAUUCUUAGAUGAUUGAAAUAUAUAUAUUGGAUUGAGAAAUUGAUUUGAAUUGUGAACAUGAGAAAUUUGAAUUGAAUGAAAUGGAAAUGAAGCUUUGAAUUACAUGAGUAAAUAUCGGGUCUCGUAGGCCCUAUUUAUUAUGAAUAUAAUAUUUCGAGGAUAUGUUGUAAAGAAUUAUAAAAGCACGUUAAAAAUUUGAAAGUUUUAAUUCAGAUGAAAUUUUGUAACUCGGUUUAAUACGCAUGCAAAUGUAUGUAUUCUAGUAAUGUCUCGUGCCCUAUUCCGCCGUCGAAUACGGGUAAGGGGUGUUACAAUGUGACAUCGUCAGAUUCGGUCAUAACGUUUAGACUGGGUUUGGAGUGUUAUAUGACACGCUAGAUUUGACCAUAACUCCUAGGCCGGGUUUGGGGUGUUACAUCUGGCCAAUACAUAUUGAGGGUUAAAUAGUUACAUUACAGUGGUUUUUUUUAAAAUAGAGUGACAGGAAAGAUCAGUGGAGUAUAGUGAUUAUAGGUUAGCUUAAAAGUACAAAAAGAAAAUUAAAUGAGUAGAAUAAGUUCGUGAAAAUAAAAGUAAUUGUCAAUGAGGUACUGUGAAAAAGAAAGAAAAGUGACAAAGUCACAAAUAUAGAAAAACUUGUUCAUUGUUGCACAAAAAAAAACCUCGUGAGCUAGCCGUAGUUACUAUAUGAUGCUGAGAUUUCCUAUAAGGAGACAUAAGGAAGGUAAGAGAAGAAUAAAUAAGGCGAUGAGUGAGAAAGGGUCAUUAAAGGGAAGAAUAGGGGACAAUAUGAUGUGUUAAACUAUUUUUGUGCUUGAAACUAUUUGAUACUUACUAUUCUUGAAUUCCAUACAUGACCUAAGCCUCAGAACAUUACAAGCCGAAAAGCCCUAUGUGAUUUAGGUAGGUUUAUUCAUAAUUUGAAAUUAUACUGAAUAAUUGCAUUUACGACUGUUUGUAUUCUACUAGGACAAUCAAAUACCUUGUAUAAUUUAUUAAUGGAUUCCUACAUUUGAGACCCUUAAUGCUUGUAUGCUUUGUAAUAUACUAAACUUAGGUGUUUGAUAUCAAAAGUGAUAAGUCAGCUAUAUAUCAUGCCAAGAUUAUGUGUGAAUAUGAAAUGCUUAUUCAUGUGCUCCAAAGCUAACAUUUGUACCAUACUUGCUCAAGUGUCGUCUUUUCAUUUAUUAUUUUUGUUUGUUUUGCUUGAGGAUAAGCAAUGACUUAAGUGUGGGGGAGUUUGAAUACAAGUAUUUUUGUUAAGUUUUAAUUAUGUUUUCACAAUUUUAAUUAAAUUCAGUAAAGUGUGUAAUUUGAGUCUUUUAUUGACCUUAGGGGCCGAAUAAGGCUUAAAUGUGAGUUAAUAUACUUUGUGAACAUGUAAGACACCACUAGAAGGUGCGCUAACUCGAUAUUGGUCACUGUGUUACAACACGACGCACUGAAUGUCGUAACAUAGUGAACAGAAUAGAAGAAUUCCAAGACUACCUUUGGUGUUGUGACAUAGCUUAAGGAUGUUGCGACACACCCCUGAAGAUACCCUAAAGAUGAACAUACUACCCUCGAUGUCGUGACAUCACCUCUGUACAGGAAAUAAUUACGAGCCAGAGGCAUUUUAGCCCGUACAAUCAAACAUUAAAUACGAGGAUGACAGCUGACCUAGGUUAAGGAUGAUGACUAAUCUAAAGUCUAUAAAUAGGCUCAUUUAACACAUGUUAUGGACAACAUUCGUUUUGUAUGAUUUCCCCCUUAGAUUUAGUCUUUAGUUUUUCUCUUUUUUUAGACUUUAGGUUUAUUUUGGUUUUGUUAUUUGUUCUUGUCGAAGAAAUCAGAUUUGUGAAACAUAAUCAAACUCUGUGAGGAUUCUGCACUCAUUUCUAAUACAGAUCAGGCUUCUUGUAAACUUUAUACUCUUGAAUUAUUAUUCAUGUUUACUCUUUCUAUCAAGUUUAUAUUGUUUAUGAGAUCCAUGAGGAACUAAUCCUCCUAUGGGAGAAUAGCGAGUGGAGAUAUGAUUAAUUAACUAUUUUGUAGGGUUUUAUUAGCGGAUUAGCUAUUUAGGAAAGGAAGAACCUAAAACCUAAGCUUGACAAUCCCAGGAAGUCAUUAAGGUGGGAAUUAACCUAAAUUUGGUAUGCCCUAUCCGUGAUUACCUUAACCCUGAAUCGAUCUGGACUGUGAGGUUGAGAGAUAAAUAGUUCUUGUUAACUCAUUAUUUUAGUGGAAGAUUGGAAGAUCUUGCUGGGAUGUAUACUAGUUGAUUGAACAAGAAAACUCGAAGCAACAGUUGGUUAUAUUAUUUGAUUUCUUGUGCAUUAUUUAUUUCUUUUCUUUCUUCAUUAUUAUUAGUAUAGAUUACCAAAACUUGUCUUUUUAUCUCAUCGUAAUAUAAUUCAUUUAAAGUACUAACUAGAUCUAUUUAUGCUUACGUUAGAAUUAAUUUAGUGCUCGCCUCCCUUGGGUACGAUCCUCGGAGUACUCAUCUACUAUGUUGUAACUAUAUUACAACCUGACCCGUAUACUUGCAAAUACUGCCUUUUCAUAUAUUUUGUGCAAGAUUUCUACUAUGGAUGUUGGUACAUCUAGAGGCAAUCAGUAGAUCACACAAUCUCGUUAUUGAUUCGAUAUUUUUUCAAUUGUUUUAAAGCUUAAUUUUGUCGCAUGUAUAUAGGUUUUAUGAAUUGUUAAUUUUGAAUGUUGGCAUAACUUGAACUCUAUCUUGUGCUUGAUUUUGGCAAUGUUAAGUUUAAUCUAAAUGGUGAGUUUUUGGAAAAUAUGGUUCAAUUAUGAAUAAAAGUUAAAAUAGCUUGUUUAAACAUAGAUUAGCAUAGUUGAGAAGUUGAUUUUGAGUGGCUAGUUGGUUGGAUGAAUGGUUUGUGAUUGAAUAAGUUGAAAUUGUAAAUUUGGUUCUAAUUUGAAGUUUUAUUAAAAUGGUUGAAUUGAAAUGGUUAGAGGCAAUAUUUUAGUAUGUGUUUGAAAUGUUGUUGCGUAGGAAAAGUUACGUAAAUAUGCACUAAAUGUAAAGAAUGGGAGGUAUCCAUGAAAUAGGUACCAAAUGGCCUAAAUUUUACGAAAAAUAGAGUCUAUGUUCCGACAACCAAUCUUCCUCAUCGUAAUUUUGGCCAGCAAUAAGUCGCGUCAUGACAUUAAGUGGCCUAAGGUCACAACGUAACAAAAUGUUUGGUGACGUCACGUUGUCGGCCUUGAAAUUUUGAAACUUUGCAAUUUGGUCAUAUUUCAUGCUUGAGUCAACAAAAGAGCUUUUCUAAACUUGAUUAAGGGUCGAAUUUAAUUUUGUAUCAUAAUGUGAAGGUGUUUAUGAUAUGAUUGAAUGUCUAAAUGAUUUAUUUACGGUGUAUUUGACGGUAGUUGCUCUUGCAACGAAUGUGGCAUCCUAUGGCUCAGACCCAAUGAUUGGGUUAGGCAAAGGUUUUUACAACCAAAGUGUAUAAAUUGUAUAAUUGUUGUGAUUUUUUUAAUAAUAUAUAAUAGAAGGUCUCAUAAGGAUGUGAUUGAGACUGGUUUCGAAAUCAAACUCAAAAUUAAAAGAUUUUGUUAAUUUUAAUGACUAAAUUGAAUAAAAUGUAAAAAUUUAGGGAAAAUGAAAUUAAAAUGGUUCAUGCAUAUUGGGGGUUGAUAUAAAAAUAUUUGGUAUUGAUAAAUUAAAUUGAAUAAUUGUAUAGAUCGAGAAUUGAACCAAAUCGAAGAUAAUCAAGGAAACGACAAAAUUGAGGAAUUAUUUUUAAAGAUACAAUUUGCUUGUUGUUUUGCCAAGUAAGUUUAUAUGGAACUUACUAAUUUUUUUAUGUGAUGCUGUAUUGUAUUUAUUCUAUCGACAUGUUUAGUCUCAACUGAAAUAGGUGAAAUUGGCAUAAUUGGCUUAUUUUGGACUAAAUUGUAGAACAUGAAAAUGAUGGCUAUUAUGAAAGGGUACAAGGUACCAAUAUGAAUGUUAAAUGUUUAAAAUAUGUAUGACAUGUGUAUAGUGAUACAUGAUUUGAAAUGAUAUUAUUACAAUAAUGAUGACCGUGUGAGCUUAGUAAAAGAUUAGGAUAUGUAUGAUAUGCCAUUAGGGUUAAAUACAAAAUCGAAUAGGGGUAUACAUGAUGUAUGAGAUCCAACAUUUAUUGUAGAUUCUAGAUUUAUAUGUAUCAUUGGUUUAACCUAGAUUGGUAACCUCGAUACGAUGUCAACUUGUGUGAGUAAAUCUGUUAUAUUGUCAGCUUGUGUGAGCAAUAUAAUCUUAUGUAUUGGAGUUCGAUUUACUAAGGUUCUCUCUGGAAAAACUUUAACUUAAUUAAAAUGGAAAGAUUGAAAUGAAUUGAAUAUAGAUAAAUUGAUAUAUGAUUUCAAAUGGAAAUGUGAUUUAUGAUUUAUUAUCUAUUCAACUUGAUAUACAAAUGAACUAACCUAGUGGUUGUUAUGAUUUAUGUGUUAGUUAUUUCAAGAUAUAUUAAAGAAUGCUAUAUUGAUUUUGAUUGUGUUAAAUGAUUAGCUUAUUGAAUUGUUAAGGUAAAUUAAGUAAAUUACAUAUGACCUUACUAAGCAUUCACUAAGCUUACUCCAUUAUUACCCCUUUCCUUGUAGAUUGUUACAUUGCGAAAUGUGUCAAGUGGAAUGUUUGAACCUCACAAUAUCCCGUUUUUGAACCGGUAGUUUAUUUUAUCAUUUUAAGUCCAAAUUUGUGGCAUUCACAUAGGUGUUUUGCAUAUGUUAACUUUGAAUGUGGAACAUAGCUAAAAUCUACCUAAUGCACAAUUUUGGCAAUGUUAAUGUCUUGAUGAAAUGGUAUGUUUUGGUAAAUGGUUUGUGAUGUGUAUGUAGCAAUUGAGUGGGCUUAUUUGGAUAUGAAAUAGUGUUGAAAAGCUAGUAUUUAGGUGUUUGUUUGAUAUUUAUAUGUCAUGUUAAUAAGAUGAUAUGUCUAAUGGUUGAUUAUAAAUUGAUAAGAAGUUGAUUGUAUUAUUUGCAUUUGUUUUGGUAUAUUUUUUGAAAUGUUUUGGUGCAGGUGAAGUUAGUCAUUUGUGCACAAAAUCAUAAGUUUAUGUGGAAGCUAGAAAUAGGUACCAAAUGGCUCAAAGUUUACCAAAAACAAAGUCCACAUCCUAGUGUGCAACUUAGCUCGUUGCAGCAUCGACCAAAAUAGUGAGUCACGUCGUGACAUUGAGUGACCUUAAGUUACGGCCUGACAUACUAUUUUGAAAACAUCACGAUGUGGAGAAAUUAACUUCACAAAUUCGGUUCUAAAGUUUUAAAACUUUGCAAUUUGGUCAUAUUUCGUGCUUGGGUUAUCAAAAGAGCUUUUGUAAGCUCGAUUGAGACUCAGAUUUGAUCGUUUAUCAUAAUUUAAAGGUAACUGACUCGUAUUAGAAUUUAUAAAUGUUUUUUUACUGUGAACUCGACGGUAGUUUCUCCAGAAAAAAAUGUGGCAUCCUGUAGCUUGGACCCGACGAUCGGGUCGGGUGAGGAGUGUAACAUUUAGUGGUAUCAGAGGUAUGGUUUAAUCGAUUCUAGGACUAAAAUGUAGCUUGUGUUAAGUCUAGAAAUACAUGCCACAAUAAUUUGCAAUAGUGUGAUGCCUUGUGAAUCGAAUUGACUCUGUUUUCCAUAUAGUUAAACUAUGUCGGCCGAAUUAAAUAGAGUCAUACUAGAUGAAAUCAAUAGUAAUGUUCAUGCUUUCAAUCAGGGAGCUGCCCAGAGUUUGCCCAUUCUAUAAGGGCCUAGAAACCAGGAAAAAAUGUCUUUUUUUCAUAUGAUGAACAAGUGGUUCACUUAGCUUAUGGGAGCUAACCCUUCAACUUUACAACCCCAAAUGCACCCUUCUCCCUUGAUUGUGCCUCUUGUGGCACCCCUUGUCCUCAAAAUCUUAAUAUGGUACCUAUAAAUUGACUUCUAAUCGAUAAAUUCUAAAAAUGAGUUCCUUAUUCCUCCCUUAGCCAUUAUUGGGAUUCCUACUAAAUUCGUCAAUGCUACGGACACUUAUAUACACAUUUUGGCGUCUCCUCUCACUGUUUCAGACUUGGACACUUGUCCUCCAACCUUGCAUACAUCCCCAAUUGGCUUUCUCUACUACACUCCCCCUACUAGCAAGGUACAAAUCUUCUUUUCUUGGAGGAAACACAUCGGUGUGGGACAAUAUCCGUUCUCCCCCUUGUUGUUCGGCAAAGGAAAUAUAGGGAUUUUCUCUUGGAAUUAAAAUAAUUAGCCUACCCUUCUUCUUCUUCCAAGGGUAUUCACAAACCUACCCUACCAGAGUUGGCGGGUUCUUUUUCCAUGAUGGUUGCAGAGUGUGACUUAUGAGUUGGGCUCUCCAAAGGGCUUGUGAUGAGAUCAAUGCUAGGAAUCUGAGAGGAGAAUUCUCUUUGGUAAGCAAUCUCUUAACCAAGUCCACUAAUCGUAUGAAGCCGUUGUCUGCCAAAAUCACGAGCUUACACAGUCAAUCUCCAUUUGGGAGACUAAGUACCAACCCUCGAUUGUCUAAGAAAAAGAGUUAGAAGAGAGGGUUCGUCAGCUGUAAGCCCUUGAGAAAGAGUACCUCGCCAAAAAAGAGCAGAUAUAAAGGGAGAACAAAAAGGCUCUAGAGAUGUUGAAAGCAAAUUCCAAUGCGAACAUUCGAGCAUUUCUGCCUAGCUUGAGGUCUAACUUAGUGCUGCAUGUACAAGUCGCUAUUGGUCACCUCGACUUGCAUUCUGUGAACUUUAAUUGUGUGCGAAAACUCACAAACACCGAGCUUGACUUCAACAUUCUAAACCUCAAUGGGGCUAAAUGUGAAGAAUUUCAUAGGAAGUGGAAGGAAUCCAAUACUCUUUUAUGAUCAAGACUUAGAGCUGUCCAACUCUGGUUCCUCAAAAGAGGCUGACCUAGAAAAAACCCCAGGGAUGCCGCCACUUCUCCUACUCAAGGGGAAAUUAGAAUUUUGCUGUUGUACCUUGCACUGGCCUUGUAAUUUAAUGACAUUUUUCUUUACCUUCUUUACCUAUCUUUUGCAUCUACUUUAUUUAGUUUUUUCCCUUAUAUUGUCUUCGAAAUGCAUAACGUCAGGCUUGCAACAGUUCACCAAUCUGUACCCAACUUCAUAACACGUAAUAACUUUACAACAACUUAAAGGACUAGACCAGAUCCAAUGUAGCAUGCAUAUAAUGGCUACUCCUUACCUUUCUAUAUCAAAAGGAUUGGCUAAAUCGAAGCUCUGAGACCAUUAAAUUAUAAAACCCUUUUCUCGACUCGAUCGUUGAGUCCAGAGCCAAGUGUCACAAAUAACCUGAGUUACUUAACAUAAAUCUAGCUUUGUUUAUUUACAAAUUUAAGUACACCAUGAUUAAUCUGAAUUUACCAUAUGACUAUGAUAUCUUUAAUUAACAACAGGUUUCAAAAUAGGGCUACAAUUAAAAUUUCUACAAGUUUUAAAGUUCGUACAUCCGCAUCUUUUUAUCAAGCAUGAACAAUUAAUUACAUUAACUUGGAACUUAGUACUUUACUAUAGAUACACUUAAGUAAUUUCCCCUAAGGUGUAGCCUCUAAGGGUGCCCCUCUAUACACAUGGUACAGCUAUGACGCCAUUAAUGUGAGCUUGACAGUGUCUAGCUUGGUCCAUCCACAUGAUCCUCGAGUCACUCAUUUACCCUACAUUUCAAACAGUACAUUUGUAAGUUCAUAUGAACUUAGUGAAAUCCUGUACAGCAAAAUUCAUAAAAAAACUCUUAAAUUAUUAGGUAAAUAAUAAUCAAUGCACAGAAUUAAAACUUCAUGAGUGUCUUAGAAGAUUCCACAGGUUUAACUGGCAUUGCCGAUGCCCAUACGUGCUCUGAACUAACCAUUGGCGGACAUGUCGACUGGUUUAGUCGUAAGCAUGCUCUUCUAGAAACCCUUUUUUCUAGGACUUGACCCUGUCUAGUUUCAACUCAGACUUCCAAUUUUUCUUUCUUGAUUCGACUCAUCAUAAGAUAACCAUAUCCACAAACGUGCGAGUUGGUUUCAAUUAUUGGCAAACAUUCAAAUAUCUCACCACCUGGCAGAUUCCUUCCUGUCUCCUUUCAUUUCAUGCCAAACAUAAUAUAGACAUGUCAUAUUGUCUCGACAUUUUCCCUUUUAUGACUUAACCAAUGUGUGUACCCCUUUCUUUAGGUAAACAUGUUUACUAAUAUUCUUAUUUGCAACUUUGAAUAUUAGAUUUGGCUGAUAAAUAAGCACCACUUUCAUUGCGGACUUGCACCCCCUCUUUAGAACAUUCUACUAAAAUACUCUUAAGAAUAAAUAGUUCCCGAUGAACUAUAUCUUCCUUAGUUUUCCCUUGGCAAACUUCCACCCUUGAUAGUCUUUUGUGGGCUUCCUCAUUCUAUAUGGUCCUAGUAGAAAUCUUAUUCUUUUGUAAAUUCUUAACGGACUUUCUCACCAAAAUAGUCAUUGGCAAACUCCCCUUUUAAAAGGGUCUAUGGCAGACUUUCUCUAUUUCUGGUGGCUUCUUUACCCACAGAUUCUUAGGAUUAAAAUCUACCUAAUCAUCUAGAUUUAACACACCAAAUGUUGGUUUACUCACCAAACUUUGGCGGAUACUUAAAUACUUUGGAGAAAAUACCCCUUCAUUUCACAUAUAUCGCAUUUAAAAUGCUUCUGCAAUUCUUCUUACCUCCAUAUUAUGGAGGAUCCUCUUAUUAGCAUACUUACCAUUGUUUUCAAAUAAGUUAUGAUCAUCAUGUCAGACUGCUCACCGCGAGUGUCAAACAAUAACUUCCCUUUUUAUUCCUUGACAAGCUUCCUUGUUUACUGUUCUAGCAGACUCCAUUUCGCCAUAAGGUGUACCUGUUCACCACUGGAUCGUGCCAUGGCUAACCAUGGACUCUUGAUUCUCAAGAAUCAAUAAACCCCUUUCAAGGUAUCACCACGAAAGACCUGUAUACCAUUUACAUGGUGUCACCCUGAAGGACCUAUAUACCAUUUACACGGUGUUGCCCCGAAGGACCAGUAGAUAACCGUCAACAUGGUGUCGCCCCAAAGGACCAGUAGAUAUCUAUUCCACAAUGCCACCAAACUCCCUUGAAUCCUAUAACAAUCUGCUCAUUCCUCCAUUACACUAAUUAUUCCUAUCUUCAUCUACCCCAUUAAAGUAAAUCCUUCCAAACUCUGCAUUUUAUAAACAUAUAUUUCACGCAAGUCAUUGUACUUAUUAUUAUAACAUACAGUACACCAUUUAUCAAUAAGACAAUGCACAACCACAUUUGGCAUCCAGAGAACAUACUUGCAAUGAUCCAUAUAUUUUCACAACUUUAUGCAUGUAUAGCAUACUCAUUCACUGUGAUCAUAAACAACCAAUAGCAAACACACGAGCAGAACAUUCCUACACAUUAACAACAAACACCUAAGUGGAGCACAGAAACUCACCUUAAACCCUUCAUCCUCGCCAGUUUAGCUUAUACAAAUGCCAAAGCCUUCUUUUUCUUGGCAGCUAAGCAUGGCAACCAUAUAUAUAUCAGUUAAACCAAAGGUGUUCAAACCUUCAAACCUUGAAUCCAUUAUUAUACAGAAGCUUUUUAAGAAUCCUUACUUCUUUUUUCCUCUAAUUCAAGAGUACAAAGAGACAUAGGAGUUUACCAGCUUACUACAUUCUCUACUUUCCAGACUCGAGUCUCACAUUUACCGCCUCAUGCAAAGCUUUCCUUAACUUUCUUUUCUUCGAAGCAACCGAAGAAGACGAUGCAGAUGAUAAGAGAAUAUAAACAGAAUAGGGAAGAUUUUUUCCUUUACUGAAUAAGGCUUCUUACUUAUAUAUAUAACUUUUCUCGUGUGAUCACCAAAGCCCCAAUUAAACCAUCCAUCGGCAAUCAUUUUGUCCCCCACUAAGGAACCAACCAGUUCCAACAUAAUUGAACCAGAAUUAGAUUUCCACUAAUUAUCAAUCAGCUACAAAAAUUUCCAACUUUUCCAAUAAAGCCCACCCACUUACUAUUUUAUCAAAUUAACUCCCAACUCUCCUUUAAAUACGAUACUUUAAUGAAAACCAGGUGUGACAUCUAUAAUUCAAAUAACAAAGUGCAAGUUAUCAACAAAUAUGUCUUUCAUAUCAACUGCAAAACAUCAUGCUAAAUGUACUAUAUUAUCAUACCAUUUUCCGAAUCGAAUUAAUUGAUUCAUCACAAUUCUAUAUAAAUCUUCUAGACUUAUAAAUUCGGCUCAAAUAAUAUUUUAAAAUAGCAAUUCAUUUCAUAUACUAUUAUCAAAAUUAAUUUUUAAAUCCAUAUUAACAUAACUUGGACUCAAAUGGAUACAUGAAUCCAACCAACACACUAAUUUACCACAUUGUGCCUCAUUAGACAAACCAUAGUAAAUACAUUGCGCCCAACGCUCAUCAGUAUAACUGAAGUAAAAGUUGUGACCAACAUUUAUUGACCUAUAGUUGAAGCAACUUGUACUCAACACAUCUGACCGCCGCCGGAUGUACUAAUGUCCAGAGUAUGAAUACUGCAACAAAAGAUAAAGAAUUGAGGUGCUGUAAUAUAGUUUUUACGAUGAAGUAGGUAAGUACUCCGAGGAUCGUGCCCAAGGGAGGCGAGUACCAAAUUAGUGUUAACCUAAACGUAAUAAAAUUAAUUAGUAGUUUAAAUAAAUUAUAGUACGAUGAAACAUAAAGAAGAAUUUUUAGAUUUUUAUAAAUGAUGAAAUAAAAUAUGCAUAAAUAAAGUAGACUUUGGAAAACUUAAUUUAUAAACUUAAUCAAAUCUAGACAUGUAUGAUUAGCUCGCUUUGCUGAUUAUAACUAAUUCCUAUUUUAAGUUUCUAUUCAAUCAACUAGUCGUUAUCCUAGCAGGAUCUCUCGGUCUUCCACUAAACUAACAAGUCGACCAGAACUACUUAUCUCUCGCCCUCACAAUCCAAACCGGUUCAAGGCUAAGGUGUUCACUGAUAGGCUAUACCAAUUUUGGGUUAAUUCCCACCUAAAUGACUUCCUAGGGUCAUCAAGCCUAGGGUUUAAGUUCUUUCUUUCCUAAACAGCUGAUCCAUUAAGAAAACCCUUCAUAACGAUUAAUUAAUCACACCUCCAUUCUUUAAUCCCCCAUAAGAGGACUAGCUCUUCAUGGAAUCCAUAAACAUAGUAUACUUCAUGAUAAAUAUAUGCAUGAAAAAAUAAAUCAAGAAUAAAUUUUAGAGAAUCCUGAUUGUAUUCGAUUGAUGAAGCACAAAAAUCCUAAAACAUUUUAUUGUGUCUACAAAUCAAGUUCUUCGAAGAACACGAAUGAAAAGAACUAAAAAGAAAUCUAAACCCUAAGAGAAAGAAAAAACUGAAAAUUGAAUUACAAAGAAAAUCUUUGAAUAUCAAAAGUUUUCCAUAAUAAGUGUUAAAUGAGCCUAUUUCUAAAUUUAGGGUUGUCGUAGUCCUCAAUCCUAGGUUAGUUGACGCUCUCAUGUUAAACAUUUGAUUGUGCAGACCAAAACGCCCCUGGCUCGUAAGUGUUUCCCAUAUAGGACCGAUGUCGCGACACCCAAGUACUUGUGUUGCAACAUCGAGGGCAACAUGCUCAUAUUUAGGGUAUCUUCAAGGGUGUGUCGUGACAUCCUCUAGCCGUGUCAUGACACUGAAGGUAGUCUUGGAAUUCUUCUAUUCUACUCCCUAUAUUGCAACAUCAAACUCUUCGUGUUGCAACACAACAACUAGCAUCAAGUUAGCACGUCUUCUAAUGGUUUCCUGCACACUCACAAAGUAUAUUAACUUACCCUUAGGCCUCAUUCGACCUAUUGAACUAUAAAUACUUAAAUUACACUUUUUAUUGAACGUAUGAAAUUAUGAAAAAUCGACUAAAACAUAACAAAAGAGCUUGGAUUCAAGCUCCUUAAAUGUGAAAACUAGUUUAAUCUGCUACACUGAAUUUUGACAAAUUAAACUCCCCCACACUUAAGCCAUUGCUUGCCCUCAAACAAUGUAAACAUAUAAUUAAAAAAAACAAAAAAGAAGGUAUGAAAAGAAAAAAGAAAAAAAAUUAGUUGUAAAUAAAAGUAAACCAAACUACAAAACAUAAAAAAAGAAAAUAACUACUUGGUUUCUUUCUUUAAACAAGCUAGAAUUGGUGAAUAUGGUUGUAAAUAAGAACCUCACACCUAGACUCCCCUACACUUAACUUUUGGUUUGUCCUCAAGCAAAUCAAGUCCAAACACAUAGCAUGUAAUAAGAAGACAUCCCUUAGAUUUUAUUGCUACUAAGAAAAUGAUUGUCAAAUAUGAAAGGUAUAACAAUUCUUAUCGCACAAGUAACUUAAUUUUGAUAGUUUGAUGCUUUGAAAUUUUUUAAAGGAAAAAAAGAUUAGUUUACAAAGUUACAUUACUAACAAAUUAGAAGUAAUCCCCAUGACCAAAUAUUUAACAAUAUCACCAUUAACAUAAAUAAAAAAGACAUGCAGUAGACACAAUCAUGUGAAUCAGAAAAUAUUCAUUGAGUAUAAUUGUUAGCAAUUCCGUAAUAUUAUGCACAGAGAACGCUUAAGUCACAUUGGUCUUCUAGGCUUGUAACUGUUUGAGGCUUAGAACGGUAUGAGUUCAAAUAAAGAUAUGGCUCAAAAUGAUUCAAACACUAGAAAUAGUUAGGCACAUGACAUUGUUCUCUAUCUUCCCCCUUAAUGUCCCAUCCAAGCUCACCGCAUUUUGUCUCCCUCUCUCACUUACCUUACCUUUCCAUGUAGGAAGAUACAAUAUAAUACUAGAAACCAUGGUCGACUUAAUGACUUUUGGUGCAUUGAUGACUGAGUUUUCUCUCACUUUUGUGACUUUUUGUUUUGUCACUUGACUUUUUACUCUUUUCUCAGUCAUGGUGUUUUUGUUUCUAUUCUAUAUUCUUUCCACACAUUUUUACUUUUGAAUUUCUUUUCUUUUUCGCACAUUUUUGCUCAACCUAUAAUCACUGUAUCACAUUGUUUCUUCCUUUGUCGCUCUUUUUUUUUGGAACCACCAUAAUGUAUCUACCUAAACACUCAAUAUCUAUGGUCUGACGUCUAUUUUAUAAUGUAUUAAAGGACUAAGGAUAGGGAAGAGUUCAAGUUUUAUGUGUGGUCGUUGGGUUUUAAUUUUGAUGGUUCAUCAAAAAGGAGUUAUCAGGCUCAAAUAAGGACAGUAGGGAUUCAUAGCAUUAAGGUAUGGUCAUUUGAGAACUAACUAUUCAAAUAAAGCCUUAGGUCAUCCCUAAGCAUCCCACUAUACACAAUUUCUUUCAUGCUUCAAAUUAAACCGAAUGAAUAAUAAUCAAUUCAAGCAUUCAUGUCCCUAAGACUAUCUACAAAACUUAUAUUUCAUAUGGCAUCAUUAAACAUUCUUACUUAGGUACUUCUAAUCUAUUAUGCAAUUUAACUAGGUAACCUAAUUAAUUUCCCUUAAAAUAAUCAAAUUAUCUCAUAUCAAUAAAAAAUUCAUAAUUGACAAAAAUCAUUACAUGCUUCACUAUUUUCAACCACUACUCACUAUCUUAAUAAUGCAAACAAGAAAACUUCCCUAAGUAGGUCAGAUCCUUAUUGUUAUGAUAAUCUCAGGAUUUGUGUGCUCCAGGCAAACAAAAAGGUACCUAAAAAAAUACUACGACAAGAAAUAUGAAAUAAAAAUAAAAAUAAGAAGAAAAAGAAAAAAACAAAGAAGUGUCAAAAAUCGAUGGCAGAACGUCUAAAAAUAUUCAGAUGAACUUGGCCUUUUCAUGUUGCAAGGUACGUUCUGCCUAGGAUGUCACGACAUUAGAGUGCGAUGUCGGGACAUCAAGCCCAGUUUCUAGCUUCUUUGAUUUUUUUUUUCAAUUCUAUUCCACCAUAGUAUCUACUCCUAAAAAAACUUGAACACAAAUAACAUUAGUACUAAAAACUAAAAGUAACGAGAAAUAACAAAAAAAUAAAAAUAAAGAAAACUGAAAAAUAAAACAAAAUAUAAAAAUUCUUUAGAAAUUGGGAUGACCCGUAUCGCCACCAUAGAAGAACUUCCUUCUAGUUCUUGACACUUUGAUUCGACGUUUGUUUCUCUGUUGAUGUAUAUGAACUAGCCUUUUCGAUUGAUUUCAUGUUGUCUUAUUUUCAAUCGGCGUGACAUCCACAUUACAAGCCAUUCCAAAUCUGAGCCAACCCCAAAUUACUUUCCAAGGUAUUAUUGCCUCAAGCUUCCUUCCCUCCAUUUCGCGUGAAGUUUUGAUCCCUCCAGAUUUAUUGCUUUUGUUGGUUGAGAAUGGAUCAAACUCAUCGACUUCUUCGACUAGCACAUUCUCUGCUACAACCAAAAAGUGUAUUGGCUUUUCUAAAAUUUCAUUCAAUAUUGGUUUAAGCUCUAUGUUAGUGGUUAGUUCAUCUUCCACUUAUACCUUUAUGAUAAGUUCUGCUGCUAUGUUAAUUGGAUCAGAGAUCGUUUCAACAAUGUUCAAUUCAUCCCCAUGGUCUUCAGUUACAAGCUCCGGUUGAAUCUCACCAUAAUUCUCAUCAUGGUCAUUGAUAAUACAAUGGUUCUCUUGAUCUAUGUUGUGAGCGUCAGACAUUCCUCUUUCCCGGAAGGCAGCACUUCAUAUACUUCUUGCAUCAUUUUGAUCAUUUGCGCCAUCAUAUCUGACAUGUGUGACAAUACCUUAGAGUUGUUUGUCUUGGUGGUUUCACAUGAAGGAAUCUCACACGAAUCACUAGAAGGCUUGUUUGAAUGUUUGGGCAUAUCAUGAUCUUUUUCAAGUGCCUCAUACAAAUUAUCAAUGAACUUAUAUGGAUGUUCGACUAUAUCAGUACCUUGUUCAUUACUUCACUGGUAUGUUGAGACUUUAUUUUUAGCUUGGCGCAUCUCGAUCAUAAAAUUUUUUUUAUUUUCCAUGAUCUCCCAUUCUUCAUAUACUCCCUCAUUGUAUAUUUCGUCAUCAAAGCCCAUCUUAUCAUUGAACAACAUGUAACUAGUUUCAUCCAUGUUUGGAUGAUUUUCUCGGAUUACUCCCUAUGGAUCAGUGACUGACUAAACAAGUAUUACUCUCUUCUGAGGCAUAUACUGAAAUUAACAAAGAAAAAGAAAGGAGUUAGUAAACUAAAUUAAUAAUACUAAAAAUAGAAAUCGUAUUUAUAAUUCAAAAUUUUCCUAUUAUUCUUAUUAAAAUGUAAAAAUUAAAAUCAAUUUAGUAACGUUGCCUCCCUGGCAGCGGCACCAACAACUUGACUGCCUCUGAACGUACUAACGUCUAAAGUAUGAAUACUGCAACGAAAGAUAAAGAAUUGAGGCAUUGUCGGCAAUUAUACGGGUCAGGUUAUAAAAUAGUUUUUACAACGAAGUAGGUAAGAACUCCGAGGAUCGUACCCAAGGUAGGCGAGUAUUAAAUUAAUGUUAACCUAAAUGCAAAUAAAAUUAAUUAUUAGUUUAAAUAAAUUAUAGUACGAUGAAACAUAAAGAAGAAUUUUUGGAUUUUUAUAAAUGAUGAAAUAAAAUAUGUAUAAAUAAAGUAGACUUUGGAAAGCUUAAUUUAUAAACUUAAUCAAAUCUAGACAAGGGUGAUUAGCUCGCUUUGGUGAUUAUAACAAAAUCCUAUUUCAGGUUUCCAUUCAAUCAACUAGUCGUUACCCUAGCAAGAUCUCUCGAUCUUCCACUAAACUAAUAAGUCAGUAAGAACUAAUUAUCUCUGAACCUCACAGUUCAAAUCGAUUCAGGGCUAAGGUGUUCACGGAUAGGCCAUACCAAUUUUGGGUUAAUUCCCACCUAAAUGACUUUCUAGGGUUUAAAUUCUUCCUUUUCUAAACAGCUGAUCCGCUAAGAAAACCAUUCAUAACAAUUAGUUAAUCACACCUCCACUCCUUAAUCCCCCAUAAGAGGAUUAGUUCUUCAUGGAAUACAUAAACAUAGUAAACUUGAUGAUAAAUAUAUGCAUGAAAAAAUAAAUCAAGAAUAAAUUUUAAAGAAUCUUGAUUGUAUUCGAUUGAUGAAGCACGAAAAUCCUCAAACGUUUGAUUGCAUCUACAAAUCAAGUUCCCCGAAAAACACGAAUGAAACGAACUAAAAAUAAAUCUAAACCCUAAGAGAGAAAAAACUGAAAACUAAAUUACAAAGAAAAACUUUGAAUAUCAAAAGUCAUCCACAACAAGUGUCAAAUGAGCCUAUUUAUAAAUUUAAGGUUGUCGUCGUCCUCAACCCUAGGUCAACUAACAUUCUUGUGUUAAACAUUUGAUUGUGUAGACCAAAACGCCCCUAGCUCAUAAGUGCUUCUUGUACAUGAUCAAUGUCGCAACACCCUAAUGCCUGUGUCGCAACAUCGAGGGCAGUAUGCUCAUAUUCAGGGUAUCUUCAGGGGUGUAUCGCGACAUCGAUCAUGUCUUGGAAUUCUUCUAUUUUAGUCCCUAUGUUGCGACAUCAAACUCUUCAUGUUGUAACACAGUGACCAGUAACGAGUUAGCACGCCUUUUAAUAGUCUCUUGCACACUCACAAUGUAUAUUAACUCACCUUUAAGCCUCAUUUGACCCCUAAGGUCAAUAAAAGACUCAAGUUACACUUUCUAUUGAAUGUAAAUGAAAUUAUGAAAGCUUGACUAAAACAUAACAAAAGAGCUUGUAUUCAAGCUCCUCAAAUGCCAAAACUAGUUUAAUCUACUACACCGAAUUACAGCAGAUCAAUAUCCUAUGGCAUGUCAACUAUAUUCGACUUUGCCCGAAUAGUGGCAACUAAUCAUCCAAUUCAUAAUAUAGCUUAAUUUUGCAUUUCAUAUCUCCAAUUCAUCAACCAAGUCAUCAAUAUAUACAUAGCAUAACAUGAGUCAUCUCAAUUCAAAUCCAAUUUCAUAAUUUCAUCAAGUUAUGCUAUUUUUAAUUUUAUUCAAUUUAGUCCUCUAUCUCUAUAAUCAAUCAAAUUCAUACAAAUAUGAUUUGAUCAAUCAUAUUUAACUUACCUCAAUAUCCUACCAUGCAAAUAAUAGAAAUAUGCAUCAAUUCACGUAAUUUGAAUAAUAAAAAUAUUAACUGAACACUCGAGUUACUCAUUAUUGGAUCUCGUCUUUCCAUUCCCUCUUGACGUUUCCACAUCGUCUUUAGCUACGAACUAUAAUCUAACAGUACAUAAUAUUAAAUACCAGCCAAAUCACAACCAAUUACAAAAAAACACACAUUUUACAAUUUAGUCCCUAAAACCAGGACUAGCAUAACUUUCAAUUUGAAGUUUCAAAUUGAAAUCCGAUUUCACUAUUAUUCAUUAGUGGCCUCCUAUUUCUUAUUACUACUAUAAAUUUUACAGUUUAUUCACUUUAAUCCCUAGUGUACAAACCCUUGUUAAUGCAUCUUAUUCUUCUUUAUUUAUUUUGGUUCGUUUGGGGAGGAUGAUUUUUCUCAUUCUUCCCACUGAAUUGCACAUAUAUAUUAUAAUUAACUUAGUUAAUUAAGUAAUCAACCUCAGUUUAAUAUAUAUAAUACUUAAUUUAUUAAAUCUAAUGAUAACAUGCUUAUGUCGUCCAACUUUCAAUGUUUAGACAUGGUAUAUUUGAUAUUUUGAACCUUAGGUUAUUUGCAAUUUAAUUCCUCAAGCCAUUUUCUAAUUAAAAAUCUAUAGCGAUUGAACUUUACAAUUUAGUCCUAGACCUCAAUUAAGCCCUAAUUCAGCUAAAUUAUUUGUCCAAAAAUUUACGGGAUUGAUUACAUUUUUUGACACCACUGGAAAUUGAAUCGUUACAAAUUUAUUUAAUUUCAAAUUUAUUGAUGUGAGUAUGCUUUUAUUGCUUAAUGAUUUUAUAUUAUGAGAUUGAUUUAUGUUUAACACCACUAUAAUUUCUAUGUUCAACGUGCAGUUUGUUUGUACCAUACAUAAAUAUUGGGAGAACACGCAAGUAGUAGUCCUUAUAGUCAUAACAUUUGAGCUCUUGAAUCUGAGCUACAUUCAUUGAACUUUUGUAAUUCCUUUCUUUGGCGUUAAGUUAUAGGCAUUUACCUAGGUCCCUUUUACAUGUCUUAUACUUAUAUCUUUAAGGUUUUGAUACGAUUGGUAUAUUUGGCAUGGAAUGAAAUAUUUUGGUUUGUCUUGGUUCCUUUGGUCACUUUUACUUUGGAUUUGGAAUGUUAAUUCUAUAUGGUGAAUGAAUGGUUUUUAACUUAUAUUUUACUUGCCUAGCCAAACAAUAAUUUAUUAUGUUAGAUGACUUGCAAUUGUAUGUUUUAGUCUUGUUUUCGCAUGUUAAACAUGUUGGAAUUGGUUUGGUCGCAUGUUGCAUGUGUUUAGGUACCUCUAAGGGUUAAACUACAUGACUUACAUUACCUUUUUUUUUUUUUCAUUUUUGGGUUAGUGCUUUGAGAUAUCAAGAACAUGUCUUGAGACCUUAAGAACAAAAAUAAAAUUUCAUCCAUCUCUAGGUGUACAUCACAUGACAUAACACUAUGGUUUCAAGACAUAAGGCCUUAAGUCUGGAGACAUGGAGAUUUUGUCUUGAAACAUAAAACAUCUAGCUAGUUUAGCAGAUAUCCAGUCCAAGGACUUGAGACAUGAUUUCAUUGUCUCGUGACCUCAAACUUCGAAGCUAAAAUUCUAAAAUAGGGGAGGCAUGUCUUGAAACAUGGCUUCACUGUCCUGCAUUUUGCUAGUUUGACUCCGGAUCCGUAACCUAGCUCCAUGUUUGGCCUUUUUUUUUUAUGUAGGAUUGUUGUGUACGAGCCCAACUGACUUCAUUCAUGUGCUUUUAACACUCGUAUUCUCUAUUGACUUUGCCACACUUGCUCUAUUUUUAGCUUCAAUAGUUGUUUUCAUCGUUUCUUUAAGUUACUUCAGCAACUGAUUGGCUUUUUGCACCCAAUCGGCUUCCAGGUCAAGCAGAAACGGUUACAAUGUAGAUAUAUGUGAAUUUUCUUAUAAGUUUUUUUUUAAUAAGGGACAGAAGUAAAAGUUGUUCAACUAUCGAAUUUGAUACUAAUGUUAACUGAAUAGUUGAACAUAAAUCUUUUACUUAUGUCACGAUUUGACCCCUAAAUUAUAUUUGUUUUUCUACUUUUAUCCUUGAACUAUUAUUUUCAUCUUGAUAACCAAAAUAAAAAUUAAAGUUACUGAUAAGAACAUGAUACAUGACAAAUUCUUACCAGACAUGUAUGAUUUUUGUAAGUAAAGUAGGCUCAUACCAUUACUUAUACUUAUUUUUUUUACCAAUUUGCUUUUAAUUCAAUCAAAUUGAUAACAAAUAUUGAAAUAAAAAGGUUAAAAUAUGUAUAGGUCUCUAUACUAUUCACAAACUUGAAAUUUAGUCCCUAUACUUUUAUUUUAGAAACACUGUCCCUCUACUAAAAAAUCACAAAAUGAACCUAAAUUUAACAAAAUAAUUUUAAUAAUAUUAAUAAUUAGACAUGAAUUUUGAAAUUUGAGAAGUAAAUAAAUUAAAUUUUUAGAAAUAACAAUAGAAGAACUAAAUUUUAAAUUUACAAAAGGUACGGGGACUUCUGAGAAAUUUUAAACAAAUUAAAAAACAAAAAAGAAGGUAUAUUUUAUCGAGUUAAAUGAAUGAGAAAAUAUUAAAAUAAAAGAUUAAGGGUUUUUUUUUUCAGUCAAAUGGAUAAGAAAAUAUUAGAAUAAAAAUAACAAAAAAGAAGGAAAGAAUGUUUGUUACCGUUUGAUGAAAAAUAAUACACGUGUCAAAUGAUUAAAGCAUCCAGCACUUUAUCGAAAAGUACAGAAGCAGCGCACGUCUCGGCUUUAGAGUUGGAAUAGAAGCUAGUUUCUUUUAGUACUACCAGAUAUUCCUUGCUUGUCAACAUCUCUCUCCCUCUCCCAUAUAUAAAUAAGAUCGGCGGAUAUUGGCAAACGGAGUGAAAGAUCGAAAUUGGCAGAAGAUGAAGGUUUUCGUCAAAACUCUCAAAGGCACUCACUUCAAUAUCGAAGUCAAACCCGAAGAUGCGGUUCGCUUCUCUCUCUCUCUCUCUCUUCCCCCCCCCCUUUCCUGGGAUUUUACGUUUUGCUAACUAGGGUUUUCCGUUUUCCCCUAUAUUUGAACAUUUACUAGCGUUCAUUUCGGACUGUAUUAAUUGGACUUAUUAUGCACGUUGUUGAAUUACCAUGCCUCAAAUGUAAAAUCGGAGAUCGUGAAUUAUUUCUUCAAUUUUAGUCUCUAAUUUAUUGGAUAUGUUGAUUUAGCUUGUUGAAUAGUCUAGCAACUUCGAUUAAGUUUUAGUGGACUGAUACUCGUGUAGCUUGAACAGCGGUAUCAUUUUCUUCCGGUGACAAUUAGAAAAUAAGUUCUUCCUACGUAAUGCUUUUUACUAAUUCAUUGAAAUUAGUGAAUAAUACUUUGAUUUCUGGGCUUCAUUUUUGUUGUAGUAUUUCAUUACCUUGUAUCAUUGAAUAUUGAUGCAUAGAUUGCCAUGUAAUUGCCACUUGUAGUGUGCUAGAUUUAGGUUUGAACUGGAGUAUACGCAAGCUUUGAACAUUGCCAUAAGCAUCUCAUAUUUUGCAAUGCUCUUUCACUUCUUUUUAAUUAGUGUGGCUAUCAACACUUGAUUAAAUGUACAGAGGCUCCUUUUAAUAGAUCUUCUAUAACAAAGGAUCAAGUUCUGCAUUCUAUGGUUACAUCUAAUCAAGGGGUGUGUUUUUUGAAUGAUGUGGAUUUUCUAACUAUAUAAAUAAGCUAUCAUUAUUUUAUUUUUUUUGCUACUUUUUAUGCCUUUUAAGGUUUAAACACACACACACACAUGCACCGAUAUGAAAGUAUUGGGAUAAAAUGCAUUUUACAUUACUUUGUCACUUGGUAUUAUACAAUUCCGCUGCUAAUGCUUGCCAAUUCUUUCAGGUUGCAGAUGUAAAAAAGAACAUAGAAACUGUUCAAGGGGCAGAUGUUUAUCCUGCUGCACAACAAAUGCUUAUCUAUAAGGGAAAAGUCCUUAAAGAUGACACGACACUGGCUGAAAACAGUGUCACUGAAAAUAGCUUUAUUGUGAUCAUGUUGACAAAGGUGAGAUUGGUUACAAUAUUCUAAUUUUUAUGUUUGUAAUAUUUCAUCUAACUCGUUCUAACUUUUCUGAUCAAAGUAUGCUGACUUUGUCCUAAUAAAUGCCUAACUGACAUCGCUAUUUUUCACACUGCUGUUGAACUUGAAAGUUAUCUUAGUUAUAACUUAUGACGGAGUGUUGUAUCAUUAUAUUUUUCUUUUGAAACCUGGUUGUUGCUUUCCUUUAGGUGCAUCUUAUAAAUCAAUUUGUUGCUAAACUACAAAAUUUUCUUUGUGCUACUUCUUGACCUCUUACCUACUUGUAUUUGGAUCUGAAUUUGUUUUUCAUGACUGUCAUUUUCAUACUAAUAGUGUCCUUUUUGCUUAAAUAAACUAGAAUAAGGGUGCAUCUGGUGAGGGUUCAACUGCUUCAACUGCUCCUACAAAGAAAGUAAGAUUAUAAUUGUCACCUCUUACUGCUACUUGCAUCCAUAUUAGCUCGUAAGCAGUGAUUGUCACUGUACCUUUUUAGCUAUAUUUCUAAAGGCAUUUGCUAUUGAUAUGACGUGAAAAGUGCUGGGGGUUCUGUUUUUGCCAUUUUGGUGGAUGUUGUUUACUUCAAUGCUAUGAACUAGAAGUUGAAGUGAUAGCUAAGCAUCUUGAGCAAAUAUAAUUGAAUAGGAGUAAAUCAUUAAAUAAGAUAUAGGUAGCAAAUGGAAUGCUUUUAAGAUUUUGGUUGUUCAGAUAUGGCCCAAGUUUGAGUUUUUUCUUGUCCAACUGCUUUCAAUCUUUCACUACUAUAAACACAAUGCAUAAUUUGUAGUCUGAGUUGAUGUUAUUACCAAAUUCGACCACCUUAAAUGUUUAUGGGUUAGCUACAUAGUCUCUUAUCCAUGUUUCUCAAUUUCACAAUUGUCUUCCUUUCUCUUUUCCAGUAGCAUAUCAACAUGAAAACAAAUGGCCUUUAUCCUAUUCUCGCCUCAUUGACUCCACCUAGAACAAUGUAGCUUGAGCAAUGAACUCUCACAAAAUCAUCAUGUGAAUUUUGAUCUUCAAGUUUCUUUUUGAGUAUGAAUAUAAAUGUCUGUUUUCCCCCCAUAAUACAAUCUUUGUAGGCUCCUGAGGCAAGUAGUCUGCCAACAGCUCCAGCACCAGCUUCUACUGCAUCUGUUGCAAUGUCAGCUAUGUAAGUCCUGCUAUUCUACACUUUUUGGUCAGAUACAGCACCUUUGCAAUUGAUUAAUUGCUUUUUUUUUUUUUCAGGGCUGCACCUGCCACUGAAUCUGCUCCUGUUGCUUCUAGUACUCCUCUGUGAGUAACUUAUUCUUGAUAGUAAAUUUCAUGCUUCUUAUUUGAAGGAUGGAAGCUUUUGAUUUAAUUGAAUUGCUUUUAGUAGGAGGGAUCUUGUGUUUUUCCUUGUUUUCCUUUGCAUACUUGUAAUAUCUUGAAUAAUGUCUUUCAGAAACAGGUCAGAUUCUGAUGUUUAUGGCCAAGCAGCAUCUAACCUGGUUGCAGGGAGUAACUUAGAGGGAACAAUCCAACAAAUUCUUGAUAUGGGUGGAGGGACCUGGGACAGGGACACUGUUGUCCGUGCCCUUCGUGCUGCUUAUAAUAACCCAGAGAGAGCUGUUGAAUAUUUGUAUUCUGUAAGUACCUUCCUUGUAUCUUGAAGAAUAUGUGCGUUCUUGUGUGCUUCUAGUUGCUGUUGUUUUAUUGUUCUCCUUAAUGUAGAUGUGGGAAUAGCCUAAUAAGCUGAGCUCAUCCUGAGAGGCUUUCUUGGAAUGAUGAUUAUGCCAUUUUGUCAUUUUUAAUUUGAUGUAAUUCUAUUUAAAACUUGGCCUUCUCCUUGCCAUGAUUUAUUGGUCGAUGAUGAUUGAAUUUCUGCACACCCAAAAUAUGCCUCCUCUGUUACAUUUUGCUGGUCCUUUUUGACUUGGUGGAUAAGUGUGCGGGAAUUUUGAAUUUUCCUUUGAUGAUAACUCUUUUGAGUUACCCCCCCCCCCAAAAAAAAAAAUGUGAACAGGAAUGUUGGAUUUCUGGUGGGUUUUAAUGAUAUUGUAUACUGCACCCUUAUCUUUCUUUUCUUCUUUUUUAUUUUAAAAUAUAACAAGCACGCAUUUUCUUUCCUAAGCUGCUUCUUGUCAUCGUGUCAUAAAUAAUUGUUGCAAAUGCUAGGGCAUCCCCGAGCAAGCUGAAGCUCCACCUGUGGCCCGUGCUCCUGUAGUUGGGCAAGCCACUAACCCUGCAGCACAACCUCAACAGCCUGCGCAAACGGCAGCUAUUCCUACAAGUGGACCAAAUGCAAAUCCAUUAGACCUCUUUCCCCAGGUAAAAUUGUCAUGCGGUAGACAUUUGAUAAAUUUGAUGAUGGGCAAAUUAACCAGUGACUUGAUGGCCUGUUAUUGAUACAGGGCCUUCCCAACAUGGGUGCAAGUGGUGCUGGGGCUGGCACUCCCCAGGUAAAAUUGUCAUGCGGUAGACAUUUGAUAAAUUUGAUGAUGGGCAAAUUAACCAGUGACUUGAUGGCCUGUUAUUGAUACAGGGCCUUCCCAACAUGGGUGCAAGUGGUGCUGGGGCUGGCACUCUUGAUUUUUUACGGAACAGUCCACAGGUCUCUCCCUUUUCUUAUUUGGUUGUAUAUGGGCUUGUUAGCAUCACUGUUAUGUAAAUACCUACCUAGAACUACACUCAGUUUGCAAUUCUCUUUUCAGUUUCAAGCUUUGCGAGCAAUGGUGCAAGCCAACCCACAAAUAUUGCAGGUAAUUCUCUGGUCCCUUGUUUCCCCCCUUCAAUCCUAGUGUGUUUUUCAUUGUCUUUUCAUCUUUUGUUUUUUUACCUUUCACCUUUCCUCAAUGUCUCCCUUUUCUAUAUUUUUGGCAGCCUAUGCUUCAAGAGUUGGGGAAACAAAAUCCUAAUUUAAUGAGACUUAUUCAAGAGCAUCAGGGUGACUUUCUUCGCUUGAUCAAUGAACCUGCUGAAGGUGGAGAGGGGUGAGUCUUGUUUUCUGUUGCUCAUUUCUUGAACUUAUAUACUGUGUAUGUAUGUCAAGUGUUUAUUUGACAUCUCCUGUUGUAAAGAAACAUUUUGGGGCAAUUAGCUGAGGUGAUGCCGCAAGCUGUGCAAGUCACACCUGAGGAACGUGAAGCCAUAGAACGGGUAUGUUAUCUUUUACAUAAGGGAUGACUUGGAUGUGGUCACUAUUCUCUGUAAUCAUGGAUUAUUUAGCUAUCUUCCCCACUGCCUCUGGAAAUGCCUUCAUUUCCUUGGCCUUUAUCUGAGUUAUGAGAUAUGCAUCACAUCUUUCUUUUAGGCAAUGGUUUUACUUUUAGAUGAUUAAUAAACUCAAAUUUGUUGCAUUGAUCUUGUGCCUACAAAUACUUUUGUAGUCUCCUUAUUCUCUUGUGCAUUCCCCAUCUCUUGCAGCUUGAAGCAAUGGGGUUUGACCGUGCAACUGUGCUCCAAGUGUUCUUUGCGUGCAACAAGAAUGAGGAACUUGCAGCCAACUACCUUUUAGAUCAUAUGCAUGAUUUUCAGGAUUGAGCUGGUAAAAGAAAUGGCUAGGGGAAGUACAAUAUCAUUUUCUCUUUCGUUCUUUGGGUCCAUUGUCAUUCAUGUCCCCCUCCCCUCCCCCCAAAACUCUACCGACUUUAUUCUUAAUCAAGUGAUGUAAGUGUUUGGUGUAGAGACAAGGGAUGUGAAGAUGUUAACUUCAUUUUUUUUU